This 127379-nucleotide long non-coding RNA is filed under the name Gossypium barbadense (sea-island cotton). RNAcentral's name for it is "long non-coding RNA (GBAR_LNC015874)". Lineage: Eukaryota; Viridiplantae; Streptophyta; Magnoliopsida; Malvales; Malvaceae. The record is from RNAcentral.
GGAAUGGAUCAAGUAAGUGCAGUGAGGGAGAUGCUGAGGAUUACGGAUCAGGAAUGCAACACGGCUUUACAUGAAGCAGCAGGGUGUGGCAAUGUUGAAGUGGUGAAAGCAUUGUUGGAGUUUGAAGACCCUGAAUUUCCGUAUUCUGCCAACAAAAAACAGGAGACUCCACUUUACAUAGCAGCUAGGAGGAGAGGAUCUGGGCGCUUGUUGACUCUAUUAUUAGAUAAAUUCAAAUCAACUAGUCAUGGCGGCCCCCACGGUAGAACAGCUUUGCAUGCAGCAGCUAUGGCUGGAGAUGCAGGUAUGUUGUUGAGUUAGUUCCUUUUUUAUAUUAAAGUUUUGAAAUAAAUAAACAGGUCGAUUGACAUUUUUUUUUUUGCUUGGAUUUAGAGGCAAUAAGGGUAAUAUUAAAGAAGAAGGGGAAUUUGACAAAGGAAAGAGAUGAAGAUGGAUGCACCCCUCUUCAUUAUGCUGCACACUUAGGUGGUCGAUUUUCAGUUGUGGAAGAACUGUUAAAAAGGGAUGUAUCAGCAGCCUAUAUAGGUGAUAAAAAGAAGGGGAUGACACCCCUUCUUAUGGCAGCCAGGCAACGUAAUGCUCAAACAGUUUCAAAGAUUCUCUCUUUAUGUCCAGAUAGUUGUGAAAAAGUGGACAACGAUGGUUUGUCUUUACUCCAUUAUCUGGCUUUUAGAGGCUCUUCCUAUCCAUUAGAGCUUUCUCUUUUCAGGCGUGGUGGUAUUGAGAUUGUAUAUGGAUCACUCAGAAAUCUAAUGAAGUUGGAAGGUGCUUUUGGAAUGACACCUCAAGAAGUUUAUAAUGCAGUUCAAUAUGAGAAACAUCAUCAUAAACAGGUGUGUGUGCGUGCAUAUGUAUUGCAUUUCCAUGGCUAUGGUUUUAUUAAUAUUCAAGUUUUGAAUUAACAUCUUUAAUAAACCUACAAUACAAUUGGCUAAUGUUGCUGGCAUGGCAGGAGCAAAUCGAUAAAUUGUUGGAAGAAAUUGAGAAUGAUCAAGUGGCGGACAAACCAGUUCGUCCCUUUGGCUUGCCAACUAUCUCUACAGCAAGCUUGGAGAAGAAAAGAGAAGGUCAUAUAAUAGUGGCAGGACUUAUAGCCACGGUCACAUUCGCGGCAGCGAUAACCGUCCCAGGUGGAUUCAAGAGUGAAAAAGGAUCCGAACAGGGUACUCCUUUUCUGAUUCAUGAGGCAGCCUUUAAAGUAUUUAUCAUAUCGAAUGGAUUGGCCUUUAUUCUCUCUCUUUCCACCCUCUCCGUUUACCUUAGGACGAUGAAUUUCUUUUCCUCAAACUCAAAGCAGCGACGCAAAAUUUUAAUAACAAAGUUGACCGCUAAGAAUCUCCUUAAUGGUGCACUGAUUGCAAUGGUGAUUGCUUUCAGCACAGCUAACUAUGUUGUGUUAAAACCUUCUCACGCACUUGCCAUAGCUUCGUGUUUGGUCGGCCCUGCCUUUAUUUUCACUCCUUUACUUACCCGCAAAUGGAUGUUAAUUUUUGUGUGGAUCUCGGCAUACAUUGUGAAUGUUUUUAUACCAUUUUCAUUGGUUUAAACUUGGUUUUUAUACUGAAAUUGCUUUUGUUUGUGCCUUAUUUUAGUGUUUUUGGAAUUUAUCGUUGUAUUGUUUGUGUUGAUUUUACUUUAUUUUAACUUUUUUGCUAUGUAGUUUUACAUUACAACUUAAUAUUUAUAAUCUCCAUUUAAUUGAAAUAUAAAGUUAUUAGCAGAGACACAUACAAUUUCAAAAAAGAUAAAAAAAAUCACAAGAUUUAUUAAAUUCAAAGAAUAAUAGAGAUGUUGUAACUAAUUCUAAUUUUAGGUUUAAGAAAAACACUAGAUUUUAUUUAAAAAUGAGAAUUGCCGUCAAUCUUUUUUAUUAGGUGUGAUCGAACACCUAUACAAUCACCUUUUAAAAAGAAAAUUUUGAGUCUAUAAUAGAAAUCCAUAGAAAAAUGUUUCAGUUUGAGAAUUGGUUACUCAAAAAAUUAAGUUGUAUACUUUUACUAUAAUAAAAAAAAAUUACAAUUCCACCAUUUUGAUAACCUAUGUCUUUAAAUCAAAAUUUUAUCCUUUUUGGGAGGUUAAAAUGUAAUUUUACCGAUACUAAUUUAAAAUUUUAUCAAUUUUAGGGGGACUAGUACCCUGCCAACGCUAGCUUCGCCCAUAAACUCUUAUAUCUCAAUCAAUUUUGAUGAAAUCAUUUCCCACUUUGCACUCUAUUAUAUUUUUUAUGUCUCAAGAAUCUUAACUUUCAACAAAAUAAACUUUGUUGUUAUUUUUAAAUUAACGUGAACCCCAAAAGGAAAUUAAAAUAUGUUACGGAGCUUUCAACAUAUUUCUCCCAAUAAUCAAAUUCGUCCCCUUGCUAUAUGGAUGCUUCUCUCCACCUAUGCGUGAUUUAAUUACUAUUAGAAAAAAGAUCAGAUUUUUUUUAUCGAACAAAUUCUCAGCAGGUGUCAGUCACUGCUACUCCAAACGAAUGCUAAAGGUCAAACUCCUUUGCACGUUGCAGCGAGGUAUGGACAUUCUGCUAUUGUGAAACUUCUAAUCAAGUCUUGUGCAAAAGCUAGAGAUGGAGAUUUAGAGAAGCUGGGAAUGGAUCAAGUAAAUGCAGUGAGGGAGACGCUGAGGAUUACGGAUCAGGAAUCCAACACGGCUUUACAUGAAGCAGCACGAUGUGGCAAUGUUGCAGUGGUGAAAGCAUUGUUGGAGUUUGAAGACCCUGAUUUUCCGUAUUCUGCCAAUAAAAAACAGAAGACUCCACUUUACAUAGCAGCUAGGAGAGGAGACCGGGGCAUGCUGAGUAUACUAUUAGAUAAAUCGAAAUCAACAGCUCAUGUUGCAUGCAGCAGCUAUGGCUAGAGAUGCCGGUAUGUUGUUGAGUUAGUUCCAUUUUUUUUUUAAUUUGAAAUAAAUAAAGAACAGGUCUAUUGACAAUUUUUUUUUUUUUUGCUUUGAUUUAGAGGCAAUAAGGAUAAUAUUAGAGAAUAAGGGGAAUUUGACAAAGGAAAGAGAUGAAGAUGGACACACCCCUCUUCUUUAUGCUGCACACUUGGGUUAUAGAUUAUCAGUUGUGGAAGAACUGUUAAAAAGGGAUGUGUCAGCUGCCCAUAUAGGUGAUAAAAAGAGGGGGAUGACACCGCUUCUUAUGGCAGCCAGGGAAGGUAAUGGUGGAGCAAGUGCAAAUAUUCUCUCUUUAUGUCCAGAUUGUUGCAAAAAAGUGGACAACAAAGGUUUGGAUUUACUUCAUUAUACGGCUUUUAAAGACUCUGUCUUUCCAUCAGGGAGUUCUGUUUUUAAGCGUGGUGGUGUUGAGAUUGUAUAUGGAUCAGUUAGAAAUCUAAUGGAGUUGGAAGGUGCCUGUAAAAUCUAAUGGUUUUGCAUUUCCAUGGCUAUGGUUUUAUUAAUAUUUAAGUUUUGAGUUAACAUAUUUAAUAAACCUACAAUACAAUCGGUUAAUGUGGGUGGCAUGACAGAAGCAAAUCAAAGAUUUGUUGGAAGAAAUUGAGAAUGAUAAAGUGGCAGAGGAACAAGUUCAUCACUUUCAGUUACCAAAUGUUUCUAUGGAAAGAUUGGAGGCUAUAAGAAAUACUCAUUUAAUAGUGGCAGCACUUAUAGCCAAUCGUCACCAUCGCAGCGGCAAUAACUGUUCCUAGUGGUUUGGAGAGUGAAAAGGGGUCAAAGCAAGGUGAUCCCUUUUUGAUUCAUGAGGCAGCCUUUAAAGCAUUUAUUGUAACAAACGCAUUGGCCUUUAUUUUCUCUGUUUCUGCCUGUUGGGAUUUGGACAAUGAUAGAUGAAGAUUAACAGAAGCUUGAGCAACAAUGUUGUAUGUUUGCUGGUGAAAAUAAAUAGAAUCGGGCUUGGGAGCAAAGAAAAUGAAAAACAAGAAAACAGAGAGUUUUGGAUGAAAUUUUCAAAAUGAUUUCAUUAACAUUGAAUGAAGGCACAAAGCCAAUACAUAUACCAGACAUUUAGCUGGUCAAAUCAAAACAAAUUGUCACCUAACAUUACCUACUAUCACUAAGUAACAUUGGAACUUAUGAAAACAUUGCUUGCACACAUAGGUAUACUGAUUUAUCAAUUCAUCAAUACCUAAUUACAUCAAAACAAUAUCAACUUAGUUCAAAUCUGACUAAAUUACAAAGCAAUAUUUAAGGUAACAAAACGGAAUGAAAUACAAUAGCAAUAAUGUGCUUCAGCAGCUGCAUGCAUACUUCAUGUGCUGUAAUUGCGGCUUGAUCUGCUUCUUCAUACUUCAUGUGCUAUAAAUGCGGUAUGCAGGCCAACUUCAACACUCCUCCUUGGCUUGCAUGCUGCAUACUCUCAUUUUAACUCUCAAAUGCACGAACCUUGACACACUAAGGGGCUUUGUUAAGAUAUCAGUAAGUUGUUAUUUAGAACUGCAAUGAAUUAGCUUCACUUCUUGAGCUUGCUCCAUCUCUCUAACAAAGUGAAAUUUGAUCUUGAAGUGUUUCAUUCUCCUAUAGAACAUUGGAUUCUUUUCAAUUGCAACAGAAGAUUGGUUGUCACAAUUGAUCUCUAUUGCUUCCCUUUGGUGUAGAUUCAAAUUAACCAUGAUUUUUCUUAGCCAAAUAGCUUGAUUGACAGCACUAGCAGUUGCUACAUAUUCUGCUUUAGUAGUUGGUUGAGCAACAACAUUUUGUUUCUUCGAAUUCUAGCAAAAAAUGGCUGAUCCAAGAGUAAAAACAUACCCUGAGGUACUCUUCAUGUCAUCUAUUGAUCCAACCUAAUCACUAUCAGCAUAACCAACCAAUUUCAUACUUUCAGCUUUGCUAAAUAACAUUCCAUAGCUCAAUGUACCUUUGAUGUACCUGAAAACUCUUUUGGCAGCUUGAAAGUGCUUUUCAUUGUAGCAAUACAAGAAUCUAUAUAGCAGACUCACAACAAACAUGAUGUCUGGUCUAGUGGUAAUAAGAUAUAGCAAACAUCCUACCAAACUCCUAUAGACAGAUUCACUAACCUGCUCAAAGUCACCUUGGCUCGAUAGUUUCUCUCCAAUGGCAACUGGUGCGUUUGUUGCCUUGCAAUUUUGCAUGGAGAAUUUUUUCAGAAUCUUGGAGACAAAAGCCUUCUGACUUAGGAAGAUUCCAUGUUGUGUUUAAGUCGCUUCCAUACCAAUGAAGUAAGACAUUUGCCCCAAAUUUGACGUCUUGAACAUCUGUUCCAUCUUGGCUUUGAAAUCAGCCAGCAUUUCAUGAUCUCCUCUAGUUACUAGCAGGUCAUCAACGUAUAGGGACACUAUUAGUUAAGUUUCACUACCUUGCUUCUUCACAUACAAGGUAGGUUCACUGAUGCUUCUUUCAAAUCCAAGGCUAGCUAGGUAGCCAUCGAUCCUGCUAUACCAGGCUCUUGGUGCUUGUUUCAAACCAUACAAGGCUUUCUUCAGUUUGUACACCUUGUCCUCUUCACCUGCCACUUUAAAACCUUCAGGUUGCUCAACAUAGAUUUCUUCAUCAAGAAAAUCAUUGAGGAAUGCUGAUUUUACAUCAAGCUGAUGAAUUUUCCAUUGCAUUUGUGCUGCUAAGGCAACUAGCAGCCUUAUGGUAUCAAGCCUAGCUACUGGUGCAAAGGUCUCAAAGUAGUCAAUGCCGUACUUUUGACUGAACCCUUUUACAACCAGCCUUGCUUUCAGUUUGUUUAAGCUUACAUCAGCAUUGUGCUUAGCUCGAAAUACCCAUUUCACCCCAAUGACAUUUCUAUUUGCUGGUCUCUCAACUAGCUGCCAUGUCUGAUUAUUUUCAAUCAUUCUGAUUUCAUCAGCCAUUGCCUGUUUCCAGCCUUAUUAAGCUUCAGCUUCUUCGAAGCAGCUUGGUUCAACUGCAACCACUUGAGCUCUUUCAUAAAUCUCAGCCAAUGGUCUAGUGCCCCUGACUGGUUCAUAAUCAAUGUCCAUUUCAAAACCAGUUUGAUCAGCUUCAGUCUGAUCUGUCAAUAAAUCUUCAGAGACUGCCUCUGGUUCAUUCUUCUCCUAAUUUCAACUUGAAUUCUCAUCAAAGACUACAUCUCUGCUCACAAGCACUUUGUUGCAUGAAGGAUCGAAGAAUUUGUAGCCUUUCUUCAUACUGCUCUAGCCCACCAGGAUGCUAGGUUAGGAUGCAAUGGUUUUCUUAUGGUUGAACUCACAUUGAGUUUCAUAGUUCACUUUUCUUUUAUUUCCAUCUUUACAGAUAAUCCACCAUGUUAGGAUGUAGACUCGGCAUACAGAGGACUCGACUCGGGUUUUAUUUAUUAAAAUAUUUUGGAUUUAUUAUUCAAAAUCUUUCGUUAUUCAAGAACUAUAAUAUCUUAUUUAAAUCAUGGCAUGAGACUUAGGUUUUUGUUUAAUUUAGCAUGUAUGACAUUUAACUUAAUUUAAUAUAUUAUUUUUAAUUAAUUAAACAUGAAAUAUGAUUUUAAUAAAAUUAAGUUGAAAUCAUUUUUCCAUUGCGAAAUUAUAAUUUAGUAUUGAGUUGUAAAUAAAUCGAAAAAUUUAACAAAUUUUCAAUCUCAUAUGUUAUACUGAAAAUAAGCUAAGUUUUCUAUAUUUUAAAUUGGUCAUUUUUUAAACUUUGAUCGCUACUAGGUCAUUUCGGCGGUCGAUGUAUUCUCUCAAAUUUGGAUCUAAUGUAUAGGCCGAGUUGAAGAGGUUACAACAAGAUGCAAGAUUAAUGUUGUUUUGUUUGAAGUAUAAAAUUAGUAAAACACAUAGCAAGGAUAACAUUAAUUGUUGGAGAUUAUGGUAUGCUAAAAUGUUGAUGUAGAAGCCCAAUUUCACCUGGGCCCUACCAGCAAAACAAACCUCAGCCCAAACGGCCCAAUUACAUUAUAAAAUUAAUUGGACCAACCCAAACCCACCUAAACCCAAAACAACUACAGCAACCCAAUUGGCCUAACUACCCAAACCCUAAUAGCCCAAACCACAAAAAAAAAACAAAACCCUAGGUGUGCCGCACUUAGGGCUCUCUGCCUUCUGACUUCUGCACUGCCGCUGUCAAUCACCUGCAAAAUGAAAAUCAAACACGCAAAGCAGAAGCAAAAACAGUGUAAAAUAGUAGAAAAAAAUAGAUAAAAUUGUAUUGCAAAUUGGCUAUAAAAGCCUGGAUCUCAGCCUUGUAAUGGUCUUCUUCUUUUUUCACGAGAAAAUAAAUAGAAAAAUUCAAGGUUUUUUUAUUUCGGCUUUUAUUUAUUUAUUUAUCUAUUUUUUUCUCUCAUUUUCUUUUAUUUUUAUGAAUGAAAAUAAAAAAAAUAAAAGAAGAAGAAAGAGGGAAAGCUUACCGGACGCCCCGUGACCGCACCGUCGGAGGGCAGAUCUCGUCGUCGAGACCGGGUUCGGAGAGAGGGGGUUGUGGGCCACUAUCUCCGUCCUUAGGGGGCUCGAAAGCCUGACCUCACAGCUCGCCUGGAACCGGGCUUUAAAAACCCUUUAUCGUGCUUCAUCGACCGUCGAUUUGGUGGCGGUACGGCGGACGGACGAGCGGAGGUAAGGAGGCCGUCGGAAGGCAUGAGGGGCCUUCAGAGAGUUUUUUCAAAUUUUUUUUUCUGAAGAAGAAGAAAAAUGAAAACAAAGAAAAAAAUUUGGUUUAAAUAACCAUUUCAAAACGGCACCGUUUUAGCCCCCAUGACCCGUGCACGACCCGACCCGCUCCAGGGGGAUCCGCGCGUUUUCAUGAAAUGAGUUAUUUGCGCGCGUGGUCCCUCCGCUUUUGCAGCGCGUUACAAUUAGCCCCUUUUUCCUUCUUUUCUUUUAUUUUAAUUUAGCCGUAUAAUUUUAUAGUUGUUUCAUUUCAAACCCACGUGGAACGACGCGUAUAUGGCUAGGGGUAAUUGCCCAAUCGGUCCCUCUCCCUCUGUGCGAGUCACAGAUUGAUCUUUUACCUUAUUUUAUUUUUGUUUUCUCCCCUGGGAUUUUGUUUUGUUUUCAAUUUAGUCCCGUUAUUAUUAUUAUUAUUGCAUUUAUUAUUAUGAUCAUUUACCCAUUUAUACUUUUUUUAAUUUUUGUUAUAUAUAUAUAUUCUUAUAUACACACACUUACAUAUUUUUAAUUUUCUUAUAUGUACGUAUUAACAUUUUUAUACACCUUAUAAUUUACAUACAUAUAUGUACAUACAUAUUGUUAUAGUGUACGUAUGCAUAUAUAUUUUUUAUUUUAUUCAUAUAUAUAUAUACCUAUUUAAAUUUAUAUUAUUUAUACUUUAUAUUUUAUAUAUGUGUACACAUUUUUAUUAUUUUUAUAAAUACAUACACAUAUUUAUAUAUAUUCUUUAUAUUUUAAAAUCUAUUUCUUCUUAUAUAUUUUCUAUAUUUUAUAAUCCAUAUAUAUAUAUAUAUUAAUAUACAUAUCAAUAUACGCUUUUAAAUUUCAUAAAUACAUAUAUAUAUUUACUUACCUUUAUAUUUUAUAUAUUUUAUAACUUUAUACGUAUAUAUAUGUAUACAUACAUACUCAUAUAUUUUUAUAUAUUUUUUUAUAAUUUAUGUAUACAUAUAUUUAUAUCUACAUACAUAUUUUUUUUAUUUUUAUAAGUGUAUAUUUAUAUAUGUACAUACUUAUAUAUUUUAUACUUUAUAAUUUAUAUAUACAUAUAUACAUAUUUUUUAAUACAUUUUCAAACACACAUACGUUUAUAUAUUUUUAUUUGUUUAUAUAUUUUUUAAUACAUAUUUACUUGUUUAUAUAUUUUUAUUCUUUUCAAACUUUGUUGUAUUCAUACACAUAUGUUUUUAUUUUAUUUUAUUUUUUUUCAUUAUUGUUAUUAUUGUUUUACUCAACAUUUAUUUAUUUAUUUAUGUGUCCAUCAUUAUUUUUACUAUUAUUAACCUUUUAGUCAUUUAUAUAUCAUUUAUUUAUGUAAUUGUUUAUUAUCGUUUUUAGCUUAGCUCUAGUUUCUGUUCAUUCUUGUAUCUUUUAUGUAUUUAUCUUACUUUCGCCUUUAAUUAGUACCAUUCGUAUUAUCGCAUUCAUCAUCUUAUAUAUAUUAAUCUUGUGAUUUAUUUAUAUGGUUUACUAUAACAUCGCGUACCUUUUACUCGAUGCAUUUCAAAUGAUGUUCUAACUAAACUUGUAUUUUAAGGUUUGAAAAAGUCGUACCCUAACUUACGGGUUUCGACUUUCUCGAUAAAUUCGAACACGUGAAUAUUUUUAAACUUAAACUUUUAAACGAUCUCGAGAAUUAAAAAAAAACUCGUGUCCUUACUUACAGGACAUGAUUUCUUUUUCUAAACCAGAGAUAGUCGAAUAUUUCAAGUGAAUAAAUUUUUGACAAUUAUUCUUACAUCGAAAAUUCAAGACAUUGUGUCCUAACUUAUGAGAUGCGAUUCUUUUUCUCGAUCAACGUGAAGUAUGCCAUUUUUCUUUUUAAAUAUUUUUUCGUAUUUCAAUAAAUGAUCGUAUUUUUAAAAUUUUUCAAAGUUUUCAAUUUUCAACACUAAGAUAUUAAUUAAUCAACUAGGUACCAACUUUGGGCGUUACGAGGGUGCUAAUCCUUCCUCGUACGUAACCGACUCCCGAACUCAUUUUUCUAAAUUUCGUAGACUAAAACUGUUGUUUUAAUAAAAUUAAAUUAUUUAUAAAAAAUAACUACUUUUCGAGGUGAUCCAAUCACACCUCAUCAAAAAAGAUUGGUGGCGACUCCUGUUUUCGUUUUCAUUUUUCAAAACUCAAGUCGACCCCGUUUUCGUCAAAAAAGUGGUGUCAACAGUUGAAGUAGGGAAUUUGACAAAGGAAAGAGAUGAAGAAGUGUUAAAGGGAUGGAGGGGGAUGUCACCUCAACAAGUUUAUGAUGCACUUCGAUAUGAGUCAUCACGAGAACUAUCAGUGUGAAAAGGUGUGUGUAUUUCUAUGACCAAGGGCUAUGGUUUUAUUAGUAAUUGGGUUUUGAAUUAAUAUAUAUAUAUAAUAGACCUACAUUACAAUACAAUCGGCUAAUGUGGGUGGCAUGCCAUAAACAAAUUGAAGAAUUGUUGAAAGAUAUUGCACUUGAAGAAGUAGCCAAGUUACCAUUUUUUCACAUUCCCUUAUUAACUGUCUCAGUAGAAAGCUUGCAGAAGACAGGAGAUAUUCAUUUAGUAGUGGCGGCACUUGUUGAAAAGUCAAAAAUGGUGGGAGGUGCAAUUGGCACCGAAAGAAAAAAAAAUAGUUGGCAAGUUGUUUAAAGUUGAAUGGGAUAAUUGCAAUUUUGGUCCCUAAUUUUUUAGGCCAUUUGCAAGUUAGUCCCUGAACCUCAACUAUAAAUAGGCCUAACCAUUUCUCAUUUCAACCAUCCCAACCAAUCUUUCUCUCUUAGUUUUCUCUCUUCUCCCAUUUGAGAAUUCUUAAGGAAUUCUAUUUGUCUGUAAUACUUUGAAGAUAGUAAAGUUAUCAUCUGGUGUUAGUGCCCGAGGACGUAGGUAUAAUUUACCGAACCUCGUUAAAACUCUUGUGUUCUUUCUUGUCCUAUUUUUCUUUCAAUAUUUGAGGGUAUAAUAGUAGUAUUUAAUUGUGCUAUUAAAUUACUAUAGAAGGGAUAUUCUGUCUAAGGAAAGACUUGGUAUUUAAGAGAUCCAUGUGAUCCACCUCUCUUUCCUGGGAAUUGAACUUUGUGUGAUUUUUUAGUACAAUAAUUUACACGCUUCCGACCCUAGUGGAACAACAAAUGGUAUCAAAAGCCGAAGGUUAAUCGUAGUAUGCUCUGUGGUUGCAGUUUGAACUGAUCUUCCACAUCAGAAAAGAUUUCCUUAGGUAUAUUGAAAUAUUAUGGAGAAAACGGUCGGUGUAGAAGCUUCAACAUCGUCCAUGUGGACAAGACCGACAAUUGCAAAUGCAAGAUUGGCCGUGGAGAUCUUUGAUGGCACGGGCCAUUUUGGUAUGUGGCAAAGUGAGGUUCUAGAUGCCCUUUUUCAGCAGGGUCUAGACAUUGCCAUUGUUGAAGAGAAACCAGAUGAUGUACAGGAGAAAGAUUGGAAGGCGAUCAAUCGGUUGGCAUGUGGCACAAUUCGAUCAUGCCUUUCUCGAGAGCAGAGGUACGCUUUUUCAAAGGAGACUUCUGCAAAUAAGUUGUGGGUGGCACUUGAAGAAAAAUUUUUGAAGAAAAACAGUCAAAAUAAGCUCCACUUGAAGAAAAUACUGUUUCGCUUCACAUACGUCCCAAGUACCACAAUGAAUGAUCACAUCACCAAAUUUAAUCAGUUAGUCACUGAUUUGCUGAAUAUGGAUGAGACAUUCAAAGAUGAAGAUUUGGCUUUGAUGCUGUUGGGGUCACUUCCUGAGGAGUUUGAGUUCCUAGAAACUACUCUACUUCAUGGUAGGAGUGAUAUAUCUCUGAGCGAAGUCUGUGCGGCCUUAUACAGUUAUGAACAGAGAAAGAAGGACAAACAGAAAAACUCAAUUAAAGAUACAGAAGCUUUAGUAGUCCGAGGUCGUUCAUACACUCGGAAGAAAACUCAAAAGGGGAGAUCAAAGUCAAAGUCCAGACUCGGGAAAGAUGAAUGUGCUUUUUGUCAUGAGAAAGGCCACUGGAAGAAAAAUUGUCCAAAGCUGAAGAAUAAGGGAAAAGCUGCUGUAGAUGCUUGUGUUGCUAAGCAUGAUACUAGUGACUCUGAACUAUCACUGGUUGCAUCAUCAUCGUCGUUCCAUUCAGAUGAGUGGAUAUUGGAUUCGGGUUGUACCUAUCAUAUGUCCCCUAACCGGGAGUGGUUCUCUGAUUUAGUAGAACUAAAUGGAGGAGUUGUUUAUAUGGGCAAUGACAAUGCCUGUUAAACUGUUGGGAUAGGUUCAAUCCAAUUAAAGAAUCAAGAUGGAUCAACCAGAGUUCUGACUGAUGUUCGGUACGUGCCCAGUUUGAAGAAAAAUCUCAUCUCAUUGGGAGCCUUAGAAUCCAAUGGUUUAGUUGUUACUAUGAGAGAUGGGAUUUUGAAAGUGACAUCUGGCGCACUUGUGAUAUUGAAGGGCAUCAGGAAAAAUAACUUGUAUUACUACCAAGGUAGUACAGUUAUUGGAGCAGUCGCUACAGCUUUCGGUAACAAAGAAUUGGACUCAAUGCAGUUGUGGCAUAUGAAGUUGGGACAUGCCAGCGAAAAAUCCUUGCAAAUUCUGGCAAAGCAAGGAUUGUUGAAAGGUGCAAAGGCUUGCAAAUUAAAAUUUUGUGAGCACUGUGUUCUGGGAAAGCAAAAGAGAGUGAAAUUCGGCACUGCUAUCCAUAAUACAAAAGGUAUUUUGGAAUAUAUUCACUCAGAUGUGUGGGGGCCUUCCAAAACACCUUCGUUGGGAGGAAAACACUACUUUGUUACUUUUGUUGAUGACUUUUCCAGAAGAGUUUGGGUGUAUACCAUGAAAACUAAAGAUGAAGUGCUUGGAGUUUUUCUUAAAUGGAAAACUAUGAUCGAAAACCAGACUGGCAAGAAAAUCAAGCGGCUUAGGACGGACAAUGGAGGGGAAUAUAAAAGUGAUCCGUUCUUCGAUGUGUGCCAAGAGUAUGGUAUUGUUCGACACUUCACAGUUAGGGAUACACCACAACAAAAUGGAGUGGCAGAGCGUAUGAAUCGAACAUUGCUGGAGAAAGUUCGAUGUAUGUUGUCCAAUGCUGGGUUGGGCAAGCAAUUUUGGGCUGAGGCUGUGACAUACGCUGGCCAUCUUAUUAAUCGUUUGCCAUCAUCUGCAUUAGAAAGAAAAACUCCUAUGGAGGUAUGGUCUGGAAAACCGGCUACAGAUUAUGAUUCCUUACAUGUGUUUGGAUCCACUGCAUAUUACCAUGUGAAGGAGUCAAAGUUAGAUCCGAGGGCAAAGAAAGCUCUCUUUAUGGGAAUCACUUCUGGAGUGAAGGGAUUUCGUCUUUGGUGCUUAAGCACAAAGAAAAUGAUCUGUAGCAGAGAUGUUAUCUUUGAUGAAUCUGCCACAUUGAAAAAGGUAGCAGAUAAAGAUAUUCAGACGAGCAAUACUCCACAGCAGGUGGAGUGUACUCCAAAAUAGGUGGAGUUUGAGCAGAUGGGGAUUUGCCCAGUUAAUAAGUCUAAUUCUCUAGCCACAAUGGAGGAAUUAGAGGUUGAAGAGGUUCUGACCCAAGAACCACUAAGUACACUAGAACCAGUUGCAGUUACAAGGCCACGGAGAGAAAUUCGUAAACCUGCUCGAUUUACUGAUAUGGUGGCCUACGCCCUUCCCGUUGUUGAUGAUAUUCCUAUCACUUAUCAAGAAGCAAUGCAAAGCUUAGAAAGUGAUAAAUGGAAAAGCACCAUGGAUGAAGAAAUGCAGUCUCUCCGGAAGAACAAUACUUGGGAGUUGGCGCAAUUACCGAAAGGUAAAAGGGCAAUCGGAUGCAAGUGGGUAUUCGCAAAGAAAGAUGGAUCUCCUAGCAAGAAGGAUAUUCGCUACAAGGCAAGAUUGGUAGCUAAAGGCUACGCUCAGAAGGAGGGAAUUGACUACAAUGAUGUAUUUUCCCCUGUUGUGAAGCAUUCCUCCAUUAGAAUUUUGUUGGCCUUGGUAGCACAGUUGAAUUUGGAGCUAGCUCAACUUGAUGUUAAGACGGCUUUCUUGCAUGGUGAGUUAGAAGAGGAGAUCUAUAUGACUCAGCCAGAAAGAUACACAGAUGCUGGUGGUAGAAAUUGGGUUUGUAAGCUUAACAAAUCGCUAUAUGGAUUGAAGCAAUCCCCGAGGCAGUGGUACAAGCGAUUUGAUAGCUUUAUGAGAAGGCAGAAGUACACAAGAAGCAAAUAUGACAAUUGUGUGUAUUUGCAGAAGCUGCAUGACGGAUCUUUCAUUUAUCUACUCUUGUAUGUUGAUGAUAUGUUAAUCGCUUCGAAGAGCCAAAAUGAGAUAGAUAAGCUGAAGGCUCAGUUGAAUCAAGAGUUCGAGAUGAAAGAUCUAGGUGAGGCCAAGAAGAUUCUCGGCAUGGAGAUAAGUAGAGAUAGACCGAGAGGCAAGCUCUGUUUAAAUCAGAAGCAAUAUCUGAAAAAGGUAUUACAAUGUUUUGGUGUAAAUGAAAACACAAAACAUGUAAGUACCCCACUUGCUUCUCAUUUGAAACUUAGUGCUCAAUUAUCUCCGAAGACUGAAGAUGAAAGAGAAUAUAUGGCGAAAGUCUCAUAUGCUAAUGCAGUUGGGAGUUUGAUGUAUGCUAUGGUGUGUACGAGGCCUGACAUUUCACAAGCUGUUGGAGUUGUGAGCAGGUAUAUGCAUGAUCCUGGAAAAGGACAUUGGCAAGCUGUGAAAUGGAUUCUACGGUAUCUUCGAAAAACCGUAGAUGUUGGUUUAAUUUUUGAACAGGAUGAAGCACUUGGUCAGUUUGUAGUUGGAUAUGUUGAUUCCGACUUUGCUGGUGAUUUAGAUAAACGUCGUUCAACUACGGGGUAUCUGUUUACUCUUGCGAAAUCCCCAGUGAGUUGGAAGUCUACCUUACAGUCUACAGUAGCUGUGUCUACUACAGAGGCAGAAUAUAUGGCAGUUACAGAAGCUGUUAAGGAGGCUAUUUGGCUUAAUGGAUUGUUGAAAGACUUAGGAGUUGUUCAAAGUCACAUAAGUUUAUAUUGUGACAGUCAGAGCGCUAUUCAUUUAGCGAAAAAUCAAGUCUAUCAUUCAAGAACCAAGCAUAUCGAUGUAAGAUAUCACUUUGUGCGGGAAGUCUUUGAAAAAGGAAAAAUUCUACUUGAGAAGAUUCCGACAGCAGAUAAUCCCGCAGAUAUGAUGACCAAGGUGGUAACAACAAUCAAGUUUAAUCAUUGUUUGAACUUGAUUAACAUCCUGAGAAUUUGAGCACUUUUAGGUGUAUGGCGCUCGAGAGCGCAUUUGGAGGCACUACAAAAGAUAGCUUUAUCGAAUUUGGGGAGUUGAAGGAAGUAUGUGAAGAUGUGAUUAUCCUAAUCAAAUCUUCAAGGUGGAGAUUGUUGAAAAGUCAAAAAUGGUGGGAGGUGCAAUUGGCACCGAAAGAAAAAAAAAUAGUUGGCAAGUUGUUUAAAGUUGAAUGGGAUAAUUGUAAUUUUGGUCCCUAAUUUUUUAGGCCAUUUGCAAGUUAGUCCCUGAACCUCAACUAUAAAUAGGCCUAACCAUUUCUCAUUUCAACCAUCCCAACCAAUCUUUCUCUCUUAGUUUUCUCUCUUCUCCCAUUUGAGAAUUCUUAAGGAAUUCUAUUUGUUUGUAAUACUUUGAAGAUAGUAAAGUUAUCAUCUGGUGUUAGUGCCUGAGGACGUAGGUAUAAUUUACCGAACCUCGUUAAAACUCUUGUGUUCUUUCUUGUCCUAUUUUUCUUUCAAUAUUUGAGAGUAUAAUAGUAGUAUUUAAUUGUGCUAUUAAAUUACUAUAGAAGGGAUAUUCUGUCUAAGGAAAGACUUGGUAUUUAAGAGAUCCAUGUGAUCCACCUCUCUUUCCUGGGAAUUGAACUUUGUGUGAUUUUUUAGUACAAUAAUUUACACGCUUCCGACCCUAGUGGAACAACAGCACUUACAACCAUAACUGUUCCAAGUGAUUUCAAGGGUGAAAAAAGGUCAGCGCAGGGAAUUCCUUUUCUAAUUUACGAGGCAGCCUUUAAAGUAUUUGUUAUGCAUUGGCCUUUAUUCUCUUUGUUUUGCUACUCUCCAUCCACUUUGGAAUUCUGAAUCCUCUUUUAUCAAAAAUAAAUUAUUGAGAUAUUAAUAUAAUUUUAUAUUAAACCCAGUUCAUGUCUAAUGUCCUUGGUGAUUGCUUUAGACACAGGUGGUUAUGUGAUUCUAAAACCUUCUCAUAGACUUGCAUAUUGUUUCAUCCGCCCUGCCUUUUUUGUUCAAUUCUUCUCCUUCUUUGCCAAGUAUUUUAUUUACAGUUUCCUUAAACCCAAAUUUCACCGUAAAAAACUCCUCCUUUAUUGACCUGACCUCUAACCAGAGAUUGUGGUUUUGUUUAAAGUAAAAUUAUAUAGUUAAUAAUGCACAAAGCAAGAAUAGUACUUAGGGCAGCAUUGCCUUGACCACGAAGAGCUGUACACCCCAUUUUCUUCCCUUCUUUUUCUUCAAUUCUUCUCCUUCUUUGCCAAGUGUUUUCUUUACGGUUUCCUUAAACCCAAAUUUCACCAUAAAACCUCCUACUUUAUUGACCUGACCUCUAAUCCUAUAUAUUACUAUUACUGAAGUGUUCAAGUAUGAAAUUAUAUAUAUAGUUGUAGGUGACUUAAACGGAGGAUAUGCAAGCAACAAACAAAUAGGUAUGGCAUUUGGAAAAUUUCUUAAUUUGCAGUUUUUUUUUUCUUGAGCUUGGGAUGUUUCAAGAUAAUUAAUUAAAUUUUGUUUGGUGUUAUCCAGGUAGAAAUAGAUCAACAAAAAUGGGACCUCAGGAGCCUGAAGAGAACAUCAGUCACAUGGAUGCUUCGCUCUAUAAGGCAGCAGCAGAAGGCAACAUUGAAGUAUUCAAUAAUAAGCAGGGACUUCAACUUGAGUCGCUAAAGACCCCAAACCAUGACAACGUCCUCCAUGUUAACUUGGCAACCCAGGAGACUGCCGCCUGGCUUUUAAACAGAUUUCACUCAUGCGAUCCGGUUAUGAGUUUUUUCAUUACUAUGAUAAAAAAAGAAAAAAGAUCAGAUUUUAUCGAACAAAUUCUCAGCAAGUGUCCGUCACUGCUACUCCAAACGAAUGCUAAAGGUCAAACUCCUUUACACGUUGCAGCAAGGAAUGGACAUUCUGCUAUUGUGAAACUUCUAAUCAAGUUUUGCGCAAAAGCUAGAGAUGGAGAUUUAGAGAAGCUGGGAAUGGAUCAAGUAAAUGCAGUGAGGGAGAUGCUGAGGAUUACGGAUCAGGAAUCCAACAUGGCUUUACACGAAGCAGCACGUUGUGGCAAUGUUGAAGUGGCGAAAGCAUUGUUGGAGUUUGAAGACCCUGAUUUUCCGUAUUCUGCCAACAAAAAACAGGAGACUCCACUUUACAUAGCAGCUAGGAGGAGAGGAUCUGGGCGCUUGUUGACUCUAUUAUUAGAUAAACUCAAAUCAACUGCUCAUGGCGGCCCCCACGGUAGAACAGCUUUGCAUGCAGCAGCUAUGGCUGGUGAUGCAGGUAUGUUGUUGAGUUAGUUCCAUUUUUUUUUUUUAAUUUUGAAAUAAAUAGAGAACAGGUCUAUUGAGUUUUUUUUUUUUUGCUUGGAUUUAGAGGCAAUAAAGGUAAUAUUAAAUAAGAAGGGGAAUUUGACAAAGGAAAGAGAUGAAGAUGGACACACCCCUCUCCAUUAUGCUUCACACUUGGGUAAUAGAUUGUCAGUUGUGAAAGAACUGUUAAAAAGGGAUGUAACAGCUGCCUAUAUAGGUGAUAAAAAGAGGGGGAUGACACCCCUUCUUAUGGCAGCCAGGCAAGGCCAUAUUUUAACAGUUUCAAAGAUUCUCUCUUUAUGUCCAGAUUGUUGUGAAAAAGUGGACAACAAAAGUUUGAAUGUACUUCAUUAUCUGGCUUUUAGAGACUCUCCUUCUCCAUUUGGGAAUUCUGUUUUCAAGAGUGGUGAUAUUGAGAUUGUAUACGGAUCAGUCAAAACUCUAAUGGAGUUGGAAGGUGCCUUUGGAAUGACACCUCAAGAUGUUGAUAAUGCAGUUCGAUCUCAGAAACAUCAUCAUAAACAGGUAGUUGUGUGUACAUUUUACAUUUCUAUAGCUAUGGUUUUAUUAAUAUUUAAAAUUUUGAAUUAACAUAUUUAAUAAACCUAUAAUACAAUGGGCUAACGUGGUGGCAUGGCAGAAGCAAAUCAAAGAAUUGUUGGAAGAAAUUGAGAAUGAUCAAGUGGCGGAGGAACCAGUUCAUCACUUUACCGUACGAAAUAAUUCUAUAGAAAGUUUGGAGAAGACAGGAAAUGCUCAUUUAGUAGCUGCAGCUCUUAUAGCCACCGUCGCAUUUGCAGCAGCAAUAACUGUUCCUGGUGGUUUGGAGAGUGAAAAAGGGUCAAAUCGAGGCACUCCCAUUUUGAUUCAAGAGGCAGCCUUUAAAGCAUUUGUUGUAACAAAUGCAAUGGCCUUUAUUUUCUCUGUUUCUGCCCUCACCACCUACUUUGGGAUUCUGGAUCAUCUUUUUACACGAUUUAUUUUUUGGCGUGAAGCAAUAAUUUUAAAUCGAACUUGGUCUGUUUCUACGCUCCUUAGCUCUGCAACGCUUGCGAUGGUGAUUGCUUUCAGCACGGGUAGUUAUGUGGUCUUAAAACCUUCCCACGAACUUGCCAUUGUUUCAUAUCUCAUAUGCCCUGCCUUUUUACUUUGUAUGUGGGCAGCUUUGUUUGUAAUUUUGACUCGUUCAAUACAUAUUUAAAAUAUAAAUAUGAUAAUAUUACUUUAUGGUUUUUUACAAUGUUGUUUCAAUUAUUAUAAAUUCAAAAAUAUUUUAUUUUCUUUUAAUAGUUUUUCAAAUAUUAAAUAUAUAAUGCAAAAAUAUAUAUAUUUUGUUUCUCAUGAAAAAUAGAUAUCAAUCAUGCAUUUCAAGUUUUCAUUAUUGAAAACAAAAUUUUAUUUCUAGUUAUCAAACUUGAUUUUAAAUUUUCAAAAAAUAGAAAAUAAAAAUAUUUUCAGAAACCUAACGAAGCUUAACUUUUUUUUUUUGUUAGUAUACCAUUUGGUAUUUGAGUUAAUUUCAAUGUUCAAUUUGAUACUUAAGUUCGGCUUCAAUAUUUAAUUUGAUAUCUAAACCAAACGAUUUCAUAAGGCCUAAUAAAUAUUUGACAGGUCUACUCUAAUAAACAAGCAUGGGUAUUCUAAUUGAGACAAAAGAAAAAAAAAAGAAAAAGAAGCUCAAGUAUUAAAUUGAACUUUUUUAAAGUUAAACUCGGAUUCUUAACUAUGACAAAAAGAAACUCAAGUAUCAACGUGAAAAAAAAUUAAGUACAAAAUCGAACAUUCAAACCAAAUUCAUAUACAAAAUUAUAAAAAAUAAUCUUUUAAUAUUAAAUUAAAAUUUGAUAUGAAAUUCAAGUAUCAAAUAAUAUAUUAACUCUUCUUUUUUUUUUUUUGUUAAAUCCUCACCUUGAAAAAAAGCUAAGGUUAUUUGUUUUACAUUUACAACUUAAAAUUUUCAUAUAAAUAGAUUCUGUAUUUAUAAAAAUCUAUUUUUAUUAAAGAUUAAAUAAGAUUUAAGUGGUGUGUUGUUUUAAAGUUCACAGAUUUUUAUUUAAAAUAAUUACAUAAAAAUAAAAAACUCAAAAUUUCACACUAACAAUAUGAAGUUAAAAAAUCACACAUAAAAAAUAGCAUUGCUAAAGAUUCUGCUUUACUAAAUUGUUUAAGUAAGGAAUUAUACAUGCCAUGGUGCUUUCUUUGUAGCAAUGAUCUCUUUGGAUGGAUGAUGCGUUUAUUUACGGUUAGUGUAAAAAUAACGAUAUAAUACUCCAAACCCGGUCUAGAUGUUAUGGCCGAAUAUGGAGGACUUACAUUAGUUUGUUUUAAAACUCUUGAUUUAAUCAAACUUAGUUGUGCGUUUCAAAAACAAAAAACUUGGUGGAACUCUCACAAACGUUCAGAAAAACUUAAGUCCGAAAACACUUAUUUCAAACUCAGAAAUUUAGUUCAAUUUCAUUUGUUUCAAAAGUACCAAUUUUGGAUAAAUCAUUUCCGGUUAAUGCCAAAAUUUGUUAAAAACUAUUUAUUUAUUUACAGAAAAACAUUUAAGAGUAACUUAAUUUGCAGUGGAAAAUUUUUCAAAAUAAUUUUAGCUUUGAAAACCCUAAUCUAAUUUGCUAACCCAUGUGAUUUUAUAGUUUUAAGAUAAAAAAUAUCAAAAAAAAUCAACGAACGAAACGAAAACCAAAACACAACUGAAAAAUAGAUUACAGUCCCAAAAUUAAUUAAAACAUAAACCAACAUAUUUCAUUUAACGACUGGUAACCAAUCCAAGCUCCCGCACGCCGUCCGGUUCUAAGUCUGAAGUUUACCUAAAACAUAUUAAACAAGCAAGUGAGUUAGAAGCCUAGUGUGUGACCUGACCCACAAACAGAGUUUUCUUAUAAGUUUUGCAUAAACAAUAAUCACAUUGAAAUUUCGUAUCGUAUUACAUAUUAAAGCAUGUCAUGUAAUGUAUCGGAAAUUAUCACAUAUCAUAUUUGAAUGUCAUAAUUUUAAAAACAUAUAUCAGAACAAAAUUUCAUAAUAAACACAUUCUCUUAUACAAAAUUAAUUAUAUGUGUGUUCAGAUUCAAAUAUAAAUACAGACACAAAUCCUACCUCCAUUCGCAACACACCAAAUAGGACUACAAGAGUUCAUCCAUCCAAUCACACCAAUAUGUGGCGGUGUGCCACUCAUAAAUAUGUAGCUAAGCUUCUAUAUAGAAAUUUGCGAUCUAGUCGCCAUAUAUUUGCAAUAAAAACUGCCAUAUAACACUUCUUCUAUUAUAUCAUAACCCACCUCAAUGUAUAUGCAAAAUCACGUUAACAUUCAUACAUAUAUCAUAGAUUGUAUGGCAUGCAUGCAUAAAUAGAUAUUAUACAAAGCAUAACGCAACACAUAACUUAUACAGAUCAUAACAUAUUGAGAUUAUGCUCCACACAAAGGUUGCAAUUUUUUCGUGGAAGAAUUGUUAAAAAGAGUUGUAUCAGCUGCCUAUAUAAGUGACAAAAAGAGGGGGAUGACACCCCUUGAUUAAGUGCUAAAGUUACAUAUUUUAUGUAAUUGAAUUAGUUAAUUUAUGAGAGUGCACCGCUAAUUUUUCCAUGUUUACAUUGAAUUUUGUGCAGAGAUGCAAUUUGGGGCUAAAUAGAAGAAAAAUGAAACAAUUGGGCUAAAUUGAAGAAAGAAGCAAAGAAGGAGGGCCAAAGCAAAAUUUUCCCAAUAUUAAUUAGCUGAAAUUUUUGUUGACUUAGUGGGAGAUUAUUUUGGGAUUUUAUUUUAUAUCAUGGAAUAUUUUUCCAAGGCCACUAGUAUAAAUAGAGGCUACUUUGUUCAUUUUAUUCAUCAAUCAAUCAAUCAAAAUAUUAAGCUUUCAUCUUUCAAUACAUUUUCUCUCUUCCUGUCACGAAUUCAUUUGCUGCUUUUAGUUUCUUUUCCUUCAAUUUAUUAAUUCCUAGUAGCCACCAACUUAAGCCAUUUGCAAUCCCUUUUUCAAAUUCCCUUUUUAUUUCCAGUAGCCAACCACCCAUUUACCUUAUUUAAUUUAUCCAAUAGUCAACAUGCCCCAAACCUUAGUUAACUAAACCCAUUUUCAGCUUUAGGUCGGAAUUAACCUCGUCAAAACCCGUGAGUUACGAACCCGAGCAAUUUAACUCCUAAAUUCCAGUACUUAUUAUUUCUCUGGAUUAAGAGUAUGAUUUUUUCAACUCACAAAGUCAAACCAACAUUAAGUCAAAAAAGACGUCGUUUGAUUUAGUGUGGUUAGACGUACAGUUGAAAUUCCGAAAGGAACGUUUCUAAUCGGUUUUCUGUGAACACAUUGGCGUGCCAAGUAGAGAUUGCUGUUUGGUUCCGUCAAGGGAAGUAGUAACCAGAUUUAAAUGUCCCACGCGGUUGAGGGCAUUGGUUCGAGCUAGGCUUUUCUAGAACGCAAAGCUACCGGAGUUCUAAAUUACGAACGUUUCGUGGUUGUUCGAUCGGUAAGGGUUAGUUAUUGGACGUUCCAUAACUAAUUUACAGAAAGAAGAGUUGGUGUCUGAGGCAUCCUUGGUAGCUAUAACUAGCUUAUUGGAAAAGAGGAGUUCAUCUAAUUUCGAGGAUCGGUUCAAAGACGAGGAAAAAUCCGUGCCUAAAGCUGAGCUUUUUUUAAUUAAUUCCCCUUCAGAUUUUAUUUAACUAUUUUUAUUAUUUUGUCUUCAAGUUUUACUUUUUUACGUUUUUUUUAUUUAUUUAUUUCAAGUUUCAGAUUUUAUCCUCCCGAAUUUCUUGGGCACGACAAUUGCCCCGACAAAAAUCUAGUCAAGAGAAGAACAAUUUGCAGUAAACCCAGUCUCUGAGGGAUCGACCCUACUCUCUAUACUACUUAAAAUGCAAAUUAGGCAUAGGUUUAUAUUGGUGGAUUUGACACCCAUCACCCCUUCUUAUGGCUGCCAAGCAAGGUUAUCUUUUAACAGUUUCAAAGAUUCUCUCUUUAUGUCCAGAUUGUUGUGAAAAAGUCGACAACAAAGGUUUGAAUUUACUUCAUUAUCUGGCUUUUAGAGGCUCUUCCUCUCCAUUAGAGUGUCAUCUUUUCAAGCUUGGUGGUAUUGGGAUUGCAUAUGGAUCGGUCAGAAAUUUAAUGGAGUUGGAAGGUGCCUUUGGAAUGACACCUCAAGAAGUUUAUAAUGCACUUCAAUAUGAGAAACAUCAUCAUAAACAGGUUUAUAAUCAAUGAUUUUUUAUAUCUCAUCCGCACUUCAUUUUGGUGGCCUCCUCAUGGAUGGUUAAAGUUUAAUGUGUGUGGGAUUGCUAAAGAAGAUAGAGCAGGUUGUGGAGGUGUCUUGAGAGAUAAGGAGGGUGUCGCAAGAGCAUUUUUCUGGUUCAGUAGCAGCAAAUGAUGCCGAUGUGGCUGAGAUUGGUGCGGUGAAGAUUGCUCUGUAAGUAUUUUUUUUAGCUAUGAACUGGAAGAUUAAUGAUUCUUUAUUUAUUGAACUUGGUUCAUUGGUGGUGUUUUCUUGGUGUGCUAACAAGGAAUGAGACCAUGGUCUCUUCAAGCAAUUUUUGCAGGUAUUGAAAAUGACAUGUUAAAGGCUUGCAGGUCUCUUCAAGAAAGGUAACGAGAUGGCAUCUUCCUUGGCGAUUGCAGGUUAUAAUCGGGUGAAAAUGUUUAAAGCUUGGUGAUGAAUUUUUGUUUUGUUGCAUUCAUAGGUUUAUUAGAGUUGGAAUGCGUUUUAAUUUUGAUUGCUGUAAUACUGAAAUUUUUGUUGUUGUUCUGUUCGUCUUUGACAACAGUACAGCUCGAAUGAAGCAAAAAAAAGAAAAACGAAUGUUACCUCUUUGAAUAAGCAUUACUUUGAUUUUCAGUUAUAAUUAAAAAUUAGUUUGACAAAUCAUUGAAAAAUAUAAGAAUAAGUUUAAGAAAAAUACAAAGUUUUAUUUAAAAGUGGGAAGUCGUCCUCAACUUUUUUAGUUAGCUUUAAAAAGAUAAAAUUGAGUUUACAAUAUAAAUUCAAAGAAAAAUGUUUAGGUUAGAGAAUUCGUUAGCACUCUUGUGACGCCAAAAAUUGGGCACCUUAUUAAAUAUGUGUUGUCUACAUUCGUAAAUUAAAACUCAUAUCUUGGUUUUGAUUAUGAUCCAAUUUUUUGAUAAAUUAAAAAUAAAUAUUAAAUGAGUGAAUCAAUUUUUUAAUAGCAAAACAAAGAUAAUGAUCAAGUUGUAGCAUUUUCAAAAUUCAGGGGCCUUUUUUGAGAUUUUCCAUUUAUUUUUCAUCAUGUUUAAAAGAGAAGUUAUAAAUUUUGAAGUCAGUAGCCCAAUAUUUAUUAAACAUUAAUUGCGCCCAAAUCAAAUAUUAGCUCAAAGUUCAGAAACAUUCGAAUUUUAAAAUUGUGAAAGCAAUAACAUUUCAAAAACUAAUAAAUAUCAACAAAAUAAAAUUUGAUAUUAUCAUGUAAGCUGCUAUUUUCAAGAAUUUAAUGUUUUAGUCAAUGUUUUCGUUAAAAAAAAUCAAUUUGAUUCCUUUUGAAAGGUUUAUGAACUAAAUUCGACUCUUUUUUGAAAAGAUUUAGGACCAAAUUUAGCUCAAGAAAAGAAUAAGGGUUAAAUUUAGCUCAAAAAAAGAAUAAGGGCUAAAUUGAUAAAAAUAAAUUAUACAUAAAUACUAAGGGCUAAUUUUUUUUAUUAUGCCUACUAAGGGCUAAUUUUGUUAUUAUGCCUAAUGAAAAUUAAGAACUCAAUUUAAGUACUUAUAAAAUCUAUUUGAUAUAUUUCUUAAAAUACAGAACAUUAUUAGAUUGUUUGAUAAAUGUAAUUCUUAAAUUUUAAAAGUAAAGUAUUUAAAAUUUAAUGUUAAAAGAAAUAAAAUACAAAAGAAAAUCUAUCAAUAGUCUAUUAUUUACUUAUCAUUUUUCAUAUUUUUUUCGUUGAAAAAUUCUGUACUUUGAUUUGUCACUCAUUAUCAAUGGCUCUACUUUCUCCAAAUUUGUCUAAAAAUGGGUUUAAAAAUUUGUCUAAGCCUUACUUGAAAGAAAAUUAUUAAGCCUGAGCCCGGCCCAUAUUAAAUUUUACAACACCAAAAAAGGUAUAUAUUUAAUAUAUAUAUUUGAUUAAAAGUAUAUUUGAUUAAAAAUAAAAAAAUAUUUAAUAUAUAAUUUGGGUCGGGCCGGGCUCGGGUCAAAAAAAGUUUUACAAGAACCCCGCCCGUUUUCUAAACGGACCUCAUUUUUUUGCCCAAACUCAUAUUUCAGGCCUAUAUUUUUACCCGAACUCUCCCAUUUUUCGAGCAGGCCGUCGGGCCGGGAUGGACCACUCAACCCAUGAUCACCUCUACAUACAGGGCGACGAAAUUUAUUUUUUGAGAGGGUGGAAAUUAAGUUGAAAUUAAGUUGUAUACUUUUAUGAUAGUAAAAAAAUGUAAUUCCAUCCUUUUAAUAGUUUAAAUUUUUAUAAUAUUUAAAAGAUUAAAUUAAAUAUUUAUAAUUUUUAGAAGGUCAAAAUGUAAUUUUAUCAUUAUUAAUUUAAAAUUUUAUAAAUUAUAGAUAGGUUAAAAAGAGAGACCUAUCGUACCCUUGGCUGCACCCCUAAACCCAUAGGUUUUCAUCCAACUUUGAAAGUCCUUUCAAGCUUUCCAAUCUAUUAUAUUUGAUGUCUCAACGAUCCUAACUCUCGACCAAAUAAUCAUUUCCACUAUUUUUAAGCUAAUAUACUUAGGAUUGAGGUAGAAUAAGGACAUAGUGAAUUCCAAAAGUAAAUUAAUUUUUAAAGGGAUUUAAGCCUAAUUCAUUUUGUGUCAAGUCUACAGUAUUAUUAGUUCAUAUUAACACAUCUCUCUAAAGUUAAUCCUAUUCCGGCAAUCAAGAUAAAUUAUCUCUCCUUAUUAGAUUUUAGACAACAUAAUAAUUUUUAUAUAAAUUUCUCUCUCUUCGUAAUUCUAUAGAUUAUAAGUCAUGUAUUUAGAUUACCGACUAAUGGAAGUUGUAUUUUGCAUACAAAACUAAAUUUGUGAUGCAACUUCGAAUUAAUUUAACAGAGGAAAAGAAGAGGAGUGCGGCAGCCAUGCAGCAACGACCAAAGCCAAAGAGAAGGCGGCUUCCACACAAUUUCUUGACUUUUCUUGUGUUUCUCGUCCAUACAAUUAUUUUAUAUUCUAGUAGCACAUUUUCAUUUUGUUUCCCUUGUAAAUAUUUAAAAAUAUAUAAAUCUAAUUAUUUACAUGUUUGAUAAAUAAAUUGUUUGUAUAAAAAAAGUGAAUUUUAAAAUUAAAAUUCGUUUAUAUAAUUAAACAAAUUAAAAUUUAUGUCCAUAUUACAAAUUAAAUUAAAAUUAAUACAUGAUUUUGAUAUUUAUUUCUUUGCAUUUUCGAGAAAAUGUAUUGACUUCACCAAAAAGAGCUGGAGAGCUCAUUUUCUUCCAUUCUUCUCCUUCUUUGCAGUUUCCUUAAACCCAAAUUUCACCAUCAAAAACUCCUACUUUAUUGACCUCACUUCUAACCCUAUAUCACUAUUACUAUUACUAUUACUAAAGUGUUCAACUAUAUAUAGUUGUCAUUUGUAGUUGACUUGAAUGCAGGAUUUGCAACUAACUGGUAUGGCAUUUGGUAAAUUUCUGAUUUUGCAGUACUUUUUUCUUGAGCUUCGAAUGUUUCAAGCUAAUUAAUUCAAUUUUGUUUGGUGUUAUCCAGGAAGAAAUAGAUCAACAAAAAUGGGACCUGAAGAGCCUGAACAGAACAUCACUCACAUGGAUGCUUCGCUGUAUAAGGCAGCAGUAGAAGGCAACAUUGAAGAAUUCAAUAAUAAGCACGGGCUUCAGCUUGAGUCGCUAAAGACCCCAAACCAUGACAACGUGCUCCAUCUUAACUUGGCAACCCAGGAGAAUGCUACCUUGCUUUUUAACAUAUUUCUCUCAAUAAUCAAAUUCUUCCCCUUACUAUAUGGAUGCUUCUCUCCGCCUAUGCGUGAUUUAAUUACUAUUAUAAGAGGAGAAAGAAGAUCGGAUUUUAUCGAACAAAUUCUCAGCAAGUGUCCGUCAAUGCUACUCCAAACGAAUGCUAAAGGCCAAACUCCUUUGCACGUUGCAGCAAGGUAUGGACAUUCUGCUAUUGUGAAACUUCUAAUCAAGUCUUGUGCAAAAGCUAGAGAUGGAGAUUUAGAGAAGCUGGGAAUGGAUCAAGUAAAUGCAGUGAGGUGGAUGCUGAGGAUUACGGAUCAGGAAUCCAACACGGCUUUACAUGAAGCAGCACGAUUUGGCAAUGUUGAAGUGGUAAAAGCAUUGUUGGAGUUUGAAGACCCUGAUUUUCCGUAUUCUGCCAAUAAAAAACAGGAGACUCCACUUUACAUAGCUGCUAGGAGAGGAGACGGAGGCAUGCUGAGUAUACUAUUAGAUAAAUUGAAAUCAGCAGCUCUUGGUGGCCCCCACGGUAGAACAGUUUUGCAUGCAGCAGCUAUGGCUAGAGAUGCAGGUAUGUCGUUGAGUUAGUUCCAUUUUUGUUUUAAUUUGAAAUAAAUAAAGAACAGGUCUAUUGACAUUUUUUUUGCUUGGAUUUAGAGGCAAUAAGGAUAAUAUUAGAGAAGAAGGGGAAUUUGACAAAGGAAAGAGAUGAAGAUGGGCACACCCCUCUUCAUUAUGCUGCACACUUGGGUUCUAGAUUCUCAGUUGUGGAAGAACUGUUAAAAUGGGAUAUAUCAGCUGCCUAUAUAGGUGAUAAAAAGAGGGGGAUGACACCCCUUCUUAUGGCAGCCAGGCAAGGCUAUCUUGGAACAUGUUCAAAGAUUCUCUCUUUAUGUCCAGAUUGUUGCGAAAAAGUGGACAACUAUGGUUUGAAUUUACUUCAUUAUGCGGCUUUUAGAGACUCUGUCUUUCGAUUUGGGAGUUCUGUUUUUAAGCGUGGUGGUGCUGAGAUUGUAUAUGGAUCAGUUAGAAAUCUAAUGGAGUUGGAAGGUGCCUUUGGAGUCACACCUCAAGAAGUUUAUAAUACACUUCGAUCUAUGAAACAACAUCAUAAACAGGUGUGUGUGUAUAUAUAUUGCAUUUCCAUGGCUAUGGUUUUAUUAAUAUUUAAGUUUUGAAUUAACAUAUUUAAUAAACCUACAAUACACUCGGUUAAUGUGGGUGGCAUGACAGAAGCAAAUCAAAGAAUUGUUGGAAGAAUUGGAGAACGAUCAAGUGGCAGAGGAACCCGUUUGUAAGUUUCGCUUACCAAAUGUUUCUACAAAAAGAUUGGCGGCUAUAAGAAAUACUCAUUUAAUAGUGGCAGCACUUAUAGCCACCGUCACCUUCGCAGCGGCAAUAACUGUUCCUGGUGGUUUGGAGAGUGAAAAAGGGUCAAAGCAAGGCACUCCCUUUUUGAUUCAUGAGGCAGCCUUUAAAGUAUUUGUUGUAACAAACGCAUUGGCCUUUAUUUAUUCUGUUUCUGCCCUCUGCAUCUACUUUGGGGUUCUGGAUAAUCUAUUAUCAAGAUUUAAUUUUUGGCGUGAAACAAUUUUACAUCGAACUAAAGCUGUUUCUGGGCUUCUUGGCUAUGCAACAAUCGCGAUGAUGAUUGCUUUCAGCACAGGCAGUUAUGUGGUCUUAAAACCUUCCCACGGACUUGCCAUUGUUUCAUAUCUCAUAUGCCCUGCCUUCUUUUUCAUUCUGCAUUGGACUAUUUUUGAUUACUAUAUUAAGAGGAUAUUAUUUUAUCGUUGAUUACAAUAUGUUCCCAAUUCCUAAUGUCAAUGUUACCUCUUUGAAGAAAUAUUACUUUAAUAUUAAUAAUCUCCAUUUAAUUGAAAUAAAUAUAAAAUUAUUAGAUACACAUACAAUUUCAAAUAAAGUAAAAUUUAUUAAAUAUCAAAGAAUAAUAAAGAUGUGGCAAUUAACUCUCGGUUAUAAUUAAAAAUUAGUUACAUUAUAAUAAAGACAAUGAGAUUAAAAAAAAAUUCAAAGUUUUUGUGCAUUAGACUUUCAACAUUGUAACUUUAGCAUUUCGACUAUAACUUAAACUACGAAUCUCUAUUUUGAGCCCAUAAUAUAGUAAACUACUUCACAAAUCAAGCACCAAAACCUCAAGAAUGCAUCCAAAAAUAGCCUGGAAGUUUGACGUGAAAGUUGCUAAGAAAUCUUGAAACAAUCUGCUUUAUGUAAAUAGGUAAAUUUUUGCAUUUUCUAUAUUAUAUUAUCUUUGCCUUAUAAACAUACAUUAUUAGGUUAAAACUUGAGGAGAGACCCAGACAUAGUCACCUUAGCUUUAUUUUGUUUUUGCGUUUUAUUUUCUUUAUGAUUUUUUUUAAUUUUUUUUCUAGUUUAAGGUCAAUCAAAGUUUGAUUCAAUUAAUUUGUGAGACAUGAUUUGCACUUUAAUUCUUUUUUGUUCUUUGGUAUUCAUGCAUCUUCUGUUAUAAUUACAAUUGCUCAGGUUUGUUAGUAUUGAGUCAUCAACUAGAACUAAUUUAUUAAAAACAUUGAAGAUAUCAUUACAUAGAUGAUCGAACUUAAAAAUCAAUUGUAGAUUUUACCUUUGGGUAAAAUUACUUUCUUUGGUUCAGUUUUUAAUUUGAAUUUAGUUUUUUAUUUUAUAAAACCCUUUUUUUUAUUUACCUUAGUGGUUCUUACUUAAGGAAUAUAAUUAUCACUAAUAUCUAUAUAUGUGGGUAUAAUUUUGCUUGUUGUUUUCUAUUAGUUUAUAUGUUUAAAUUAAUUUCAAUUUUAUAGGUGUCGAUAGUCUAACAACUCUCUUGGAUCUUCCUUGUUGAGCAUUUUUGAACUUCUUAAACCUUUGGCUUCAUUUUGAUCUGUAUUUAAAAACUUUGUUUAAGUUUCGAGAUAAAAGGGUUAUCUACUCUUGCAACUCUUCUAUAGUAGUGUUAUGAUUAGUGGACAUUACUUCUGUCACUUGUAAGGAAACACCCUUUUUUCCUCCGCUUCAAUUUUCUUUUUAUUUCAUCUAGAUUGAUCUCAUAGGUUUGUAGAAAUCCAAUUAACCCAUCAAUUCACAUAUUAUCAAUAUCUUUGGCUUCUCCAAUGAUUGUGACUUUGAUGUUGAAUUUCUUUAGAAAAGAUCAAAUCACACAAUUUGGAAUAGAACUUGUCAAUUGUUUCAUUAUCCUUCAUUUUUAGAGUUUUAAACCUUGUUAUGAGCAUUUGUAAUUUAGACUGCUUCACAAUCUCUAUAACACCCCUAAACCCCGCCUGAACGUUAUGGCCGAAUCUGAAAUGUUACAAAGAAGAGUUUUGAAACCGAUCUUUACAUGAAAAAAACAACUCGUAUGGUAUGUUACUAGAAAAGAGUCCUUAUUUUAUAAAACAUAUCCAUUUAACAUUUUCUUUACUAAAACCAUCGAUAUUUUGUUCUUUAAGAAAAACUUAAUUUGCUGCAGAAAUCUUAAGUGUCAUUAUAUGUCGAAAACCAAGUUUGUGUUUCCCAAAAUGUUUGUUUGUGUAAAACCGUUAUUUAAAAAAAAAGCGUCUGUUGUACAUUGCAGAAAACAUAAUCAAACCAAAAACAACAUCAAAAACCAAAAGAAAUCAAAAAGGACGGAGAGUCCCAAAAUUACAAAACUCUCAACAAAAACCAAAAAUUAAAAUAAAACCAAUAAUUAAAGGAUAGUUUCCAUACUAGUGGUCAUCGCUGAGCCUCCGUCGCACCGACCCACCUAUGUUUGAAGAUUACUUGAAUAAAGUAGACAAACAGAUGUGAGUUUUCAAAAACUCAAUGUGUAACUUAACAGAGACAUGCAUACACAUAAACUCAGAUUUCUCAUGUAAUAGAUCAGAUACAGGCAUAAGUCCUUAACAGAAUCAUAUAAUAUCAUAAUCGGAUUAUCAGAAACAUACAGAUACGCAAAGUCCUACCCCCAUCCUCUACACACCAUCUCAGACCAUCCUAACACACCAUGUGGGGUAUAAAACACCCACCCAUCCCUACACACCACAUAAUGUCUUUAUAACACUUAUCAAGAAUAGUUUGCAGUCAAGCUGCCAGUAUAUCAGCAACAUGUUGCCUCACAGAACACUUCCUCCACAUAUACAAAUCCCACCCCAUACACAGAUAUAGAUAACAGAUAACAAAUAUAACAGAACUAACAUGUCCGGCAUCCUCAUAUACAAAUAUCAUACAUGUUAUUAUGAAAUAGUCAAAUCAUACAUAUCAACUUCUAAUUACUCAGAUUAGUCUAUCAAAAUAGCAGAUAUCAUGCAUUAAGGUUUGUUUUGCCCUUACUGACCCUAUGAAAGGCCCACAGUUGAUCGGGACGACGUGUGCGACCCUAAGGAAAAUUUUAGAAAUUUGGGCCCACACGCCCGAAACAGCCGGUCACACUGCCACACAUACUCCCGUCACACGGCUGUGUGGCAUCAACAGGCCACUUUUUCAACUUUCAUCGAACCUCGAUUUCUCGUGAUUUCAUUACACACCUGGUUCAAUUUUUAUGUGAAACAAUCUCGAGACCACCAAAACCUAAAAAUUGACAAUACAAGCCCUAAAAUCAGUCCUUAAUCCUCAAUUAAACCAAAACAAAAAAAUAAACUACAGUGAAACUCAAGUAUUCGCCACUUACCCAACUUCCCGAACAAUCCCAAUUAUGUUUCCGUAGGAAGAGAGUUUCGUUCCUCACGAUUCACUGCUACCAAUAAUCCACAAAUUAAUACUAACGAAAGACAACAUCGACUUAGAUCAACUUUAACAAUCGCCAAUAACCCGUGUAAAAUCUCACUACCUCUACUUACCUAGUCGCACGAAGAGAUUCAAAUUUCGAAGCAUCACAAUUUGAAUGGAAAAUCAUGACAAAAACUAAAAGAAAAGAAAGAGAAAGUUUUUGACAGAGGGAGAACAGAAGAAAGUUAGAAAAAGGAGAAUUUUUGGGAAAAAUAAAAUAAAAUCAAAAUAAAUCAAAAUUUAACACAUAUCUUAACUUCCCUCACUACUCAGAAUUUCACUACCACCGAACUUUAUCAUACAACUGAAGCAAAAAUUAAUAUUCACGCUCACACGGGGACUCAAACACAAAACCACAAGGCAAGUUAACACUUUACUAGUCAAACCAACAAACUCAUUCUAUUAUGACUUGACUAACAAUAGAAUAUAAGCCAAACCGUCAAGGAUAAAGCUAGGGUACAAAAUAACAUAAUUUUCCAAAAGAAAAACUUAAACCUAAGACCUCAAAUACACAAUCAGAACACUUAACCAUUGAAACAAAUACCCAUUUAUGAUAAAACUCACAGAAACAAAGUUAAAUUAGUUAGGGCGUUACAAUCUCCAUGCCUUGAUGGGCAAUCUCAGAGACUUCAAGCUAUAUAUAUAUAUGUGUGUCACUUGUCUUGAUAAGCCACAAGGUGUCUUGGAAUAAGUAAGGCAUUUUGUAAUUUUUCUUAAUUUGUAAUGUUUUUUUCUUUUAUCUUUGAAUGUUCCAAGGUAAUUGAUUAAUUGGUGUUUUCAAGGAAGAAAGCUGUGCAAUAGAUCAACAAAUAUGGGACCAACGUUAAACGAAAUUGUUAUUUCCUCCGGUGAACCUGAGAAGCCUGCAGAGAACAUCACUUACAUGGAUGCUUCAUUGUAUAAAGCUGCAGCAAUUGGCAAAAUUGAAGAAUUCAAUAAUUACCAGAGGCCUGAACUUGAGUCGCUGAAGACCCCAAACCAUGACAACGUGCUCCAUGUUAACUUUUCAACCCCUGAGCGUAUCUGGCAACGUGCUCCAUGUUAACUGAAUUGUAAAUAAAUUAAAUUACAAGGUUGACGUUGUGACAUUGUUACUUUCUCGUUGUGACGUUGUCAAAUAGUUUGCCACAUCACGAUAUUGUAGCACCACUUAUUGUUUUGGCCUCGUCGAGAUGACGGUGUUUCUCAUAUCACUGUGACAUUAUAGGUCAUUUCUUGUCGUGGUGUCAUAUGUUAUUUCUACAAAAUUUUUCUUGAUUAUGUUAAAGUUGUAUGACCCAAAUCCUAUCACUUGUUCCUACAUUAAGAAAUUUUACUAACUUUGCUUGAAAACACAACAAGAACAAAGUAAGUAGAAUUUUAUUUUGUUUAAAUAAAAUAAAGUAUAAGUUAAAGUGUUCAAGGAAUGAAAUAUGCAUGCUAUGACGCUUUUUGUUAUGCUAUGCUAAAGUGUUCAAUAAAGGAAUUAUGCAUCCUACGCUUUUGUUAUGCUAUGUUGAAGUGUUCAAGCAAUACAUUAUAUAUAUUAUAUGUGUCACUUGUCUUGAUAAGCCACUAGGUGUCUUGGAAUAAGUAAGGCAUUUUGUAAUUUUUCUUAAUUUGUAAUAUUUUUUUUCUUUUAUCUUUGAAUGUUCCAAGCUAAUUAAAUAAUUGGUGUUAUCAAGGAAGAAAGCUGUGCAAUAGAUCGACAAAUAUGGAACCAUCGUUCAACCACAUUAUUAUUUCCUUUGGUGAACCUAAGAAGCCUGCAAACAACAUUAUUUACAUGGACGUGUCGUUGUAUAAAGCUGCAGCAGUAGGCAAAAUUGAAGAAUUCAAUAAUUACCGGAGGCCUGAACUUGAGUCGCUGAAGACCCCAAACCAUGACAACGUGCUCCAUGUUAACUUAUCAACCUCUGAGUGUAUCGGGCAACGUAGCAGAUCAGAUUUUAUCGAACAAAUCCUUUUCAAGUGUCCAUCACUGCUACGCCAAACAAAUGCGAAAGGUCAAACUCCCUUGCAUGUUGCAGCAAGGAAUGGGCAUUCUGCUAUUGUGAAACUCCUAAUCAAGUCUCGUGCCAAAGCUACUGAUGAAGAUUUAAAGAAGCUGGGAAUGGAUCAAUUGAAUGCAGUCAGGGAGAUGCUGAGGAAUACGGAUCAGGAAUCCAACACGGCUUUACAUGUUGCAGCAAGGUAUGGUCACGUCGAAGUGGUGCAAGAAUUGCUGGAGUUUGAAAACCCUGAUUUCCCAUAUUUUGUCAACAGAAAUCAGGAGACUCCACUUCACAUAGCAGCUAGGAGAGUAGAUAAGCUCUCACUGAUUAUACUAUUAGAUAAAUUGGACAGCUUUGCAUGCAGCAGCCAUGGCUGGAGAUGUCGGUACGUUAAGUUAGUUCCAAAUCAUUCUUGUUUGAAAUAAAUAAAGAAUCAAUUUAUUGACUUUUUUGUUUUGUUUUGCUUGGAUUCAGAGGCAACAAAGAUAAUAGUAGAGAAUAAAGGGGAUAUGACAAAGGAAACAGAUGAAAAUGGACACACCCCUCUUCACUAUGCUGCGCACUUAGGUCACGAUUCAGUUGUGGAAGAGCUGUUAAAAUGGGAUUUACUUGCUGCCUACGUAGGCGAUAAAGAGUGGGAAAUGACACCCCUUCUUAUGGCAGCCCGGCAAGGCCAUGGACAAAUAGUAACAAAGAUUCUCUCUUCUUGUCCGGGUUGCUGUGAAAAAGUGGACAAAAGGGGUUGGAUAACUUUUUCAUUUUGUGGAGUGAAAGUUUUCAAGACAACAUUUAAUAGAACUGUUCUAUAUUUUAUUAACUAAACAACUGAAUUUAAAUAGAAAAAAGAGUAUUAAUUUAAUUGGAAAAAUAAUUUCCUUAUUUUAAUAAACUACUAAAAGAUAAAAUCAAAUAUUCUUAGAAUAUCUCAAAUAAUUUAUUCUAAAAUUUAUCUACCUAAAUAAGAUUUAUCUACCUAAAUAACUUUAAAAUAUAUCCCAAAAUAUAUGCCUUUCACAUAUUUCAGCACAGAGAUCCUUCUUUAUUUACAAUUCUCCAACGUGAUAAUGGUUGUAGCACUAUAUAUGGGCUAGUAAAAAAUCUAAGGCAGUGGAAAAAUGCCCUCGGAAUCACACCUCAAGAAGUCUAUGACACAUAUCGUAGUCGUUUCCAUAUCACUGAUCAGCGUACAGAGAAAAUGGUAAAAUUUCUAUGGCCUAUGGCUAUGGUUUUACAUGCAUGUAUAUAAAAUACAAAGACCUAUACUACAAUACAAUCGAUUAAAGUGGCAGGAGCAAAUUAUGGAAUUGUUGAAAGAUAUUACAAAUGAGGAAGUAGCCGAGAAACCAGUUCGUCCCAUACCUUCGAUAACUAUCUCUGCAGAUAGGUUGGAGAAGGAAAGAGAGGUUCAUUUAGUAGUGGCAGCACUUAUAGCCACCGUGACUUUCGCAGCAGCCAUAACCGUUCCAGGUGGUUUGAAAAAGGAAAAAGGGUCAGAGCAGGGCAUUCCUUUUCUCAUUCAUGAUGCAACUUUUAAAGCAUUUAUUGUAACCGAUGCAUUGGCCUUUCUUUUCUCCCUUUGUGCCCUCCUUUUCCAUUUUGGAAUGCUGCCUCCUUUUUCCUCAAUUCAGCGCCCUACUUUUCUGUCUCACGUCGGUGCCACUACGUUUCUUGGUUAUGCAACGUAUGCGAUGGUGAUUGCUUUCUGUACAACCAUUUAUGUGGUGUUAAAGCCUUCGUACGGGCUUUCCUUCGUUUGCUAAUCCAUGGCAUUGUUUUCCAUUAUUUGGUGGUGAUUGUACAUUAAAGAUGAAAGAGGGAAAUAGUCCUUCAUUAAAAUUGAGUUAUUAGAAUUCCACGUAUUGGCCUAAUAGUUAGGGUGUUUAUUGUCCUUGGUGUCGCUUAAAUUCGAGUAGCGCUAGUCACGUUGCUAUUAAGGCUUUGUCCUCCUCUUAUAAUUCACCAAAAAAAAAAUUUUGAGUUAUUAAAUGCUGAUUUAUGUUUUAUAAGUAUAAGGAUUAAUGAUAAAUUUAUAAAUAAUAUUAUUUGCACAAUUUUAAUUAAAUUAAUGAUUAAAAAUCAACUAAUAAAUUAUUUGAGUCAAAAGUUGAAUAUAAAAACACAGCAAGAAUAAGAUAAUAGAUUAAUGUUGUUUUGUUUGAAGUAAAAGUAUAAAAUUAGUAAAACACAUAGCAAGGAUGCUAUGCUAUGCUAAAAUGUUGAAGUAGGGAAUCGGUGCUUUCAUCAAUUAUGGAAUUAUAUAUGGUUUUCGUUUGUUUUGAUAACUUGUAGGUGAUUUGAAUGAAGCAUGUUAUAGUUAAACCCUAAAUUCUAAAACAUAAACUUUAAAUCGAGAAAGAAAACCUUAAAUAAAUGAGUAAAAGUAUAAUUAUUGUUAAUUAAAUGGUAAUUAAAAUAAAAAUAUAGUCAAAAUAAUAUAAUGAGUUUUAUCUGCUACAAUUCGUUACGACAAAUUAAGUUCUUUUCUGUAAUUAAUAAGCUUAUUUUUGAAUAAUUUGAUUACAUUUCUAUUAAUUUCCCAUUUUAGCAUUUUAUGUUCGAUUUCAAUAAAAUAAACAUUUUUACAUAGUUAGGUGUUUUAAUGGCCCGUUAGGCCAAUCAAAGCCUAAGAAACAACUAAUGGAUUAAUUGAGUGUGUCGGACAUCGUUUCGGGCCAAGAAAUUUGAAGAACGACCCCAAUGUCGCAACAUCCAUUAAUAGUGUUGUAACAACCAACUUCGAAAGUUAGAAUGGGGAUGCAAAGACGACAGUGUCGCAAAAAUGAACUUUGCAUGCAAGCUAGGAGAGUAAAAUCGAUGAUGUCGUGACACCCAACUUCGAGGCCAAGAAAGUCUCAUUCGAUGUCCGAUGUCUUGACAUCAGUCCUAUUGACACUGAUUCAACGAGGGCAAAAUACAACUGAGGAGGGUGUUUUCAUAUGCACAACUCAUCCUAACCCGUUAAUCACUUGCAUUUGAUCUAAUAAGAUCAUAAAAUACCAGAAUUAUAAAUAGAAUAGUUUAAGGUUUAAUUGGGAUUUUAUUCCCUUACUUAAUUUUCUAGCUUUAGGUUUUGUUAGAUUGGGAACUUCUAUUUUAGAUUCAAUUUUAAUUCGAGUUUUAAUUUCUUCAUCAAUCUUUAGUUUUUCUUUUGCAUUGGCUUUCAAUCGCUGUUUCCUCAACGAUUAUUAAGGGGUUUUUGUCUUCCAAGCACAAUCGGCAUAUCAACGAAUCAAAAUUAUAUUUUCCCCUCUUUCUAGUUUGCUAUUUGUUUUAAUGUCUGGAUUGAAUUUAAGGAAAAUUGUAUUUAGACUUAUGAGGAGCUAAACCAGUAGGAAGAUUAAAGAUCGAAGGUGGAAUUAAUUAACUGAGAAAUUAGAGUUCUCCUUAGAAUUAGUUGACUUAAAUUAUGUGUAAUUAAAUCUUAAGGUUGACAACUCUAAGAAGUUAUUUAGGUAAAUGAGGUCAAAAGAAUAGUUUAUCGAGUAUUUCCUAAUUUAAUUCGAUUUAAACUGCGAUGUCAAAAUAUAAGUAGUUUCUAAAGAUUAAUUGAUCUAGUUACAGGCUGAAAGGUAAUAACUAGGUUAAUUAUUAACUAAUUCAUCAAAACCCGAAUUCUGAAGUUAAUUAUGAACACUGACAUGAGUUAAUCUUCUGUCUUUUACCGAGUGAAUUUCAAUUGUUAGUUUAGUUUUCUUUAAUUUACGGUAGUGUCACUACUUAAUUUUAUUUAGAUUUUUCGUACUAUAAUUUUAAAUUAUUAUUGUUUAAACCUGUUAGUGUAGAAAUUAAUCUCUAGUUUAAUCUAGCCUCUUUUGGUACAAUUUUUUGAAUACUUAGUUGUUCCAUUGUAACUUUUAUGUUAUAACCUGACUUGUAUAUUUGCGAACAUAACUAUUAUUUCAUAUAUUUUAUUUACAGUAUUUCCAGCCCCGAUAUUUACAUGUCGAGGCGAGUAAUCAGAGUUCCAACAACUCGUCCUUAGAAGUAAUAAAUAUUAAUAUUUUAAAUAGAUAUAGUCAAAAUAAUAUAAUGAGGUCCAACAACUUGUGGUUGGAAGUAAUAAAUAUUAAUAUUUUAAAUAAAUGUAGCCAAAAUAAUAUAUUUAUGUCCAACAACUAGUCCUUGGAUGUAAUAAAUAUUAAUAUUUUAAAUAAACGUAGCCAAAAUAAAAUCCAACAACUCGUCCUUGGAAGUAUUAAAAUUUUGAUAUUAUUGUUUUUUUUAUAUUUUUAUAAAAAAUAAAAUAUAUAAGCAAUUUGAAUUUUAGUCAACAUGAUUUCAACGUUCUUAAAUUUAUCAUUUCAAUCAUAACAUUAUUUGUUUUUUUAUAAACAUUAACAUGGUAAUAUUUUUAUUUUGGUUUUUUCAAAAUAUUCAUUGAAACAAGUCUAAUGAUUAAUCUUUCGUAUUCUGUAAGUCCAUUAAGAGGUAAGUGCUAAAGUAUAUAUAAAAUAUAUAAAAUAUACUAAGUGUGUCUUAAUUUUAUCAUUUCAGUUAGAGCAUUAUUUAAUUCUUUUAAAAAACAUUUACAUAAAAUUUUCACUUACAAUUAAUGUGUCAUAAUUUAGUCAUAUAUAAAUUUAAAAGUGAUAAAUUUGUUUUUUGGGUACAUGAAGAAUGAUCAAAUCAUAACUAGACUAGAUGGGACCAAGUCAUUUCAAAGCAAUCAUUAUAUAUCUUUUGAAGGAUUUCAUCUGGAGUUGCAUAUAGCUAUAUAUGUCCAGAGGCCCUGAAAAUCCAUUAUUACCAGUCCAUCGGCUACUCAAUUACCCUAUCUGAAUACGUGAUGUGUCCCACUAAUCAUUCAAGCUCCUUGAGUAAUUUCUUUAAUGCUAACAAUUUAGUAAUUUAAUGAUCUUUAACAACCUUGUUUUCCGUAUUAUAUAAUUUUAAUUAAUAUUUUAUAAUUAAAAUUAAAAAUUUAUGUAUUCAAAUUAAUUCAAAUUCACCUAACCUUUGAAUUAGAUUGAUAAACUACAUUUAGAUAAAUCUAUUUAUAACAACUUAAUUUUUUAUUUAAAUUUAUAUAUAAUUCAAUAACAACUUAAUUUUGUAUUUAAAUUUAAAUAUAAAUCAAUCUUAUAAUAUUUGUAAUUAAUAUAGAGUAGUAAACUAUUCUUAGUCAUGAAUUAAUUUCUUCCACCCAUUCUUGGCUGCAAAACCAAAGACAAUGAGAUAAACAAAUAAAAAGAGUCAAGAACGAAGAAAUCCUAGCCUUGAUUUAUGGUUUCAUUAAUUCUACCUUUUGGCCCACAAAAUGAAAAUAAUGACAAAAAGUUGUUCAAUUCUUGAUUGAGUCUUAGCUCAAUUGUUAUUAACAUUAUUACCUGUGUAAGAGGACGUGGGUUCGAGUGUGCUGAAACGUAUUAUCUUCUACCUUAUUUAAGGUCGGGGAGAGAAAAAAAAAAGUUGUUCAAAUGAUGUAAGGGAUCAUUAGUUGUAAUGGGAAUAGAUUUGUGAAAAUACUGAUUUGAGUGGUUUAGGCCAUUGUGCUCUUCAAAAAUUUGAAAUUUCGUUCUUAUAUUUUUAUUUUUAAAAAUUUAGUCCCUCUAUUUUUAAGAUCUUAAAAUUUAGGUCCAAUUGUUAAUUCUAUUGUUUUAACCUUGAAAAAUUUGUAGAUUGAGAUCACAUCCCUUUCAAAAUUUGCUGAAUUUUCAAAAAAAUAUGUUAAAUGUUUGAUGUGAUUUUUCAAAAACUUUACAGAAACUUGGUUGAAGAAUUAAUGGUUUCCAGUUGACAAGUUGACUUAGGCAUUACAGGAGAACUGAUAGUUUGAUGAAUCUAUUUGGUUAUAAAAUAUUUGUAUUGAUCACUCUGCAAGAGACUAAUUACAGGCAAGUAACAAACAGGAAAGACAUUUGGUAAUUUUCUGAAUUUCUAGCUUCUUUUUUUCUUCAGCUUAGAAUAUUCCAAGCUAACUAAUUAAUAUUUGUUUUGUGUUAUCUAGGAAGAAAGCUCUGCAAUAGAUCAACAAAAAUGGAACUAUCGAUAAACGUCAUGCCUAUGUCCUCCGGAAAACCUGAGGAACCUGAAGAGAACAUCACUUACAUGGAUGCUUCGUUGUACAAGGCAGCUGCAGAAGGCAACAUUGAAGUAUUCAAUAAUAAGCAGGGGCAUCAACUUGAGUCGCUAAAGACCCCAAACCAUGACAACGUGCUCCAUGUUAACUUGGCAACCCACGAGCUUGCUGCCUGGUUUUCUAAUGGAAUUCUCUCAAGAACUAGAUCCUUCCCCAAUUUAUAUUUAUUUGUCUAUUUGUUUUUGUGGAUUUUCAUUAUUAAGAAAACAAGUGAAAAAAGAUUAUAUUUUACCGGACAAAUUCUUACCAAAUGUCCGUCACUACUACUCCAGACGAAUGCUAAAGGUCAGACUCCUUUGCACGUUGCAGCAAGGAAUGGACAUUCUGCUAUUGUGAAACUUCUAAUCAGCUUUUGCGCAAAAGCUAGAGUUGGAGAUUUAGAGAAUCUGGGAAUGGAUCAAGUAGUUGCAGUGAGGCAGAUGCUGAGGAUUACGGAUCAGGAAUCCAACACGGCUUUACAUGAAGCAGCACAGUAUGGCGAUGUUGAAAUGGUGGAAGAAUUGUUGAAGCUUGAACACCCCGUGGAAAGAUUGUUGGAGCUUGAAAAUCCUUAUUCUCCGUAUUCUGCCAACAAAAACCAGGAGACUCCACUUUACUUAGCAGCUAUGAGAGGAGAAGAGCCUUUGCUGAAUGUAAUAUUAAAUAAAUGGAAAUCAGCUGAUCAUGGUGGCCCUCAUGGUAGAACAACUUUGCAUGCAACAACUAUGGCCGAAGAUAAAGGUAUGUUGAGUUAGUUCCAUAUAUAUUUUUUGUAAUAAAUAAAGAAUAGAUUUAUUGACAGUUUUUUUGCUUGGAUUUAGAGGCAACAAGUAAAAUAUUAGAGAAGCAAGAGAAUUUGAGAAAGAAAAAAGAUAAAGAUGGGCACACCCCUCUUCAUUAUGCUGCACACAUAGGUUACAAUUCUGUUGUGGAAGUAUUGUUAGAAAAGGAUGUAUCAGCUGCCUAUAUAGGUGAUAAAAAGUUGGGGAUGACACCCCUUCUUGUGGCAGCCAGGGAAGGUAAUGUUGGAACAGUAAAAAAGAUUCUCUCUAAGUGUCCUGAUUGUUGUGAAAAAGUGGACAAAAGAGGUUUGAAUUUACUUCAUUAUUUGGCGUUUAGAGACCGUUCCUAUAAAUUAAGUCAUUCUCUUUUCAUGCCUGGUGGUACUAAGACUGAAUAUGGAUCAAUCAGAAAUCUAAGGAAGUUGAAAGGUGCCUUUGGAUUCACCCCUGAACAAGUUUAUGCAUUACUUCGAUAUGAGGGUCAUAACGAGAAAUAUCUGGAUGAAAAGGUGUGUAUUUCUAUGACUAUGGGUAUGGUUUUAUUAAUAAUUGGGUUUUGAAUUAACAUGUGGUGGUAUGGCAGAAGCAAGUCGAAGAAUUGUUGAAAGAAAUUGCAAGUGAAGAAGUAGCAGGGUUACAAGUUUCCCACAUUCCCUUACCAACUGUCCCUGCAGAAAGCUUGGAGAAGACAAGAGAUGCUCAUUUAGUAGUGGCAGCACUUAUAGCCACCGUCACAUUUGCAGCAGCAAUAACCGUACCUGGUGGUUUGAAUACUGAAAAAGGGUCAGAGCAGGGCACUCCUUUUCUGAUUGAUGAGGCAGCCUUUAAAGCAUUUGUCGUAACAAAUGCAUUAGCCUUUAUUCUCUCUGUUUCGGCCCUCUCCAUCCACUUUGGGAUUCUGGAUCCUCUUUUACCAAAACUAAAAUUUUGGGGUAUUAAUCUAAUAUUAUAUCGAACUCAGUCCGUUUCUAAUCUCCUUGGCCGUGCAAUGUUUGCGAUGGUGAUUGCUUUUAGCACCGGCAGUUAUGUGAUUUUAAAACCUUCUCAUGGACUUGCCAUCGCUUCAUGUUUCAUCUGCCCUGGCUUUUUUGUUUGUUAUUACGUACAACAAUCCCUAUCUUUCGUGAAGAGGUUGUUGGAGUGAUAAGUGAUAAUAACGAAUUUCAUCACAAAUAUUAUAUUAUCUGUGACAAAUUUUAUAUGUCGCACUAAUUAUACCACAAUAGUCAUUAUUAUGAUAAUAGUUGUGACGGUUUAAAUAUUGUUUCUAUAAAUGUAUAAUGGUGACCUAAUCUAUUUGUCAUUAGCAAUUCUCUUUCUUCUUGAGUAAUUAUAUAAUAGUCACAACAUAUAAUUAUUCCGAACAAAAUUAGGCAUUUAUAAAGCUCAAACAAAAGCAUUUGAAUUUUUUGUAAUGAGAUGAAUAGAAGUUAUUAAUUCCGAGUUUUGUAAGUAGAGAUAAUCAAUUUUUACUAAAAGGUACUCAUAUUGUGUGAAAGACAAUAAAAAGAAGAGCUCAUGGAGGCCCAUGGUAGAACAACUUUGCAUGCAGCAGUACUGGCUGUAGAUGGCAGGCAAUUAGAUAUGCAAAUAUGUUAUCAACAACUUCAUUUAUUUCCCGAAAUAUAUGUGAAAGGGAAUUAAAUCUCUAUUUGAAGCCAAAAUGGAUGUGGUUCCAAGUGUUGAGCGGCAUAGGAAGUAAUCAAAAUAUAUGUUGCACUGCAAGGAAUUCAAGGCUGCCUUGUCCACAAAGGCUUAUAACUGCUAAGCACCUGCUCUUAAAUUUGAUUAUGGCCUAAUAAACAACAUAGGGCAGCAUUGACUUCACUACAAAGAGCUGUAGACCCCAUUUUCUUCCAUUCUUUGUCUUCAAUUCUUCUCCUCCUUUGCAGUUUCCUUAAACCCAAAUUUCAACCAGUCAAUUAAAUGUUUAAAUUUGAAAAUCCCCAUACACUUGAUGCUAUUUUCUUUUCUUUUUUUUGAAUUUAGCUAUGGAAUUUACAUCUUUUAUCAAUUUAGUUAUUUUUAUUAUUUUUUAAAUUAAAUUUGACUCUUCAUCUUUCAUAAUAGAGUUCAAUUUUACCAUAACACAAAGAGCUGUAGACCUCAUUUUCUUCCAUUCUUUUUUUCAAUUCUUCUCCUUCUUAGCAGUUUCCUUAAAAGCAAAUUUCACCAUAAAAAGCUCCUACAUCAUUGACCUGACCUAUAACCCUAUAUAUUACUAUUACUAAGCAAUAGUGUUCAAGUAUGAAAUUAUAUAUAGUUGUCGUUUGUAGGUGACUUAAGUGGAGGAUAUGCAAGCAACAAACAGGUAUUGCAUUUGGUAAAUUUCCUAAUUUGCAGUAUUUUUUUCUUGAGUUUGGAAUUUCAAAGCUAAUUAAUUAAAUUUUGUUUUGUGUUAUAUAUCUAGGAAGAAAGUUGUGCAAUAGAUCAUGGGAACAUCGAUAAACAUCAUGUUUAUAUCCUCCGGAAAACCUGAGGAACCUGAAGAGAACAUCACUUACAUGGAUGCUUCGUUGUACUAGGCAGCUGCAGAAGGCAACAUUGAGGUAUUCAAUAGGUACCCAGAGCUUGCACUUGAAUCGCAAACGACCCCAAGCACUGACAACGUGCUCCAUGUUAACUUGGCAACCCACGAGCUUGCUACCUGGUUUUCUAAUGAAAUUCUCUCAAUAACCAGAUACUUCCCCAAAUUAUAUUGUUUUCGUCUAUUUGUUUCAGUGGAUUUUCAUUAUUAACAAAAAAAGUGAAAAAAGAUAAGAUUUUAUAAUGACCCCAAACCAUGACAACGUGCUCCAUGCUAACUUGGCAACCGAGGAGACUGCUGCCUGGCUUUUAAACAGAUUUCUCUCAAUACUCAACUUCCUCCCCGUAAAAUAUGUAUUCAUCACCGUAGAAAAUGUACCAUCUAUCGGUCUUUGAUUAUUUUCAUUACUAUGAUAAGAGGAGAAAAGAGAUCAGAUUUUAUCGUACAAAUUCUCAGCAAGUGUCCGUCACUGCUAAUCCAAACGAAUGCUAAAGGUCAAACUCCUUUGCACGUUGCAGUAAGGUAUGGACAUUCUGCUAUUGUAAAACUUCUAACCAAGUCUUGUGCAAAAGCUAGAGAUGGAGAUUUAGAGAAACUGGGAAUGGAUCAGGUAAAUGCAGUGAGGGAGAUGCUAAGGAUUAGGGAUCAGGAAUCCAAUAUGGGUUUACAUGAAGCAGCACGGUGUGGCAUCCAUCAUGUUCCAUUACUAUUGUCAAAAUUACUGUUAUGCACACAACUUGACUUUGGCUGGUCACUCAUUAUCAAUGGCUCCAGUAUCAAAUUAGGGGUACUUAAUUGUGUUCUCUUGAAAUAUUGAAGAAACUAUUUGAAUACUGAAUACCAAAUUCGCGUUCCCAUUUUAGAAACUAUUUUAAUUUCUUUAAUUUGAAUAUCAAAUUCGAUCUAGGAUCAUCAAGCACUCUUAUUUUUUGAAUUAAUUUUGUAACGGAUUUAAGAUUAUAUUUCAUUUUCGGUUCCAUCUAAUAUGUUAUUAGUCCAAAUUAACACAUCUAUAUCUCUACUUGAUAGUCAAUCCUACCCCGGUAAUCAAGACAAGCUAUUUUUUAUUUUGUUUAAUGAAGAUCAUAUGUUAGAAGCUAAGAAAUUUAUCAAAGUAUAAGAAAUUUUUGAAUUAUUACUAUUUUAAUAUUUUUGUCUUUUAUAUAUUUUUUAAAAAUUAGAAAAUAUAAAAGCAAAUCAAAUCUAAGCUACUAUGACUUUAAUAAUGCUAAUUUUGUAAUUUCAACCAUAACACUAUUUUCUAAAAUAAAUAUUUACAUAAAUUUUUUUGUUACAUGAUAAAUAUGUGAGAAUUUUUUUUCUUAAGGUAUCCACUAAAGCAAGCAUAGUGAUUUAUUUUCCGCAUUUUCUAAACCUAUUAAGAGAGUAAAUGUUUAAAUAUAUAAAAAAAUAUAUUAAGUGUCUCAUAAUUUUUAUUAAAAAUUAUUAAAAUUUAACAACCUAAAUCCGGCCUAGACAGAAAGACUAAGUUUGGGAUGUCUCAUGAGUGAUGAAACUUAGUUGUAUUCCAACUAAGUUUGUUAGUGGUAGUAGGUGGUGAUUUAUUUUAAGUGGAUGUAAUGAUGAAACUUAGUCGUAUUCCAACUAAGUUGUCAAGUUGUAAGCUUGUAUAAAUAGGCUUUAUGCCAUUUUAAAAAAAUGAAUGAAUUCAAUCAAGAUUUCAUCCAUAUACUCUCUAUUUUAGCUUUGCUUAAAAUUUAUUUCAUUUUUCUUCUUUGUUUCUGCCGCAAGUCUCGAUUCUUGCUCGGCAAGCUUUUUGUUGAACCUUGCUAUUUGUUGCACUUAGCUCCAACAAUUGGUAUCAAGAGCCUAUUUCUUAAGGGAUCUGUUAUACAAAUUCAUGGCUUCAUCAAGCUUUUCACCAGCUGCACCUCAAGUCUUCAAUGGAGAAGGCUACCACAUAUGGGUGGUUAAAAUGAAGACCUACCUACAAGCUUUCGAUCUGUGGGAGGUAGUCAACUCAGAUGUUGAACCAGAGCCACUUAGAGGCAAUCCAACAGUGGCUCAAAUCAGGCAGCAUGCUGAUGAGAGGACCAAGAGGCACAAAGCCAUGUCUUGCAUCCAGAACUCAGUGUCAGAUGUGAUUUUCACAAGGAUUAUGGCCUGUGAAUCACCAAAACAAGCCUGGGACAAGUUGCAAGAGGAGUUUCAAGGGACAGAGAGGACAAGGCAGCAACAGUUGCUGAACUUAAGGAGAGAUUUCGAGAAUUUGAAGAUGAAGGAAGAAGAAACUAUCAAGCAGUACUCUGACAGGAUUAUGGCUGUGGUUAACAGCAUAAGGCUCCUUGGAGAGCAGCUCAAGGAAGCUAGGAUAGUGGAGAAGGUUAUUGCAACUCUGCCCGAGAGGUAUGAGGCAAAAAUCUCAUCUCUCGAGGACUCAAGGGACCUGUACACCAUCUCCCUGAUAGAGUUGAUCAAUGCUUUAUAUGCUCAAGAGCAAAGAAGAGCAAGCAGACUGGAGGAGCAUCAAGAAGGUGCCUUUCAGGCAAGAACAAACACUGCCUACAAAGGCAAGAAAGCCUGGAGAGACAAGCCAAGGACUGAUGUUGCAAGAAAAGAGGGUCAGACUUGCAAGCACUGCAGAAGGGCUGGUCAUCCAAAAGAAAAAUGCUGGUUCAAUCCAGAUGCUGUAUGUCAGCAUUGUAAAAAGAAGGGUCAGGUUGAGAGAGUCUGCAAGAGCAAGGCCAAAUCAAGGCAGAGUCAGUUUCAACAGAAGAAAGCUGAGGCUCGAGUAGCUAAGGAGGACAGUGACCAAGAGGAGCAAGUCUUUGCUGUGUUAUGCUCAGCUGCUCAAGAAAGGUUCUCAUCUGGUUGGCUUCUAGACAGUGGAUGCACCAACCACAUGACACCUGAUGCUGCAAUCUUCAAGUCUUUAGAUAGAAGCUGCAGAACUAAAGUCAAGAUAGGAAAUGGACAUUUUAUUCAAGCUGAAGGCAAGGGUGAUGUGCUGAUAUGCACCCCCACAGGUGCCAAAGUGAUUUCAAAUGUGCUUUUGGUGCCUAAAAUUGACAGAAACCUGCUCAGCACAGCUCAGUUGCUGGAGAAAGGUUAUUCUGUUGUGUUCAAAGACAACCAAUGCCAAAUCAAUGAUCCAAGUGGAUCCAAGCUGAUGGCAGUUCCUAUGGCUAAUAAGAGCUUUGUAAUUGACUGGACCAGGGAGUCAGACAUUGCCUACACAGUCACAUCAGAUGAAUCUAAGCUUUGGCAUCAAAGACUGGGACAUGCCAACUUCAGAUCGAUGGCUCGAAUGGUCAGAGAGGACUUGGCUGAAAACUUCAUCAACUCAGUGGAUCAUGAUGAUGUGUGUGAAGUGUGUCAGCUAGGAAAGCAGGCCAGACUCCCAUUUCCCUCGAAUCAAGCCUGGAGAGCUUCUGAAAAACUCCAACUGGUGCACACUGAUGUGUGUGGCCCUAUGAGGACUGAGUCAUUAAGUGGAAACAGGUACUUCAUACUGUUCAUUGAUGAUUUUUCAAGAUAUUGCUGGCUUUACUUCCUAAAACAGAAAUCAGAGGCGGCCUCAGUGUUUUGGAAGUUCAAGACUGCUGCUGAGACUGAAACAGGUUGCAAGCUGAAGUCCAUAAGGUCUGAUAAUGGGACUGAGUACACCUCAGCUCAGUUCCAAGCCUUCUGUGAUAAGGCGGGCAUCAAACAUCAACUUACCAACACAUAUACACCUCAGCAAAAUGGUGUAAGUGAAAGGAAGAAUAGGAGUUUGAUGGAUAUGGCCAGGUGCUUGAUGAUUCAGAAGAAUCUGCCUAAAGCACUAUGGGCAGAGGCAGUUAACACUGCAAACUACAUUCAAAAUAGGCUUCCAACCAAGGCCUUGGAUCAGAAGACUCCAUUCGAAGCCUGGUUUGGAUUCAAGCCAUCACUGGCUCAUCUGAAGGUCUUUGGAUGCAUCUGUUAUGCUCAUGUACCUGCUGUCAAAAGGGACAAAUUGUCUGAAAGAGCUCGACCUGGUAUUUUGGUGGGCUACAGCACUGUUAAGAAGGGCUAUAGGAUCUUGGAUCCUUCAACAAAGAAAGUGUCAGUCAGUAGGGAUGUGGUAUUUGAUGAAAAGUCAUGUUGGAACUGGGAAAAACAUGAACCUGAGGAAGUUUCAGAAGGACUUGCAGCAGAUCAAGCUGAGCCAGAUCAAAAUGUUCCUGAAAUGGACAUUGAUGAUGAACCAGUUAUAGGAACAAGACCAUUGAUUGAGAUUUAUGAAAGAGCUCAUGUAGCCAUAGCUGAACCAAGCAAUUUUGAAGAGGCUGAAGCUCAGCAAGAGUGGAAGCAGGCAAUGGCUGAGGAGAUUAGCAUGAUUGAGAAGAACCAGACCUGGGAAUUAGUUGAAAGGCCAGUCAAAAGGAAGAUAAUUGGGGUGAAAUGGGUGUAAAAAGCCAAGCAAAAUGCUGAUGGUACCUUGAACAAACUGAAAGCAAGGCUAGUUGUCAAGGGGUUCAGUCAGAGGUAUGGCCUGGACUACUUGGAGACCUUUGCACCAGUGGCCAGGCUAGACACCAUCAGAUUACUGAUUGCCUUAGCAGCACAGCUCGAGUGGAAGAUCCAUCAACUCGAUGUGAAAUCAGCCUUUCUGAAUGGUUUCUUAGAUGAAGAGAUCUAUGUUGAACAACCACAAGGGUUUGAGAUAGCUGGCAGAGAGCAUAUGGUCUACAAACUGAAGAAGGCCCUAUAUGGCUUAAAACAGGCUCCAAGGGCCUGGUAUAGCAGAAUCGAUGGCUACUUGACUAAUUUGGGAUUCAAUCGAAGCAAGAAUGAGCCAACACUGUAUGUCAAGAAGCAAGGGACACAAACACAGCUCAUUGUAUCCCUAUAUGUUGAUGACCUGCUGGUGACAGGAGGAGAUCGAGCAGUGCUGGUCGAUUUCAAGACAAAGAUGCAAGAAGUAUUUGAAAUGUCUGAUCUAGGGGAAAUGUCUUAUUUCCUUGGAAUGGAGGUGACUCAAGCACAAAAUGGGAUAUUUCUAAGUCAGAGAAACUUUGCCACAAAGAUUCUGACCAAGUUCUCCAUGCAAAACAGUAAAGCAACUAAAACACCUAUUGCUGUUGGAGAAAAACUAUCGAGCCAAUGUGAUUUUGAGAAGGUUUGUGAAACAACCUACAGAAGUCUAGUUGGUUGUCUGUUAUAUUUAACUGCCACUAGACCAGACAUAAUGUAUGCUGUAGGAUUGCUCUCAAGGUUCUUGCAUUGUUGCAAUAAAAAGCAUUUACAAGCUGCUAAGAGAGUGCUUAGAUAUGUCAAAGGCACUUUGAGCUAUGGUUUAAGGUACAGCAAGGAAGGAAAUCUGAAGCUGGUUGGCUACACUGAUAGUGACUGGGCUGGCUCAAUAGAUGACAUGAAAAGCACCUCAGGGUAUGCUUUCAACCUUGGUUCAGCCAUGUUUUGCUGGAGCCCGAAGAAGCAAAGUCUGGUGGCUCAAUCUACUGCUGAAGCAGAAUAUGUGGCAGCUGCAAGUGCUGUCAACCAAGCCAUUUGGCUAAGAAAAAUCUUAGCUGAUUUGAAAGUGCAUCAAAAGGAAGCUACUGAGAUCUUCUGUGACAACCAAUCUUCAGUUGCAAUUGCUAAAAAUCCAGUGUUCCAUGGAAGAACAAAGCAUUUCAGUAUCAAGUUGCAUGUUGUUCGAGAAAUGGAGCAAGCUCAGGAAGUGAAGCUGAUCCAUUGUAAUUCUGAGGAUCAACUUGCAGACAUUUUGACUAAAGCCCUUAAUGUCACAAGGUUCGAAUGUCUAAGAAGGAAGCUAGGUGUUUGCUCCAUGCAAACCAAGGAGGAGUAUUGAAGCAAUGGUUAGCAUGUAGCAAUCACAUGUUUUAUUAUUAUUAUUAUUAUUUGGAUGUAAUGAUGUAACUUAGUUGUAUUCCAACUAAGUUUGUUAGUGGUAGUAGGUGGUGAUUUAUUUUAAGUGGAUGUAAUGAUGAAACUUAGUUGUAUUCCAACUAAGUUUGUUAGUGGUAGUAGAUGGUGAUUUAUUUUAAGUGGAUGUAAUGAUGAAACUUAGUUGUAUUCCAACUAAGUUUGUUAGUGGUAGUAGGUGGUGAUUUAUUUUAAGUGGAUGUAAUGAUGAAACUUAGUUGUAUUCCAACUAAGUUGUCAAGUUGUAAGCUUGUAUAAAUAGGCUUUAUGCCAUUUUAAAAAAAUGAAUGAAUUCAAUCAAGAUUUCAUCCAUAUACUCUCUAUUUUAGCUUUGCUUAAAAUUUAUUUCAUUUUUCUUCUUUGUUUCUGCCGCAAGUCUCGAUUCUUGCUCGGCAAGCUUUUUGUUGAACCUUGUUAUUUGUUGCACUUAGCUCCAACAAUGAGCUUACCAGAACACGGUUAUACUUAGAGCUGGCUUAAUCAAUACAUAUAGUCAAGUCUUUAAAAAAGACCAAUCAUUCAAAGCAUAAUUCACUCUUAAAACUUAAAGUCUGAAACCAAAUAAAUGAUUUAAACACACACGCAUAUAUUUAAAGUAAGUCCAAUAGAUGACCGAGUCCCUCGUCCGCCGGCCACUCAGUUCUAAGAGUUUCCUGAUAUCCAUUCAAUCCAGUUAGUGUGUUGCAACUUAAUAUACAUAUAAAAAAAUUUGACAUGUUUAUAAUAACUCAGAUAUAAUUGGAAGUUCAGUCAGCAUACUCAAUCUUGAUCGGUCAAAUUAAUAAUUUAUUACAGUUUCGGAAACAAAACAGUUCUGGCACGCAACAAAUCUGAUACAGAAACAUGUACAGAUGUAAAUACGGAUACAAAUGUAAAUAUAGAUACAGAUGUAUUUAUCCUAACCCCCAUCCUCUAUACACCAUCUCCGACCAACCUUAUACACCCCAUAGUGUCGAUAUGACACGUUGCAGUGCUUACAGUCACGCUGCCAGUAUAGAUUCAAUUGUGGAUGGUUUAACCACCAAAUCAGUACAGAAAGCUUCCUCCAUUUCAUGAUCCCCGCCCAAUGCAAAUGUAGAGAGCAAAUGACAAAUAUAUAUGUUUCUUAUGCAAAUAUAAUCACAUAGUCCAGUAUAAUAGAGGGUUGAAAUUCUUAAUAAUUAUCUCAUACGGGUAUGUAGAAAAAGUUUAUAAUCAUGAUAAAACAGAUCAUAUAUAGUUCAGUUUAGUUCAUACAUAUCCUACGGACGGCUUACACUCAUCUCGUACAACAACUAUGGCGUUAAUAGAAAUUUUGUAAUUCAGGCUCACACACCCGUGUGGGUGCCCAUGUGGCUCCACACAGUCUGACACAUGGUCGCGUGGCUACCCGUGUGCCCCUAUUAAUCAAAUUAGUGAGUUACACGGUCUAAGCACACACUCGUGUGCUGCCUGUGUACCUCACAAGGUUUGGCAUACGCCGCUGUCCCUUGCAUGUGAGUCUCUAAUAUAUAAAUAGUGAAUUACACGAUCUAGACACAUGCUUCUGUGCCCCCUGUGUGACCACUGCACCUUAAUUUCUCACACACGGUUUACCCCACGCCUGUGUGGCUCGCCUAUAUGUCUCCAAUCCGAAGUCAGUGAGUUACACAGUCCACUACACGGUCAUGUGGCACACACGGCCUGCACACACGCCUGUGUGUCGUCGAUAGUCCCGUUUCUGGCAAAGAAAAAUGCAGAAAAGAAAGGGAUUUCUAUACCCACCUGUUACACGACGCUGUAGAAGCAUCCAAAUGCAAUUUCCAGUCCUAAAAUAAGUCCCAAACGCCCAAUUCAAUAAAGCAUUUGCAAAAUAUGCAAGUAACAACAAUCAAUGUUCAUCAAAACCGUCGACUCACUACACAAAAUGGAUGGAAGCCUACUUACCGCGAAUUCCCAGUACACGUUUAGUUCCUAAGUAAGGUGAGAAGCGUUAGGCAUCUUCCGGGUCUUCUCCUACAAUUCAUCGAAGUACCUGAAAUGACAAAACGAAUUAACUCAACGAAAUGAAAUUCAAAAGAAAAACCCCAAACAACAAAACCAUCACAACGAACAAAUUAAAAACACGAACUCUUAUCGUUAGCAACAAAAUCGACCACAGAAGAAUUCAAAUCAGCAUUAAUUGAUUUAAUCAGCAACAAAAAUAAUACGAGGCCAAUUGUCAAAAGAAACGGUAACUGAAGAAGAACAGAAAAAUAACGCAGGAGGGAAAUUUUAAGAAAACAAAUCAUAGAAUUUCAGGAAAAAAAACUAAUACACACAAAACACAUAACCACUAAAACAAACACAUAUUUAUUAAAAUAAUUUAACAAGAAAACUCAAAUUUUUGUUGUGAAGUUGAUGAAAUUUUAUUAAAAAUGAUUGAAUGAAAAUAAAAAUUGAAAUCAGUAAAUCGAAGGAUUUAAACGUUGAUUAAUUAUGCUUAGUUUGAGAGAAAAUUUAAGUAGACAAUUUUAAUUCAAAUUAUGAAAAAAAUAAGUAACCAUCGCUAAUCGUAUAUAGCAAGAAUAGCAUAGUAAAAUUAUGGUGCUUUCAUCAAUUAUGGAAUCAUAUAUGGUUUUCAUUAAAUUUAAUAGCUAAAUUGCACUUUGUUCGAGGGUUUCUAUUAAAUUGAAAUUAGAAUGAAUAAACAUAGUAAAAAUAAUCAAUUUCCCUAUUGUUUUUUUAAAAUUAAAUUUUGCCUCAAUUUUUAAAAAAAUUGAAUUGUUAUUUUUCUAAUUAAAAUACUAAUUAAAAUUUUAAAAUUUUAAACAUACAGCCUGCAUUGUAAUUCGCUUGUACUUUAUGUUAAUUUGUUGAAUUUUUAUGAACCUAUUAUAAUUGUUUUUUGAAUUUUGAAUUUUUUUUAUUUUUUGAAUUUUUAAAUUAAUUAUUGACAUGACAUAUAAGAUAAUAAUGCUAUAUCAACAUGAACUACAAAUGGAUUGUUAUGCCAAAAUCGUUAAAUUUUUUUAUGUUAUAGUCAAUUUUUUUAAUUAAAAAAAUUAUUUAACUUUUUUUGAAAGGUUAAUAACCAAAAUUAAUUUAGUGGAUGUAUGCGUACGCAUUAUCUAUAAAGCAAGUUAAAAAUGACGGAUUUGAUGUCUCUACUUUUCAACAAUUUAGUAUUUUAACCAUCACUAGCAACUUUGUUUUAGGGCCAUUUGAUUUCCUUUUUGUUACAAUUAAGUCAUUGUAUAAUAAUAUUUAUGGUAAGAUACACAAAUAGUUAUCAUUGUUUUGGUGAUUUGGGUUUAAUUUUUUUUAGUUAUUAAUAUUAUCGACAUUUGAUAUUUUGUUCACUCUUUCAUUAAAUCAUUAGCAGAAUGUUGACGCAACCUUUCUUUAUUAACAUAAUAAUAAAUUUAACCAUUUAAUAUCUACAAAUUCUAUUAAUCUGGUCCUAAUUCUAACAAAUAAAUUUAGCUCUUAACUUUAUCCAUUAUGCCAAUUUAGUCUUGAUUCUUACAAAUUUAAAAUAAAACUUUAAAAAAAAUUAUUUAAAAAUUUUUAUCAAUAAAAAUACAUACAAAAUUAUAAAAUGCACAAAAAAAUAUAAAAUUUUUUUAAAGGUGAAUACUCAAUUUCUCUUUAAAGAAAAACACAAAUAAAAACUUAGAUCUAAUUUAUCAUUUGUAUUGUUGAAAAUGUGGUAAAUCUUAGGGAUUUUCAUUGUUGUAAGGGUGAAAAGAAAAUGUAGGGUUUAGUCUAAAUCACUCAAUAAUAACUAACAUCAUCAAAAUCUAGUGUGUAACAAUUUUCUCAGCUACCAGACACUGUAGACCCCAUUUUCUUCCAUUCUUUUCUUUAAUUCUUCUCCUUCUUUGCAGUUUCCUUAAAACCAAAUCUCACCAUAAAAAACUCCUACUUUAUUGCCUCACUUCUAACGCUAUAUAUUACUAUUACUAAAGUGUUCAACUAUAUAUAGUUGUCAUUUGUAGUUGACUUGAAUGCAGGAUUUGCAAGCAACUAACUGGUAUGGCAUCUGGUAAAUUUCUGAUUUUGCAGUACUUUUUUCCUGAGCUUCGAAUGUUUCAAGCUAAUUAAUUCAACUUUGUUUGGUGUUAUCCAGGAAGAAAUAGAUAAACAAAAAUGGGACCCGAAGAGCCUGAAGAGAACAUCACUCACAUGGAUGCUUGGCUGUAUAAGGCAGCAGCAGAAGGCAACGUUGAAGUAUUCAAUAAUAACCAGGAGCUUCAACUUGAGUUGCUAAAGACCCCAAACCAUGACAACGUGCUCCAUCUUAACUUGGCAACCAAGGAGAAUGUUCUCUGGCUUUUUAACAGAUUUCACACAAUAUUCGAAGAAUUCCCCGCAGAAUAUGUAUUAUUCCAUCGGUGUUUGAGUAUUUUCAUUACUAUGAUAAAAAGAGAAAAGAGAUCAGAUUUUAUCGGACAAAUUCUCAGCAAGUGUCCGUCACUGCUACAACAAACGAAUGCUAAAGGUCAAACUCCUUUGCACGUUGCAGCAAGGUAUGGACAUUCUGCUAUUGUGAAACUUCUAAUCAAGUCUUGUGCAAAAGCCAGAGAUGGAGAUUUAGAGAAGCUGGGAACGGAUCAAGUAAAUGCAGUGAGGGAGAUGCUGAGGAUUACGGAUCAGGAAUCCAACACGGCUUUACAUGAAGCAGCAGGGUGUGGCAAUGUCAAAGUGGUGAAAGCAUUGUUGGAGUUUGAAGACCCUGAUUUUCCGUAUUCUGCCAACAAAAAACAGGAGACUCCACUUUACAUAGCAGCUAGGAGGCGAGGAUCUGGGCGCUUGUUGACUCUAUUAUUAGAUAAAUUCAGAUCAGCAGCAGCUCAUGGCGGCCCCCAGGGUAGAACAGCUUUGCAUGCAGCAGCUAUGGCUGGAGAUGCAGGUAUGUUGUUGAGUUAGUUCCUUUUUUUUUUUUUUUAAUUUUGAAAUAAAUAAACAGCAGGUCUAUUGACAUUUUUUUUUUGCUUGGAUUUAGAGGCAGUAAAGGUAAUAUUAAAGAAGAAGGGGAAUUUGACAAAGGAAAGAGAUGAAGAUGGACGCACCCCUCUUCAUUAUGCUGCACACUUUGGUUCUAGAUUAUCAGUUGUGGAAGAACUGUUAAAAAGGGAUGUAUCAGCUGCCUAUAUAGGUGAUAAAAAGAGGGGGAUGUGUUGCGCGGAAGCGUGUGAAAGAGUAAAAUUAUUGUACUGAAAAAUCACACUAAGUUCAAUUCCCAGGAAAGAGAGGUGGAUCACGAGGAUCGCUUACAUACCAGAUCUUUCCUAGCCAGAAUAUCCCUCUAUCGUAAUUUAAUAGCACAAUAAAUCACUACAAUGACACUUGCAAAAUAUGCAGAACAAAAAUAAAGAACACUAGAAUUUUAACGAGGUUCAGCAAAUUUUGCCUACGUCCUCGGGCACUACCAAAUAUAUUUCACUCCAAAAAUACAAGUGAAAGUUUACAAAUAGGGAGAGAGAACAAUUGCCUUAAGUAGAGAAUGGCAAGUGUGGGAUGAAGAAAGUAAGAGAUGGUUAGGCCUAUUUAUAGUUGAGGUUUAAGGAUCAACUUGCAAUGUCCCUAUACAAUUAGGGACCAAAAUUGCAAUUAUCCCAUGCCAACUUUUAACCCAACUUGCCAACCAAUCUUACUUUCUACUUUCGGUGCCUUUCGGUGCCAACUUUCUGCCACUAUUCAUCUUUGAAAAGUCAAAGAUUGUAGGUAUCCAAUAAUCUCCACCUUGAAGAUUUGAUUAGGAUAAUCUUAUCUUCACACAAUUCUUUCUUCCUUUGACAAUAAUACUUGAUAGUGCCUUCUUCAACUGUUAAACUUGCAGGAUAUUGAUCAAGUUCAAACAAUAUUUGAACUUGGUUGUUGUUACCACCUUGGUCAUCAUAUCUGCGGGAUUAUCUGUAGUCUUGAUCUUCUGAAGACAAAUUUUCCCCUCUUCAAUAAUUUCCUGCACAAAAUGGAAUCGUACGUCGAUAUGUUUUGUACGUGCAUGAUAGACUUGAUUCUUUGCUAAAUGAAUAGCACUUUGACUAUCACAAUACACGUUAAUAUGCUCCUGAACCAACCCCAAGGUUUUAGCCAUACCUUGUAACCAAAUAGCCUCCUUUACAGCCUCUGUUACAGCCAUGUACUCGGCUUCUGUGGUUGACAAUGCAACUGUAGACUGUAGUGUAGACUUCCAACUUAUUGGUCCUCCAGCAAGUGUAAACACAUAACCGGUGGUUGAUCUUCGCUUGUCCAAAUCACCGGCAUAGUCAGAAUCAACGUACCCAAUAACACCUUUACCAAGUGUAUUAUCCUGCUUGAACAGUAAUCCAACAUCCACGGUUUUCUGAAUAUACCGUAGAAUCCAUUUCACAGCUUGCCAAUGUCCUUUUCCAGGAUUAUGCAUAUACCUGCUCACUAUACUAACUGCCUGUGAAAUGUCGGGUCUUGUACACACCAUUGCAUACAUCAAGCUACCCACUGCAUUAGAAUACGGAACUUGCAACAUGUAUUCUCGUUCCGUAUUCGUCGAAGGAGAUAGUUGUGCAGAAAGCUUGAAAUGAGAAGCCAACGGGGUACUUACAGGUUUGGUAUGCUCGUUCAUACCAAACUGCUGUAGUACUUUCUUCAAAUACUGCUUCUGAGACAAGCUAACUCUGCCAUGAGCUCUAUCUCUACAUAUUUCCAUGCCAAGAAUCUUCUUAGCUUCACCUAGAUCUUUCAUCUCAAACUCGAGAUUGAGUUGAGUCUUCAAUCUCUCAAUCUCAACUUUGCUCUUAGAUGCUAUCAGCAUAUCAUCAACAUAUAAGAGCAAGUAUAUGAAAGUUCCUUCUUGUAGCUUCUGAAAAUAUACGCAAUGAUCAAAUUUACUUCUUGUGUACCUUUGCCCUUUCAUGAACUGAUCAAAUCGCUUGUACCACUGCCUCGGAGAUUGUUUCAAUCCAUAAAGCGACUUUGUCAGUUUGCAAACCCAAUUUUCUUUAUCAGCAACAUUGAAUCCAUCAGGCUGAGUCAUAUAGAUUUCCUCUUCCAAAUCACCAUGUAAAAAUGCUGUCUUCACAUCAAGCUGAACUAGUUCAAGAUCGUAUUGCGCAACCAAGGCUAGUAAAAUUCGAAUAGACGAAUGCUUCACAACUGGAGAAAACACUUCAUUGUAGUCUAUUCCUUCUUUCUGAGCGUAACCCUUUGCUACCAAUCUAGCCUUGUAUCGAAUUAUAUUUUUACCAGGAAAUCCUUCCUUCUUUGCAUAUACCCAUUUGCAUCCAAUUGCCUUCUUUCCCUUGGGCAGUCUCACCAACUCCCAAGUCCUAUUUUUAUGAAGAGACUGCAUUUCUUCAUUCAUAGCUUGCUUCCACUUUACACCAUCAGAGUUACUUAUUGCUUCUGUGUAAGUGGAAGGAACAUCAUCAUCUGCAAUUGGAAGUGCAUAGGCCACCAUAUCAUCAAAGCGAGCAGGCUUACGAAUCUCUCUUCUUGGCCUCCUAUAUGCAAUUGAAUCUUGUUGCUGUAGAAGUUCUUGGGUCAAAACUUCUUCAUCAUUUGUUCUUUCAAUAUUAGCUGGAUCAUCAUUAACCUUUUCAAACUCCACCUGCUGCAAAGUACUACUGGUUUUGUCAUCCUUUUGUGAAUCCUCGUUCUUCAUCAUGGUUGAUUCAUCAAAAGUUACAUCUCUACUGAAAACAAUCUUCCUUGUAUCAGGACACCAAAGACGGUAUCCUUUUACACCACCAGUUAUACCCAUGAAUAAUGCUUUCUUUGCUCUUGGGUCUAAUUUAGAUUCUUUUACAUGAUAAUAUGCAGUGGAACCAAAAACAUGUAAAGAAUCAUAAUCAGUAGCAGGUUUACCAGUCCACAUCUCCAUAGGAGUUUUUCCAUUUAUUGCAGCUGAUGGCAAUCGGUUAAUUAGAUGGCACGCAUAUGUAACUGCCUCAGCCCAAAAUUCCUUGCCCAAUCCAGCAUUGGACAACAUACAUCGAACUUUCUCCAGUAUAGUCCGAUUCAUGUGUUCUGCCACCCCAUUCUGCUGUGGUGUAUCUCGAACAGUGAAGUGUCCACAAUGCCCUCAUCUUGACAUACUUGUAGAAAUGGAUCAUUUUUGUACUCAGUACCAUUAUCUGAUCGAAGUCGUUUGACCUUUCGACCUGUCUGAGUCUCCACCAUCUUCUUCCACUUCAGAAAUGCAUCCAAAACUUCAUUUUUUCUUUUCAUUAGAUACACCCAUACUUUUCUUGAAUAAUCAUCAAGAAAAGUGACAAAAUAGUGCAUACCUCCCAAAGAAGCCACUUUGGUAGGUCCCCACACAUCACUGUGAACAUAGUCCAGAAUUCCUUUCGUAUUGUGAAUUGCUGAACCAAAUUUUACCCUCGUCUGCUUGCCCAGAACACAAUGUUCACAGAAUUCCAAUUUGCAAGAAUUUGCACCUUUCAACAAGCCUUGCUUCGCCAAAGUCUGCAAAGCUUUUUCACCAGCAUGUCCCAAUCGCCUAUGCCAUAACCUGGUAGCCUCUGAAUCUGCAUCUUUCGCAGAAGCUGUUGAUGUUGAUCCAAUAACUGUACUUCCAUUUAAAUAGUACAAGUUAUUUCUUCUAGUGCCUUUCAUCACCGUCAAUACCCCAGCUACUACCUUUAGUAAUCCAUCUCUCAAAGUGAUUGUGAGCCCUUUAGAUUCUAGGGCCCCUAAUGAGAUGAGAUUUUUCUUUAAGCUAGGUACGUAGCGAACAUCUGUCAAGACUUGGAUUGAGCCGUCGUGAUUCUUCAAUUGGACUGUACCCACUCCCAUUGUCUUACAAGCACUAUCAUUGCCCAUAAGAACAAUUCCACCUUCUAGCUCUUUAAGACUAGAAAACCAGUCCUUAUUAGGACACAUAUGGUAAGUACAUCCUGAAUCCAAAAUCCACUCAUCCGUUUGACAUGCCAUUGCCAUGCCAACCAAGCUAAAGUCUGACUCCUCAUCAUGCUCUGCUACACAUGCAUUAGAAAUAGCCUUGCCCUUUUGUAGCUUAGGACAAUUCUUUUUCCAAUGCCCUUUCUCACGACAAAAGGCACAUUCAUCUUUGGCGGGUCUCCCUUUGGACUUACCCCUUCUACCAGGUUUGCUGCUGUGUGAACGACCUCUUACUGUUAAGACUUCUGCAGUUGUAUCUCUGUGAUCUCUUUUAUCUUUCUUUCGAGUCUCAGAUCUAUACAACGCACUACAGACUGCAUCAAAUGUGAUCGUGUCCUUCCCAUAAAGCAAUGUGGUGGUAAGAUGAUCAUAUUCAUCAGGAAGGGAAUUCAACAACAAUAAUGCCUUGUCUUUAUCUUCAAAUUUCUCAUCCAAAUUUAGCAAGUCUGCUAAAAUUUUAUUGAAUGAGUUCACAUGGUCAUUCAUCGACAUACCGGGUGCAUACGUGAAUCGAUAAAGUUUCUUUUUCAUAUAAAGCCUAUUUUCAAGACUUUUCGUUAGAAACUUUUCUUCCAAUGUAUCCCACAGCUUCUUCGCUGAUGUCUCCCUCAUGACGGAGUACUUUUGCUCUUUGGCCAAACAUAGGCGGAUUGUUCCACACGCCUGUCUAUUGAUCUUGGCCCACUCCUUGUCAUCCAUCUUGUCAGGUUUUUCUUCAAGGGCUAUAUCCAGCUCUUGCUGACAUAAGACAUCCUGGAUCUCACACUGCCACAUACCAAAAUUAUUGGUACCGUCAAAUUUCUCUACUUCAAAUUUUGCAUUUGUCACAGUAGUCCUUGCUGAUGACGAUGCUGCUGCCAUUUUUCUCCUCAAUCCCAACUACUGUAUACGUGAACAGUACCGUAUACGUGAAUAGUGCCAUAUACGUGAAUAGUACCAUAUACAUAAAUAGUGCCGUAUACGUGAAUAGUACCGUAAACGGUCGUAUUCCCCAAGUACGAACCUGGCUCUGAUACCAAUUGUUGCGCGGAAGCGUGUGAAAGAGUAAAAUUAUUGUACUGAAAAAUCACACUAAGUUCAAUUCCUAGGAAAGAGAGGUGGAUCACGAGGAUCGCUUACAUACCAGAUCUUUCCUAGCCAGAAUAUCCCUCUAUCGUAAUUUAAUAGCACAAUAAAUCACUACAAUGACACUUGCAAAAUAUGCAGAACAAAAAUAAAGAACACUAGAAUUUUAACGAGGUUCAGCAAAUUUUGCCUACGUCCUCGGGCACUACCAAAUAUAUUUCACUCCAAAAAUACAAGUGAAAGUUUACAAAUAGGGAGAGAGAACAAUUGCCUUAAGUAGAGAAUGGCAAGUGUGGGAUGAAGAAAGUAAGAGAUGGUUAGGCCUAUUUAUAGUUGAGGUUUAAGGAUCAACUUGCAAUGUCCCUAUACAAUUAGGGACCAAAAUUGCAAUUAUCCCAUGCCAACUUUUAACCCAACUUGCCAACCAAUCUUACUUUCUACUUUCGGUGCCUUUCGGUGCCAACUUUCUGCCACUAUUCAUCUUUGAAAAGUCAAAGAUUGUAGGUAUCCAAUAGGAUGACACCCCUUCUUAUGGCAGCCAGGCAAGGUAAUGCUGGAAUAAUUUCGAAGAUUCUCUCUUUAUGUCCAGAUUGUUGUGAAGAAGUGGACAAUAAAUGUUUGAAUUUACUUCAUUAUCUGGCAUUUAGAGGCUCUUCCACUCUAUUUGGGCGUUCUUUUUUCAAGCUUGGUGGUAUUAAGAUUGCAUAUGGAUCACUCAGAAAUCUGAUGGAGUUGGAAGGUGACUUUGGGAUGACACCUCAAGAAGUUUAUAAUGCACUUCAAGAUGAGAAACAUCAUCAUAAACAGGUCAUGUGUUUGCCCAUAUAUAUUGCAUUUCCAUGGCUAUGGUUUUAUUAAUAUUUAAGUUUUGAAUUAACAUAUUUAAUAAACUUACAAUAAGACCUGCUAAUGUGGGUGGCAUUGCAGAAGCAAAUCAAAAAAUUGUUGGAAGAAAUUGAGAAUGAUCAAGGGGCGGAGGAACCAGUUCAUCGCUUUCUUUCACGAAAUGUUUCUACAGAAAGCUCGGAGAUGACAAUAAAUGCUCAUUUAAUAGUGGCAGCACUUAUAUAUACCGUCGCAUUCGCAGCAGCAAUAACUGUUCCUGGUGGUUUGAAUAGUGAAAAAGGGUCAGAGGAAGGCACUCCCCUUUUGAUUGAUAAGGCUGCCUUUAAAGUAUUUUUUGGAACAAAUUUAUCGGCCUUUAUUCUCUCUGUUUUUACCCUCACCAUCCACUUCGGGAUUCUGGAUAUUUUAUUUUCAGGAUUUAGUUUUUGGCAUCAAACAGGAUUUAUUCGAACUGAGUUUGUUUCUUUGAUCCUUGGCUAUGCAACAUUGGCGAUGGUGGUUGCUUUCAUUACAGGCAGUUUUGUGAUCUUAAAACCAACCUACGGACUUCCCGAUGUUCUUUUUCUCAUUAGCCCUGCUGUUUUUUUCUUUGUUUUCAUAUUUACUAUAUACAUACAAUAAUAUUACUUUAUCAUCUAUUGUAAUCUUCUUCCAAUUUUUAGUAUCAAUAUUAUCUCUUUGAAGAAAGAUUACUUCAAAUAUUUUUUUUGAGAUAUGUCUAACUUAUCCAUGUUAAUCAUCUCUAUUUAAUUGAAAUUAAUAUAAAGCUAUUAAUUGAUAAACAUACAAUUUCAGAAAAGGUAAAAGAAAAAUCACAAUUUGUUUAAAGUAAGAAUUAUUAAAUAUCAAAGAGUAAUAAAUAUGUUGUAACUAAUUUUCCGUUAUGAUUAAAAUCCAAUUUGACGAAUCAUUGAAAAAUAUGAGAAUUUUAAGUUUAAGGAAAAACUUAAGGUUCUAUUAAAAAAUGGAAAUUUGUCACCAAUCUUUUUAAUUAGGUGUGAUCAGACACUUAUAAAAUCGCUUUUAUUGUGAAGUUCAUGAAAAUGAUUAAAUGUCAGCUAAUUAACAAAAUUUGGUUUGGUGUUAUUAAGUGAAAGCCUUGAGUAAAACAAGAAUGUAACCAUCGUUAAUCGACAUGAAUUUCAAGAAAACCUAGCCUCCAUUUAUGGUUUGAUUAAUUCCACGCUUUGGCCAAGAAAAUGGAAAUAAAGAUACAAAGUUGUUCAAUUGAAGUAAAUGCAUCAUUAGUAGAGGUGUUCAUGGUUAGGCUAAAUCUAUGCAUGUAUAUAUGUGAUGUCCACUAAAUUAAUUAAUAAAUUGACUAAGUUAAAUGCACCUAUCAAUUAAUAGUAUAGUUAUGGCGACCACACAUAUCGUUCCCUCGAGGAUUACAAUUAGUAAUAAUUAUCUGUAAUAGCCCGAUUUUUAGUGAUGUCGGAAACAGUCCAAAUCUGGCAAAUGAGCUCAAAAAUUUUAUUAUUUAAUAUUUACGAGCCAAAUGAGGUAUUUAAAAGAUUUUUGAAUUAAUAAGUUUGUGGUUAUAAGGAUUUAUUAGAUUAAUUAAUUUAGAAAAAGAGGUAUCGAGACCUCGGUAUUAUAAAUUGAGCCGUAAAUAUUUUUAUAAAUAUUUACAGAGUGUCAAUAAGGUAGUAUUAAAGUUUCAUUAGAAAAUUUUAACGUUUUGGUAGUCAAUUAAUUAAAAAGAACUAAAUUGAAAAAGGUGCAAAAUUUGCUCAAGUGAUUAAAUAGUCUAAAUAAUAAAUAAAGGAAGACUAAAAGGGCAAAUAGACUCAUAUGAAUGGCAUGAAAAAAAUCAAGGAUUUUAUGUGAAAUAAGGGCAAAAUUGUAAAUUUCACCAAAUUAAAGAGAAAUAAAUGGGAAAUUGAAAAAUCUUGACAAAUUCAUCAUCAUUUUCAGCUCAAAAACAGCCAUAAGCUGAUUUUUCAUAUUUUAGCUUAAUGUAAGUUUAAUUCUUACUUUUUCCUUAAAAUUUUUAUGUUUUUGGACUUUUACAACUAGGUCUAACUUACUAUUUUAUUAGUUUUUGAUUUUGUUGAAAGUUUUGGAAGAUAUCAUUGAUAAGUUCAUAUGAUUUUAGUUAUCUAUGAGGAAGCUUUGCACACAUCUGUUGCCAAUACUUGUAGUUAUGAGUUAUUGUAUGCCAUUGAAUUUGUGUUAGAUACAUGUUAUAUGCUAACUCACUAUGUUUUGGAGAAUUUUAAUGUCAUGGUAAUCAAAGAAGCAAAGCAUUUUAAUGGCAUCAGCUUUUUUACAAUUAAAAUGUCCACAAGCUAAUGUGUAUGAACUUGGGAUGUGGAGUUCAGCUUAUUGGGAUGUGGAAACUAAAUAGUAAAAUGUUGAAAUUGUCCCAGUUAAUACCACAUUACGGUUGGUUUCCAUGUUACAAUACGAAAUCCGAUGGGAAAAUUGAAUUGCUGUCUGCUAAUCAUUUUCAUUUAGUUUGCUGUUUAAAUAAUGUUGCCUCACUCUUAUAAUCACCACUUUUUCUAUUUUUAUAUGCCCUCUCUCUUUCCCCAAAGUGGCGUUCCACGUGUUCACUUACUCUAUAUAACACCUUAGGUUUAGUCUUUUAAUUACUAAGGAUGUGGGUGUUUACCCAGACCAUGAGCUGAGUAGUGUUAUUGAUUUUGGAUAAAGCAUGUCGGCUACGUGCAUCUUAAUUGCCAUAAACAAGGGAUAAAUGAGAGACAUUGAGGCCCCAAUGGAAUGCUAAAAACAAUUUGAAACAAGGUUGAGAGAAGUGGGGUUUGGUAAACGUCACAUGCAAAUGCAAUUAUUAUUAUUAACUUCAACAUAUUAGUAUAAAAAAGGGGGACGAAUGUGGGCUAUGGGCCUAAAGUCAAAAAGGGGUUUUGUUAUGAAUCUAAAUUAAAGCAACCUAAAAGCAUUUCAUAAGCUUAUGAUUAAGACAAAUCUUGCUUUUAAAUUAGUAUUAUUUGCAUGGUCAUGGCCUUAUCCCUAGAGCUACACCUUUUGAAAUGACAAGUGCUAUUUUUAGAUUGUCUGAACAUUGAAGAGACAAAAGCUGUCAUAUAGUAAUCUAUCCUUCAAUUAUUGUCGCCUAUUCCUCACUAUUAACGGAAUAACAGGAUUCAUUUAUAAUUCACCAUUUUCCAACUUAAUUAACAACUAAAAAGGUCAAAUGUUCCAUAUUUCAAUGGCAUCAGGGAGAUGGAAUUCCUUGAUCUAACAUUUAAAUUCCACAAUUAGUUAUAAUUUUGAUUUUCUUUUUAUAAAAAAGACAGAAGCAUGCAAUAGAUAGUAAUAUAUAGCACUCUAUUACGUAGGUGGAUUAAAAAACAUAUUUUUUAUCGAUUGUGAAAGAGUUUAAACCGUACAUAGACUCCGAUAAUGGAUGUUGUCUUUAUUAUAUCACAAACCUUAAUUGUUGACUAAGUCGGCAAACAUCCAAGCUAAUCCGCUCUAACUUCCAAUGUACCUUGACACUUGCCCAAUAAAACCCUCCUCCAUCAAUUGUGAAAAUCAUAACAAACACGGCCUUCAACGUUAAGUUUUCGAUUAUUAAUUAAUAGCUCUCAAAAAACAAGUAGGGGACUAUGAAUUGGAUUUAUACUAGUAAAAGAUCGACAAACUAUUACAUGAUCCAAAAAAUCUCUAAGAGCAAUUACUAUAUAUCCCUACCGUAGUACCAUCUUAUUCUUGCCAACCAAACAAAUAUCACUACUACUCAUUCCUGGCCAAUCUAUACUGGAGUUGCUAUGACUAGAUCAUCUUUUUAUAACCAAACUACCUUCUUUUUUCUACUACUUCUAUUUUGAAAUACCUCUAUAGUUGUUGUAGACAAUUUUUGAACCUCAUUCCUUGUUUAUAAAGAUCAAGUUUCGCACCUUUAAAUAUCACCUCAUUCCGCAUUUCCAUAUCAACCACAUAGUCUUCGCACCGAUACUAUAUAUACAAGUUGCAUCGUCUACCCCUUUCCAUUGUUUUCAGCUUAACAUCCAAUUCUUUACAUUGCCUACGUUUAUACUUCCCAUUCUAAUGCCUAAACCCAGUCCAAACUAUACAGCGUGCGAACAAACCUUUAAUGAAUAAGUGAUUCACAUCCUCGUCCUUCUGCUUACAUAGUUGACAAAUAAGUUUUACAUUUUGUAAGAGGUGCUAAAGAAAAAUCACAAUUUCAUAAGGAAUAUCACGAUUCCACAACCACUUCCAAUCAAAGUGAAGUGUAGUUUCUAUGCCUUCAUAUGAAUUCAUAAGGAAUAUCACGAUUCCACAACCACUUCCAAUCAAAGUUAAGUAUAGUUUCUAUGCCUUCAUAUGAAUUCAUAAGGAAUUUAGGGUUUAAGGAAGUUGUCUAAGCUUGUAUACGCUGACUUCAUAUGAAUUCAUAAGGAAUAUCAAUGAAUGCGUUCAAAUGAAUUCAUCUUUCCCUUCACUAGGAGAGUACUUAGUUCCUUACCCUAACCAUUCUAAGCACUUUGAUUGAUACACUUUGGGACUUUAACAUAAGACAAUCAAUACGAAGGUAGAGAUGCAAAUUGGGAGUAUACCAUUGUAACAACCUGACAUUAGUCAAAGUCAGAAAAUACGGUUUCAAAACUCUAUUUCCGUAAACUGAGUCCAAAAAGACAAAAUAAGAAUAUUUAUGGAGUUUAUAGAAAAUAUAUUAAAGAUCGGUUAAGUAAUUUAACCGAGAAACUCAUUAAUUAAAGCUCAGGUGUUAAAUUGCAAUCGCUAUUGAAUUUUAAAUUGAAAAUGCUUGAAGACCAAAUUAACAAUUAGUCAAAGGACCAAAUGGUUAUUUAACCAUUAAUUUGAAAAGAGUUUUAAUUAAUGUAUUUUAAUUAAGUUUUGGAAACCUAUUUGCUUGUAUGAAUCGUCGAGUAGGUAUUAAAACAAAAUCAUAAUUGCUUCUACCACAAAUGUGGCAUUUCAUGUUUCGGACCGAACGACCGGGUCGUGUGCAAGGUCUUACAACCAUUGCCUUAAACAUAAAGGCUUCCAAUGUGCUCAUUUAUUUUUGCAAUAUAUCAAUAGGGGUUGGAAAAACUUUCUUGUUACAAAGGUAACCCAACUAGAUUCCAAGAGUUUUGGGGUCGCUCUACUCGUUUGAUUCCUACAUAUUCGAAAACCACCGCUUUUAUUGACUCCUACUUGAUAGACUAAGAUAUAAAUAAAGAUUUUCUAUAAUUGAUGGACAAACUUGAUAUUCCUCCAAAAUUCCCUUCCCUUAUUUUGUAUUCCUAAUUGCAUGCAUAAGUUCAACCCCUAAGAAAAUAUUAUCAAUAAUACGUCUCCCUUAUGGUGUAAUCAAUCUUGACUAGCCCCUUCAAUCUACUCACUGAAACUUUUGUUCAAAUUUUAUAAACCACAUUAUACAGGCUAAUUGGACAUUACCUUUAUCCUCAAGAUACGAGUGAUCUACGGUCUUAAAUUCUUUCAAUAAAAAACCAAAACAUGCUUGAGUUAUGAGAGGACCUACAAUAUCCCAGAACAUGCUAUCAAUCCCGGCAGCUUUAGAGCAUCAUUUUAAAAUAUAUACCACCUUUACUAUUUCUUCUGGUCUAAUCACCCCUCAAAGAUAGUUUAUGGGGUAAUCGUAAAAAAAAAAAAGAAAGAAAGAAACCCAUCAAUAAGAAAUAAAAAUAUCAAUUAAACUUUCAAUUCAACUCUUGUAGCUGAAAAAAUUAAUCAACGAAACCUUAAACUAACAUUGAUCGUGACAUUUUUAUUGACUUUGACUAAAAUAGUAAUAAUACAUAACAUAUCAUAUGGACUGCAUAUUGACAUGGCAUUUUUUACGCAUCAAGCAAAUAUUUAAAAAAUCGUUAACAAAUAGAUACAUUUUUUUAAAAAUAAUUAUUUAAAAUAAUAUAUCUAGAAUAAACCUAAAUAAACAACUAUCCACAUUCAUUUGAAUCUAGAUAACUAUUUAUCCAGACUCAUCUUGAACUUGAUUCCUUUGAUAAUUACUAAAAAUUAAAAAAAAAGAAUAUAAAAGAAACUUUUUAAUAAUUAUAAGUUAUUAAAAUUAUUAAAAACUUAUAAAAGAUAUUAAAAACCACUGAGAUGAACCUAGACUCUUUUUUUUUUUUUUCACUUAACACGUACAAAACUAAUUUUCAUAGAAAACCAAAAUAAAAUUGUCAACAUUAUAAGGAUUAAACAAAAUUUUUACUGUUUUGCUCAAAAUACAAUCGACAAAUACUUAAAAAAUGAAAGCCCCAAAAUGAAUUCUAAAGCAUUGAAUACAAACAUUCACAUUGAGAAUAAGAAGUUACAUUGAAGCGUCACUAUAAAUAUAGUUGAAUGAGCUCAUCACUAAUCACGGAAGGAGUAAGCACACCCAAGUCUGUAUAGAGUAGAGUAAGAUAUUGAGGAGGAGUGUAAUCUCGAGCCGAUCUUUUUACCUCAACCUUGGAUGGGAUUAGUACCCCAAAAUCAAUGGGGUGUCGCGCAGGACUCAUAUCUUUUUGGUCCUAAGGAUAAUGUCGAGCAAACUACAAGGGAGAAGAAAUUCACAACUGAGUUAUGCUAGCCGGUAGUCUGAACCCUUCUUUCUAGGUUCGUUGUAUGUAGCCUAUUUCUUUGCUCGGAUUCAAAUACUUAAGAGCAAGAAAUGAAGCUUUUUAGUUACCUUGUAGCAUUCUGCAGCCACAUAAACAGGCUUGUUCAUGCUAUGUGCCACAAAUGCAAUCCGGAAUGGCGCCAUCAUGUUAAUGAUACCUUCACUUUCAACCACUCCAUCAGCUCCAAAGAGUACCAUGUCCACCUCAUCCAUAGUGUAUGCCACAGCAGAGUCUAUUAAAAGCUUUACGGGAACAUCAAGGUUGGCCAGCUCAUUAGAAAAUCGUAAUCCAGUUCUAUCUGGCCUUCCUUCUGUUUUAAAACAAUGUGAACUCUUUCAUAAACACCGCCAUCUGAUAUGACUUAGUAGAACAUAUGCAAAAAAAAAAAGAAGAUAAAAUGACUAGACUUCUUUUUUGGUGACAGCACAUUUGGUUUAAUCCUGUUAAGAAUUAGUUGCAUGCACAUGACAAGGUACACAGAAAGUAAAACCUGUGCAGAGAACUCUAAAAGUGUUUCUUGUUUUCAGCUGCUGUCUUCAAUACUUCGAGAACAACUCUAGAGAAACCAUGUACCAAAAUGGUACAACCAUCAAAAAUAAAAUCUUGACUUAGCAUUGCAAUAAUCCUGCGAGCCUACAAUGUUUGGCAAUAAUGUCUUUCAACAUCAGGAAUGCUUCAAGUAUAAUUAAAAUGAAAUGAAACAGUAGAGAAGUAAUUUACUAGAAAAGCCACAAUUUAUCUGAAAUACCUUACAAGAUAUUUCCCCAAACUUCUCUGCACGUUCGAUCAGGCGAGACUUAGCUGAAUUAAAGUCCUCAUACUCUAAAGCUGAUGUUCUUGUUACAUACAACAUGAAGAGAUCACAACCAGCUGUCAACGAGAUAGAGGUUGUGUCCCAUGACUGGCAAUACAAACAUAAGCUUGAUGAUGAAAUUGAGAUGUUGAUGGGUGUUUAAAGGUAUUUUAUUAAGGAAUUUUGGAUGAAAUCAUGUUUUAGGGAUUAAUUAGUAAAGUUGUUGAAUUUAUGUGAAAUUCUAAAAUUUCAUCGAAUUUAUGGGAUGCUAUUGAUAUAUGUGAAAGUAUUUAGGCUUGGAAUAAGGAAUAAAUUACUUAAAUUUCAAUUUUCGAGCCUAGGGAUGAAAUCGUCAUUUAGUAAAAGUAUAGGGGCAAAAUAAUAAUUUUGCCUAAGAUGUGACUUGGAUAGAAUUGAAUGUAAAUUUUAUUAAGUUGAUGUUAAAUUUACUCAUAUAGAUCCGGAUAGAUCAAAUACGAAGCUAGAUCGAGGUAAAGAAAAAGUGACGGAUUAGUAGACAUCAAUUCACAAACACUUGUCGAGAUAAGUUCGUGUAACUAAAUUGUGUAUAUUUAUAUGCUUAAAUUUGAAUAUUGAAUAUGUAAAUUGUAUAAAUGUCAUGUAUGUGUAUAUAAUUUACCUCAUAUCCGAUAAUUCCUGAUAAAUGAGUCAUGUAUGUGUAUAUAAUUUACCUCAUAUCCGAUAAUUCCUGAUAAAUGAAUAAGUCCCAUAAAAUGAAUGAAACUCGAUUGGAUACAGGGUUCUGUUUCCCAAUAUGGUAAUGUUCCUGCAUAUGUUGCAAACGUCCGUAUCUCGAAAGAGCGUCCCGUUACAAGCCCUCUCAAGCUUCCCGUUAUAGUGUUCUUGCGAGCUUCCCGUUAAAUGCUCUUCUGAGUAUCUCGACUGGUUGUGUUCUGCAUAUGUUGUAGACACACCCACGCUCUUAUGGGUGUUCUGUUUAUAGGUUCUUUGUGAACCUCCUGUUAAAGUGCUCUUCGGAGCUUCCCGUUAGUGCUCGCUUGAACUUCCCGUUAUAUGACUAUCCGGUGCUCUCUGUUAAAGUGCUCUUUGGAGCUACCCGAUAUAGGCUCUUUGUGAGCUUCCUGUUGUUAAGCCCAGAAAAGCUUCCCGUUAUAGUGCUUGAGAGAGAGCUUUCUGUUUAAGUGCUCUAAUGAGUACUCGACAUGAAUUGACAGAUUUCUGAUUUAUACACUUUAUGUGUGUAACAGCCCGAUCUUGACCCUAAUCGGAACAGUAGUUUUGGGACCACAAAUUCGAGUCUAAAAAAAUAUUUUAAUAUUAUUUUCUGUGUUAAUUAUGUGUGAAUUUACAUGUGUGAAAGUUUCGUAAAUUAAUUUUAUUGUUUGUGUGCUUAAUUUGAAAAAAAAGGGGCUUAAUCGCGUAAAAUGAAAAUUUGAUGGCUAAUUAAGAAAGUGCCUAAUUGUUGUUGUCUUUAUAAGUUGGAGGCCUUAUGUUGUAAUUUAGCCAAUAAUAAUAGGUAGUGGAUGGCAUAAUGAUGAUAUGUGAUUUAUAUAUAUAUAAAAUAAAAGUUAAAAUAAUAUUAAUAUAAUAAUAUAUGUUAUAAUAAAACAAAACAUUAAAAGCCACUAUUUUUUUUAUGUUCAUCUUUCUUCACCGAAUGGAGAAAAGAAAAACAAGGUUUGAAAGCUUGAAACAUUCGGCCAUUUUGAAGCUUAAUUCAAGGUUGGUUUUUGUUCGGUUUUUGAUAAUUUUUACGUUUUUGAGAUCGUUGCUUUGAAUACUUCAAAACCCAUGUCUUAAUUUUGUGAAUUGUUGAUGAUUUUGAGAAAUGCCAUUGAUGAAUGCUUGAGCUUUGUGAUAGUUGAUGAUGAAAUAUGAAAGAUAUGUGAAAGAUUAACAUGUUUGUCUUUGAAUUUUUGAUGAAUUUGAGUAAUUAGGGUUAAAUUGUAAAAAUAAAUUUUUGAGGGACUAAAAUGUGAAAUAAAUGAAAUGUGUGGUCUUGUAUGGACACUAGGAAUAUUUGGCCCUUAAGGAGUGUAGUCAAAUUUUGUGUAUUUUGUGUUUUGAGCAAAAAGGACUAAAUUGUAAAAAGUGUGAAAUGUUAGGGGCAAAAUUGUAAUUUCCCAUUUAUGUGUUUUUAGGCUAAAUUGAAUAGAAUGGUGUUUAACUAAGCUUAAUUUGAAUAUGCUUAGAUUAAGAAUUAAAGAAAUCUAAUUUGGAUCGAGGAAAGACAAAAGUGGUGGAGUAGCCGAUUUAACAGUCGACGACAUCCGAGGUAAGUCUAUAGGCAUAUAAAUGUCGUUAAAUUUGAUAAUAUAUAUGUUACAUGUUGGAUGGAAUUUUUGUGAAUAUAUUUGUGUAUGGCCGAAUGUAUAUUGAGCAAAUGAGCUAUAUUCGAGUUCGAUUCGAUCGAGAUACGUUAUCCGAAAGUCCCGUACGAACCCUAGGAAUAGAUAGGAUACAUAUGUCAUGGCAUAGGAUUUUCGAUAUGUGUUAUCGUGUAAGACCACGUCUGGGACGUUGGCAUCGACUUGUGUUUACGUGUAAGACCCUGUCUGGGACAAUGGCAUCGAUAUGUGAUUACAUGUAAGACCACGUCUGGGACGUUGGCAUUGUACGAGUCUUCCGACUAUCCGAGUAUCCUUUUUAAUUCCGAAUGGUUCAACGGGAAAAGAUAAGUUGUGUACGAAUGUAUAAAUCGGGCUAAGUGACCAGGUAUGUGAUAGUUAAUUACCUAUUUGAAAAUAAGGCAAGUUGUAUACUUGAAUUGAUGAUAUGAAGUUAUGUGAAAUAUGGAUUAUGUUAUUGCAUAUUUGAAUAUAUAUGUAUUCGACCUUGAUGUAUAUGUGCAUUGAGGAAAGUGAUGAUUGGUUAUAUUAAUGUUCAAUGGAUUAUUCAGUAAAGAGGGAAGUUAUUACAAAUUAUAUAAGUUUUGAUAUAUAAGUUGAUAAAUUGAAUUAUAUGUGAAAUUAUAAUGGUUUAUUACUAAUUGUCUAGCUCAAUUUAUGUAAAUGAUUAAAUGUUUAUUUGCUUAUGAAUACUAAGCUUUAAUAGCUUACUGUGUGUAAUUGCUUUCAAUUUUAUAGAUUUGGAAGUUGGUUAAGAGCGGGGAUCGUCAGAGAAGUCUAUCACACUAUCGACUAUUUUCGGUAUUUUACUAAGUUUGAAUUUAAACUUAUGGCAUGUAUAGUCUAGUUAAUAUGUUUGAUUUUUGGGGAUGUAAAUAUGAGCCAUGCGAAAAUGGCUUAUUUAUUUUGUUAAGCAUGGUUUUUAUGCUUUCGAUCAAGUGAUAGAUAUGUUGAUUUUGGUAUUUCGGCUAUGGCAUAUUUAUUUAUGUGAAUUAUGUUUGAUAUAUUUUGUUAAUAAGGUGGUAAAUAAUUCGGCAUAGGUGAGCUUAGUUAAAGCAUAUAAUUGAAGUGAGUUUCGUAUAAUAUGUUAAUCUCUGAAUCGGCCAUGGUAUAUAUAUUAUGGUGUUUUAGUCAUGUGCUUCGGUAAUGAGGUAAAUGAUAUUCAAGCUUAAUUAAUCUUGGUUAUGUGUUAUAUAUAUAUAUGAUAUGUGUGAUAUGUUUGGUUUUGGUCUUGGUGUUUCGGCUAUGGUUUAUUUAUAAGUAAAUAUAUGUGAAUCUUGUUUGAUAUGCUUUGUUAAGGUAUUGUUAUGUAAUUUAGUAAUUAAGUGAACUCGGUUAUGGCAUAUAGGUGAAAUGCUAAGUAAAUCAUAGAUGAAAUGACAGUUAAAUUUGGUUUGUAAGAGUAUAUUUGCAUUAAUAAAUUGAUUUGAAAGAAACUAGUAAUGUGCAUAGGUAUGUACGAUUAUAAGGUAUGGAAGAAUAUGUGUAUAUUUGGUCAUGAUCUAGACCUGUUUUGGAAGUGUGUUUUAUGCUAUAAAUUGGUGUAUGGAUAUAGGUUUGGAAAAUGUGAAUUGAUAUGUAUGAUUUUACUAUUUGAAUCGAUAUGGUUUGAUUAGUAAAUGCCAUAUUUUGACUUAUGAUUUAAUGACUAAAUCUUGUACAGUUUAUGAGGUUAUUUAUGGAUGCCAAUUUGUUAUGAAAUAAAUUAGGAAUGUCGAGUAUUUAAUAAAGGUACGAUUUGCUCAUGCAAGUGGACUUAAUAUUCGAUUUUAUAUUUGUAAAAUGAUAUGAAUUGUAUGGAUUUUUGGAUAUGGCUAAAAUGGUGUAUUCAUAUGCGCAAACUUGUAAUAGAUAAAUAUGAAUGUUUUGGUCUUUUGAAUGAUAUAUAUAUAAAUGAUUUUAAGGUAGGUUUAAAAUUUAUGAAUAAGAUACAAACAAAUUCGGGUAAUGAUAGUUAAGUGAGUAAAACAAGUUUGAAUUUAGCUUUUAUAAAUUUAUUGGAUUAGUCAAUUAAAGGAUAAGUUGAUUUGUAUUGAGCGUAUAUAAUUUAUGAUUGAAUGAUUUCACUGAAAUGGUCAUAUGUGUAUAAUAUAAUGGCAUAAAAGGUAUGUACGACCAUAAUAUAAUGUUACUAAUGUUGUAUAUGUGAUUGGACAUUAAGUUGUAUACAUAUUGGUUUCAUUAUGUACAUAUACAGAAGUUAUGAAAUGCAAUGUUUGAUAUUUAGAUAGUAAAAUUAUGUACGGAAGUAUUUUCUAUAUAUGAAAAGUGAAGAUAUAUGCUUGAAUAUGAUUUAAUUAUGAAAAUGUCAUUAAUACGAUGGAUUUAGGGAAAUCGAAUAUUGAAAGUAUUUUAAUUUAACAUGACUCUGAUGUAUACAAGUUUGGUUCGAAUUUGUUAAUUAUAGAAUAUGUUCAUUGAGCUUUGAUGUAUGUUUAAAUUGAAUUAGUUUAAAUUUUGAAAUGUGUUUAUUUGUGAUACAUGCUUAGUAAGGUAUGAUUGAUUUGAAUUGUAAUUAUCAUUUUAUACAUAUUUGAAUUUAAAAUAAGUAAAAUGAGGAUAUUCAAGUUUGAUAAUGUUAUAAAUGAAUCGUUAUUCUUUGGUGUAUGAAAGGAGGUAAAUGACUGUGCUGAACUGUGUCUUGUUCGGUAAUGCCUUGUAACCCUAAUCCGAUGACGAAUACGGGUUAGGGGUGUUACAAUAUGUACUACCCUCGUAUCCAUCGAGAUUUCAAAUGAUUCAACAGGUGAAAUUCUGACAUGAAGACAAGUGAAAAUUAAAAUGAAAUCAAUAUAUGAAAAAUACAUGAAAUGCAUGGAACUUGGUAUUUGAUGAGCUCAUCUUUGGUGUUGAUAUUUACAUGAAAUGAAUAACUAACAUAUUUGAUGAGAUUAUGUACUUAGGCUAUGGCCAAGUUGUUUGGAAUGCAUGAGUAUGUUUACUUAGUGUACAAAUGAAUGGUAAGUUUACUUCCCGUUAUACGAACUUACUAAGCACUAAGUGCUUACUCUGUUUUAUAGUAAUCGGAAGCUCGUUGGGUUGGAAGCUUGGCGGAGAUCACUCACACUAUCCAUUGGCUCACUUUGGUAUAUUUAUGACACUAUUUUUGGAUAUAAUGGCAUGUGUAGGUUUGGUUAGCCAAAGUUGGCAUACAAAUAUUUUGGUUGUAAAUAGCCAUUGGAAUGGCUUGUGAUGAAUGUGUUUUGGCAUAUUAACAUAUGAGUUAAUUUCAUGUUUGGUAUAAGUGCUUAAUUUGGUUUAUGAAUAUUAGUAUGAUAUUAAGUAAAUGUGGUCAAAUAUAUAAAUUCACAAACAUGGAUUAUGAAGUGAUAUGGUAAGUAUGAGACUUGAGUUUUGCAUGUUUUUAAAUGUUUUAGAUUGACUUUUGGAUGUGUUAAAAUGUUUGUAUAGGUGAGUGAUCAAAUGGGUGAGAAAUAAGGCUUGGAAAUGACAUUAUUUUGUCCACACGGGCAGAGGCACGAGUGUGUGUCUUAGUCGUGUGUGACACACGGCCUAGCACAUGGGCAUGUGUUCUAGCCAUGUGUCCCUUGCAUUUUAAAAUUUUAAAAUAGAGCACUUGAAAUUGAUCACACGGUCUGGCACACGGGCAUGUGACUUAGCCGUGUGACCCCUGCACUUAAUUAAGUUGCAAGUCAGAGAGUUACACGGGUUAGAGACACGGGCGUGUGCCCUACCUCAUAUACCACACGGCCUAAGACAUGGGCAUGUCACUUGGCCGUGUGAGCCACAUUGCUUGACCACACAAGCGUGUGACCCCUGAACCUAGGAAAAAUUUUGAAAUUUUGUAAAAAUUCUCUAAGUUCCCGAUUCAGUCUCGACUCAUUUCUAAUGUAUGAUUUGGGCCACGAAGGCCUAUAGAAGGGACGAUAUGGUUAAACCCUGUUCCAACGACGGAUACGAGUUAGGGAUGUUACAUUAUCGCCUUUCGGUUACUUAACCUAAUAAUUCAAAGGAUUGCUUAAAACUAAAAUUGACUAACUAAAAUAACUAACGAAUGUGUCAAAUAGCAAAACACGAAAAUAAUCUAAUAUCAUCCGAUUUACUAAACGAUACCCACGUACGAAUCCACUUAGAAUUCAUCUAAAAUUCUCAAUUUAAUUUAUGCAAUUUAUUUCCUUAGUUUCCUUGAUCCAUAGAAAUCCCUAACUUAUGCUAAUAUCUCUUUCGAGCAUAAAAGCAACUAACUCUAGGUUGAUUAAUUGAAAUUUCCUUCUAAUUAAAACCCUUAUUAUCUCAUUAAUUCACUCUAUGGAUUCUCUUAUUAGAUUUGAUUCUAAUUUGGUAGAUUUGUAUCGACCUAUUUCUAGGAUUAUAUGCAACUCCAUUCGACUAUGCAAAAUCUAAUUACAAGAAGGGUCUAUUCAACCUCAAACUCAUGCCCAUCAAACAUGGAUUAAGACCCUAGAAAUAUUAACCCAAGAAAAAAUUUAGAAUUCAUAAUUGAAAAUAAAGAAGCUAAGAUUUUAUUGCAUAAAACUAUAAAUCAAAUAAUAUCAUCCAUCGUAAGGCUCGUCUCCUCUAGGGAUUUAGAAAAUUAGUUCAUACUUGCAAGAAUAAACACCGAUAAUACAAUAUAACCAUUAAAAUAAAAGAAACCUAUGAUAACUUCCUCAGAAAUCAAUUUGGAAUCUUUAAUUUUGAUGGAGAACUGCUUUGAAAUCAACUUCAAUGGUGUUCUUUUGGGUAAUUUUCGUGCUAAACCAAGACGGAUGUUGUUUUCCCUUUUUUAUUUCCUUAUAUAUGCCUUCUUAAAGUACCAAAAACUUAAAAAUUUAAACUUCCGACUAUCAUUGUACACGGUUCCCAAAAGUUACACACCCUUGCCACACACCCUUGUGGUUCACAUAGCUUUGUGGUCUGGCUGUGUGAAAAUCUGUUACCCGUGUACAGCUUCCAGACUGCUUCAAUGUUAUGAUUUUCACUUGUUUUUCGCUCUAUUUGUUCCCAAGUUCUCUAUUAAGCUUCAAAACAUGAAUUUAAAGGAUUAUAAGUAUAUAAUUCACAAUUAACACCACUUUAUUACCCAAAAAUGCACUAAGAAUGAGGCUAGAAUAUGUUACUUUUGACACUUAUCAAAUAUCCCUAUACUUAAGCAUUUAUUUGUCCUCAAGCAUAGGUCUCGGCUCACAUUCAAAUUAACUUUCCUUCACCCAUUAUUUUCACUAGUCAUGGCUUAGGAUAGUCUAUAUAUAAUUCGAAAAUUAAACUAAAAUGACAAUAAAGAGCAUGAGUAAUCCAAGCAAAAAUUUUAAUUUCAAAACAUAGGAUUCUCCCCUACCUUAUAAUGACUUGAAAUUCAAACCCAACCAGAUUUAACAUCCUUACUAAGUUUCACUCAAAACACUCAAAGUGUUUAAAGGUUAAUUAAUAUGCACUCAAUAGUCAAACAAGGAAUGUUAUUACCAUAAGCUUGCUUAAGAACCAAAUCUCCACCACUACAAAUAUGAGAUGACACAAAGAUCAAGAGGUUUUUACAAGGGUUGUAACGGGGAUUAGGUUAAGAGUAUAGAAGGUAUAAAAGGUGAAUAUAGUUGAGAGUUGAAAUGAUAAGUUACCAAACUAAAAGAAUAAGAUGCUGAAUUGCAAAAAUUUAACAUUAAAGUGAAACAAAGAAUUGAAGUGAGCUUUUAUAUAUGGUGAUGAUGAUGAUUUAAGCUCAAAAAAAAAAAGAUAAUGAUGCUUAUAACAUGAAUAUUGACCUCUCAAUUGAACAAGAUAGCCUAAAGAAUUUUUAGAAUGAUCGAACAUAUCUAGGAAAUUUACCAAAAAUCUAAUCUCAAUUUAAGGGAAGCAAUAAAAAAGGUAAUUCACAAAAUUAUUGGGGUUUAAGGGUUAAAAUGGAGGGGGUGAUAAACAAACAAAAAGGGAUUAGGCUCAAAGGGGUUUACUAGUGGGCAAUGAAAUGGGUAGGCUAUUUAAAUGUUAAAUGGUUUAAAUCUUAAGUAUUUCUAUCAUCUCAGUAUAUCAAAUCAUUAUAUUUGAGAAUUCACAACAAAUGUUGGAUCUCGGUAACAUUUGUAAUCAAUCUCAUACAAGUGCGCACAAGACCUUAUUUACAUGCCAAUUUUAUCCUGACAUUUACUAAGUUCACAUGAGCAUCUCUUACACAUAUAAAUAUAUAUUUUCAAUUUAGUCCAAUUCCAACAUUUAGAACCAAUCAAUAAAUCCACAAUCACACACUUAUACACAAAUCAAAUCAAUUAAUUAUUUUAAAUAUAAUUAUUUUUAGUAAAAAUAAAUUUUAUAUGUGAAAUAUUUAUUUUUUUUCCAUCCAUAUAAUGGGUCUGACAAAUUUUAGUAUUAUAUAUUUUUAUGUGUAUUUUAGAUAAUUAUUUGAAAUAUUUUACAUAUAAAAACAAUGAUAUUUGAAAUAAUUAUUUUUAUAAUAUUAAAAUUUACCAUACUUGCAAUAUAGGUGAAAAUAUAUUGAUAUUUGUAAUAGUUAUUUGAAAUAUUUCACAUAUAUUUGAAAUAAUUUUUUGAAAUAAUUUACAUAUAAAAUCAAUAGUGAUAUUUGAAAUAAUUAUUUGAUUUUAUAAUAUUAGAAUCUACAAUAUCCACAAUGUAGGUGAAAAAAAAAUAUUUCACAUAUAAAAAAUUAUAUUUACUAUUUACUAAAAAUAAUGAUAUUUGAAAUGGUUAAUUGAUUUUUUUAUAGUAGAAUUUAUCGUACUUACAAUGCAUAUAAAAAAAAUAUUUGAUGUAUAAAAAUUAUAUAUAUAGAAAAAUAUAAAAAAAUUAGUUGAUGUUUUUUAAAAAAUAAAAAAUAAAUAACAUAAUGAUACUUAUGAAUAUAUUUUCACUAUAUCCACAAUGCAAGUGGAAAAAAAUAAUGAUAUUUGAAAUAAUUAUUUUUAUAAUAUUAAAAUUUAUGUUACCCACAAUGUACGUAAAAACAUUUUUUUUAUAUAAAGAAUUAUUUAUAAAGAAAAAUAUAUCAAAAAAUUAGUUGAUGUUUUUAAAAAUACAUAUAAUUUUAACAUAAUGAUACAUAUGAAUAUAUAUUCAUCAUAUCAAUAAUGUAAGUGAAAAUAUAAAGAGAUUUGAAAUAAUUAAUUUUAUAUGUUAGAAUUUACGAUACCCACAAUGUACGUAAAAAAAUAUUUGACAUAAAAAAUAUAUAAAGAAAAAUAUAUCAAAAAAAUAGUUGAUGUUUUUAAAAAAUAAAAUAUAUUAACAUAAUUAUAUAUAAAUUAUUUUCAUUAUAUAAUUACAUAUUUAUUAUUUUGUGUGUAUAAAUAAAGAAGUGAUUAAUUAAAAUAAAAAGUUAAUUGAAGACUUGAAAAUAGCAUGCUUAUUAAUUAAAAAUUAAGAAAAAAAAGCUUGAAGAAAUAUUCAUUAGGAAAAAAAAAAUAAUAUAUGGGGGGGGAUUCGGAUAUGGGACUUAAGGGUAGAAAAUGCUAGAAAAAUAAUGAGGUCCUUGGAAGUAAUAAAUAUUAAUAUUUUGAUAUUUUAUAAAAAAUUUAUAAACUAUAUAAGCAUAAUAGGAUUUGAACUUAAGUUACUAUGACUUCAACGAUCUUAUUCUUGUUAUCAGAACAUUAUUUAUUUCUUUUUAUAAACAUUUACAUAUAUUUUUUUUAGAUCUAACAAACAGGGAAGGCAUUUGGUAAAUUUCUGGAUUUGCAGUAUUUUUUUCUUCAAGCUAAUUAAUUCAAUUUUGUAUGGUGUUAUCCAGGAAGAAAUAGAUCAACAAAAAUGGGAGCUGAGGAGCCUGAAGAGAACAUCACUCACAUGGAUGCUUGGCUUUAUAAGGCAGCAGCAGAAGGCAACAUUGAAGUAUUCAAUAAUAACCAGCGGCUUCAACUUGAGCCGCUAAAGACCCCAAACCAUGACAACCUGCUCCAUGUUAGCUUGGCAACCCAGGAGAAUGCUGUCUGGCUUUUUAACAGCGUUCACUCAAUAUUCAAAUCGUCCCCGCACAAUAUGUAUUCUCCCUGAUAGAUUUUGUAUCACACGAUCCGGGUUUCAAUAUUUUCGUAACUGUGAUAAGAAGAGACAAAAUAUCUGAUUUUAUCAGACAAAUUCUGUUGGGACAAUGGCAGCAGCAAAAAGAAAAGAACAAGACAGAGAACAAAGGAGGAAGAAACAAAAACAAUUUACUUGCUCACAAACGUGCAACAAGGAAGCAAUCUGAGUUUCACAACUGAUAUGCUUGAUUUUUCAAUAAGAAAAACAAUACAUUUAUAGCCAACUACAUCAGUUAUUAUUACCUAAUACCACUAAGUAGCCUAGUAACUUUAAAAACAUUGCUUACACAAACAAGCCACCUAAACUAGUCAUUCAACACCUAAACAUAUUAAGCUGUCAUAAGCUUGUUCAUUUCCAAGUAGUUUAAUCAACAAAGAAACUAAAAAGAAAAACUUGUUGUUACAGCAAGUAUAUGUGCUGCAGCAUGUCAUCAAGCUGCAUGCACUUCAACCAAAACAUGUAUCAGCAGCAUGGUUGGCCAAUUUCAACACUCCUCCUUGGACUCCAUGCUGCAAAUACCAAUCAUUCAUCAAGUUUUUUGAACUUGGCAACCCUUAGAUGCUUUGUUUCAAGCUGACCAAUUCAUUUUCAACCUUGGCCUCAUUCACAAACAAAUCUGACUUACACACUUGACUAUCCCAGUCUUUUGUGCCAAAGAUUUGUUCACCAAAUGGAGUCUUCUUGAUACGGGGUUGCGCGCGGACCAAGAUCGAGUUGCCAAGUCACGGGAAACUCCUACGAAAACCCUAAACAAUUAGAUCUGAAACGAAACAGAAAAUUAAAAGAUUAGAUUUUUGAAUUUUCAGAUCUGAAAUAAAAUCCCCAAAUCAGCAAAGAAUCAAAUUGAGAAUAGAAAUAAGUGUUAGGGUUCUUGAAACCCUCAAGGAGAUUGUGAUUCUGCCCAAUUGAACACCAAGAUAGUUUUCCCCAAAUUUCGACAAUCUAAUUUCACCCAAAAAGAGUAUGGAAAACCCUAGAAAUUGGAGAUUUUUGGGCUGAUUCCUUAAGAUAGAAAAAGGCUGAAAACACAAUAAGAACAGAAAAUAGAUUAGAUAAUGAUUCAGCACAAGUAGAAAUAAAGAAAGAAUUGACAGUAAGAAAUUAAAAGAUAAGUCCUAAGAAGCCUUGAAAUCUCGAAAGAUCUCACAACUCCCUUCAAACGACUCUAAUCUCCCCUCCAAAGAAUAUCAAUGGCAAGAAGAAGGUUGAAGAUGGCUCCCACAAUCAAAAAGAUUGUUAAAACAACUUCUAAAGAAAACUCAAGAGAAAAUCCUUGAAGAACUCAAAGAGAAUUUUCACUCAAAUCAAAUCUGAAAUUUUCAAUGUAAUUGUAAUGUAGUGUAGGGUGGCUGGCCAAGCCAUAUAAAUAGGCCUUUCAAAUGUUUUCCUAAUUUAAUUAGAACACUAAAACUAAAACUAAAAAAAAAAACUCCUAAUUAUUUUAAUAUGAAAAUUCGGCCAAGGGUCUUUUAUUUGGGACUCCUGGACUGAAUAUAAAUAAAUAAAUAAAUAAAAAUAAAACUUUACAACUUGGGCCACUUUGACAAUUUGGCUUGAUUUUCAACUAAGUAUGGGUGGAUUUCUUGAUUGGGCUUGGAAUCUUCUUAUUGGGCCUCGCCUUCAAGAAUUUGGGCUUUUGUGACUCGUAUCAUUCCCCCUUCCUCAAAAAGAUUCGUCCUCGAAUCUGAAAAAUCAAAUGAACUCGACUUUCCUCUAUCGAACGGGACUAAUGGCAAUUGAGUCCACUGAAAAGAAUAACCAUGAGAUAGUAAAUAGCAACGGAAACAAGCUUGUAGUCCAAUCAUAAGCAUAACAGAACAGGUAUAACGCAUGUGAAUGGACAGAUUCAGAUUACCAUGCAAACAAUCUAAUUUACUCACCACUGUCUCGUCAAAUAUUUGAAACAAAGAUGGACAUGUUUUAAGGCAUUCAGUCGUCUCACAUUGUUCGCACAAACCAUGAAUAAAUUGCGAGUAAUAAAUCAAAUGGUAAACAUAAUCGUCACAAGUAGGUAUUUGAAAAGAUUCACAUGGUUCACAGAGUUGCAUAAUCAUACCAUGCAUUAAUCGACGGUCUAUAGAUUCACUCACACAUGCAUUAUCAAAAACAAGAAUCUUUUUAUCAACCAUCAAAACAGAUAGAUCAUCAAUAAAUAAAAUAGGACAGUUAAGCACGUUUCGAUCUAAGUGUUCAUCAACACGAUCUUUAUCACUAUCCGAGGAGUACAAAAGUGUUUCAAAGGUUUCAAGCAUCUUACCUCGAUAAGCAGAAGAAUAAGGGUCGAUUUUACCUUUUUCAUUUAAAACAAACCUUCGCUCAUCGGGGGCAUAGUGUAAUCGAAUCUCCGUUGUUGAGUUAACCUUUGUCAAAUGGAACUCAAACUUCAUGUACAACGACAUAAACUGUUUAAGGCACGAAUAUAAAUUGAAAACAAAUUUGGAAAAUUUCGUUACCUUAUUCUCCAAAACAGAUUUGGACAAAUUCGAGGAUUUUACACAAGGUAAAUCAAGAGAAUAACAAAUCACGCUUCUUUUCGUAAUGACUUUAUCAACCACAAUCGAAGAGUAACAAUUAAUCGAAUCAAAAUGAGGGGAUCUUUUAAGAACUAAGUCACCAAAAGUUUUAUCAAUAAUUUUCAAAUCUGCACUGGACUCGGUUUCUAAAAUUUCCUUACCUCGCUUACCUUCAGGAUCAUGUAGUGUGAUUUCAUCUUUGCCUAAGUUGAUCGUAUGAAAGCGUCUUUCAUUUGAGAGGUAUUGAAGUUGAAAGUUAUCUUUUGAUCUUUCGGGAACCUGAAAAGUAGCAACACAAGAAAAAUUCAUAUCUUGGUUAGUGGAAACAUUCCUCACUACCCUUUCCAUGUCUUUUUCUUUUGUUUCUUUUUUUAAUUCAUUUUCUCUUCUUUCUUCAAUUUCUUUUUCAAUCUCAAUCUCUUUUUGCUCUUUUUCAUUCUCUUUUUCUUUUUCCUCACUUGUUUUAACAGAAUUUUUCAGUUUGAUUUGGUCCUCAUGGACUUGUUCCGGAGUGAGCGGCACUAAGGUGAGUUUCUUUCCUUGAUGCUUGAAAGAAUACCUAUUGGUACGACCAUCGUGAGUGACUUUUCGAUCUAGUUGCCAUGGUUCUCCUAGCAACAAAUGGCAGGCUUGAAUAGGCAUUACGUCGCACACAACUUCGUCUUGAUACUUACCGAUAGAAAAGGCGAUGCGCACUUGUUGAGUGACCCUAAAUUGGCCUUUGUUGCUAAGCCCUUGUAGUUGAUAAGGUUGUGGAUGCUUGGUAGUGGUUAAGCAAAGCUUUUCCACCAUCGUCGUGCUGGCUAUGUUCGAGCAACUUUCACCAUCAAUAAUAACUCUACAAAGCUUACCUUGUACAUGGCAGCAAGUAUGAAAAAGAUGUUCUCGUUGCUGCUCGCUCUUUGGUUUUGCCAAAGAUGAUUGUCCACGAUCAUGAAAAUCAUCAUCCAUUCUAGGGACACGUUGAGGGCUGCACCUAUAGGGCUGGUUAUCCCUAUCUUCCUUAAUUGGAUCUCGAUAUUGAUGUUUUUGAUUCACUCGUACCUCAUUCAAAGUAGUAUUCAAUGCUUGAAGUGUAGCAUUUAUUUGUGUGAUUGCAGCAGUAUGUUCGUCUAACUGUUGUUGGACUUUCAUAAGUGCAUCAUUAUUAUCACCUUUAGACAUCUUCAAAACCUGUAAAAAAUAAACACUCAACACUCAAAAAUAAAAGUUAGCAAACCUCACCAUUAAUCACUCAAAAAGAAAAAUCAAAUUCUCAAUGAGGUCGAAUUCAAUCUUGUGAGUUUUUUAUCAGAGUUUAUAUCAACCAAUUAGAGAGUGUGAACCAAAUUACCAAAGAAUCCUAAUUUGCACUAGGAUGCCAAAAACUGACGAGACACCAAGUGAUUCGUGUUGCACCGAGGAAGGAGUUGUGCACACGUGUAAAUCCUACUAACACAAGAAACAAAAAGGUGUUAGAUAAUGUAACGGAAGAAUAAAAGCAAACAAAUGAAAACCUACAGCUAAGAAUCAAUAAAAAUUGCUGAAAACAGAAAACCCGAAAAAUUGCGGAGUAACUUGACAACUUCGUUCGAGGUGGUCCCGAUCUCUAAAAAUCACGAAAUUAAAUCUGUAAUGUCCUUAAAUAUUGAAUUUCUUAUCUGGAAAUUUUGGGCACCAAAUUCAACCCACUGAAUCUUUUUUUAAAUUUUUAUUGAAUUUCGUAUUUUUUUAUUAUUUUGACUUUUUUGACUGAUUUUUUUUGCGGGAAUAAUUUUUUUAUAUUCAAUCACAGUGCCAAAAACAUGUAUGUAAAAUUUCAGAUCAAUCGGACAACGUUUACCCACUCAAAUGAAUUUUUUUUAAACAAUUUUUCUGGGUAAAACUGCUGUUUGUGCUUUAAAAAAUAGAGAUCAGUUUAGAAAUCAACCAAGAACACCCAAAACGCCCAAAAUCUGAUACCAAAUGAUACGGGGUUGCGCGUGGACCAAGAUCGAGUUGCCAAGUCACGGGAAACUCCUACGAAAACCCUAAACAAUUAGAUCUGAAACGAAACAGAAAAUUAAAAGAUUAGAUUUUUGAAUUUUCAGAUCUGAAAUAAAAUCCCCAAAUCAGCAAAGAAUCAAAUUGAGAAUAGAAAUAAGUGUUAGGGUUCUUGAAACCCUCAAGGAGAUUGUGAUUCUGCCCAAUUGAACACCAAGAUAGUUUUCCCCAAAUUUCGACAAUCUAAUUUCACCCAAAAAGAGUAUGGAAAAACCCUAGAAAUUGGAGAUUUUUGGGCUGAUUCCUUAAGAUAGAAAAAGGCUGAAAACACAAUAAGAACAUAAAAUAGAUUAGAUAAUGAUUCAGCACAAGUAGAAAUAAAGAAAGAAUUGACAGUAAGAAAUUAAAAAAAAGUCCUAAGAAGCCUUGAAAUCUCGAAAGAUCUCACAACUCCCUUCAAACGGCUCUAAUCUCCCCUCCAAAGAAUAUCAAUGGCAAGAAGAAGGUUGAAGAUGGCUCCCACAAUCAAAAAGAUUGUUAAAACAACUUCUAAAGAAAACUCAAGAGAAAAUCCUUGAAGAACUCAAAGAGAAUUUUCACUCAAAUCAAAUCUGAAAUUUUCAAUGUAAUUGUAAUGUAGUGUAGGGUGGCUGGCCAAGCCAUAUAAAUAGGCCUUUCAAAUAUUUUCCUAAUUUAAUUAGAACACUAAAACUAAAACUAAAAAAAAAAACUCCUAAUUAUUUUAAUAUGAAAAUUCGGCCAAGGGUCUUUUACUUGGGACUCUUGGACUGAAUAUAAAUAAAUAAAUAAAUAAAAAUAAAACUUUACAACUUGGGCCACUUUGACAAUUUGGCCUGAUUUUCAACUAAGUAUGGGUGGAUUUCUUGAUUGGGCUUGGAAUCUUCUUAUUGGGCCUCGCCUUCAAGAAUUUGGGCUUUUGUGACUCGUAUCACUUCUCCUCCUUCACAGCCUUGGUUGACAACACAUCUUGCCUUGUUUCUUUGUUCAUAACAAUCCUGUUUCUUCUUGCACAAACAGUUCGUGAGUAUAGUUUGCUUGCACAAACUGUCUUCAACAGGCUUGCAACUAUACAACACGCAUUGAGCUUCCACAUGUUGCUGAGCUCACACCUUUGACAGACUCACAUCUUUGCAUAUUGUCUUCAACAGGUGUCUUCAAUAGGCUCGCACUUUGCUAAGCUUGCAGCUUUGACAUCUUGCUAAGCUUGCACAUUUGGAAAGCUCACACCUUUCCUUGAAACUCCUCCUCCAGCUUAUUCAAGCUUGUUUGGGGGUCUUAUAAGUUUGAGCCGAUGUUGAGCAGGGGAAGCAAAAUCAAUGGUCCCUUAAGACUUAGGCUCUGAUACCAUUUGUUGGAACAAUGGCAGCAGCAAAAAGAAAAAGAACAAGACAGAGAACAAAGGAGGAAGAAACAAAAAUAAUUUACUUGCUCACAAACGUGCAACAAGGAAGCAAUCUGAGUUUCACAACUGAUAUGCUUGAUUUUUCAAUAAGAAAAACAAUACAUUUAUAGCCAACUACAUCAGUUAUUACUACCUAAUACCACUAAGUAGCCUAGUAACUUUAAAAACAUUGCUUGUACGCAAACAAGCCACCUAAACUAGUCAUUCAACACCUAAACAUAUCAAGCUAUCAUCAGCUUGUUCAUUUCCAAGUAGUUUAAUCAACAAAGAAACUAAAAAGAAAACUUGCUGUUACAGCAAGUAUAUGUGCUGCAGCAUGUCAUCAAGCUGCAUGCACUUCAACCAAAACAUGUAUCAGCAGCAUGGUUGGCCAAUUUCAACAAAUUCUCAGCAAAUGUCCAUCACUGCUACUCCAGACGAAUGCUAAAGGUCAAACUCCUUUGCACGUUGCAGCAAGGUAUGGAAAUUCUACUAUUGUGAAACUUCUAAUCAAGUCUUGUGCAAAAGCUAGAGAUGGAGAUUUAGAGAAGCUGGGAAUGGAUCAAGUAAAUGCAGUGGGGGAGAUGCUGAGGAUUACAGAUCAGGAAUCCAACACGGCUUUACACGAAGCAGCACGGCGUUACAAUGUUGAAGUGGUGAAAGCAUUAUGUUGGAGUUUGAAGACCCUGAUUUUCCGUAUUCCGCCAACAAAAAACAGGAGACUCCACUUUACAAUGUUGAAGUGGUGAAAGCAAUGCUGCACACUUGGGUUAUAGAUUAUCAGUUGUGGAAGAAGUGUUAAAAAGGGAUGUAUCAGCUGCCUAUAUAAGUGAUAAAAAGAGGGGGAUGACACCCCUGCUUAUGGCAGCCAGGUAAAGCUAUCUUGGAACAGUUUCAAAGAUUCUCUCUUUAUGUCCAGAUUGUUGUGAAAAAGUGGACAACAAAGGUUUGAAUUUACUUCAUUACCUGGUUUUUAGAGGCGCUUUCUCUCCAUUAAGAGUUUCUCCUUUGAAAUGACACUCAAGAAGUUUAUUAUGCACUUCGAUCUAAGAAACAAGAUCAGAAACAAGUGUGUGUAUAUAUUGUAUUUCCAUGGCUAUGGUUUUAUUAAUAUUUAAGUUUUGAAUUAACAUAUUUAAUAAAUCUUCAAUACAAUCAGCUAAUGUGGGUGGCAUGGCAGAAACAAAUCAAUGAUUUGUUGGAAGAAAUUGAGACUGAUCAAGUGGCGGAGGACCCAGUUCAACUCAAUCUCUUGCCAACUAUCUCUGCAGAAAGCUUGGAGAAGACAAGAGAUGCUCAUUUAGUAGUGGCAGCACUUAUAGCCACCAUCGCAUUUGCAGCGGUAAUCCCGGUGGUUUGAAUAGCGAAAAAGGGUCAGAGCAAGGCGCUCCCCUUUUGAUUGAUGAGGCGGCAGCCUUUAAAGCAUUUGUUGUAACAAAUGCAUUGGCCUUUAUUCUCUCUGUUUCUGCCAUCUUCAUCCACUCCGGGGUUCUGGGUAAUAUGUUAUCAGGAUUUAAGUUUGGGCAUCGGACAGUUUUAUAUCGAACUCUGUCUGUUUCUGGGAUCCUUUUUCUAUGCAACGUUUGCAAUGUUGAUUGCUUUCAGCACAGGCUGUUAUGUGGUCUUAAAACCUUCCCACGGACUUGCCAUUGUUUCAUAUCUCAUCUACCCUGCCUUUUUUGUCUUUAUGUUGCUAAUUUUGAAUCUUACAUCAUAUAUGUAACAUAUAAAUAUGAGAAUAUUACUUUAUCACGGAUUACUAUUCUUCCAAUUCCUAGUGUCAAUGUUCUCUUUGAAGAAAUAUUACUUUUAAGUUUUUUUUAGAUAUAUCUAACUCAUCAGUAUUGUUGCGGAAAGGAUCGAUUCGAGAACUCCGAUAUGACUACAAGUAAAUUGACCGAAACGAAAAAUAAAGUGAACACAAGGAUUUACGUGGUUCGGCUUUAAUGCCUACGUCCACGGGCAGAGGCGAAAAGAAAUUUCACUAUAACAAGAUGAAGAUUACAAGUGUUUUACACUCAAGACACAACCCGAGAACCUCACAACUCUCAACCCCUAUAGAAAACCCGAAAGCUAAAAUCCUAGCUUUCAAAGAACAAGCUUUGCUCUCUCUUGGUUUGGGAUGAUUAAUAUGGCUAAUGAACCUCUCUAUUUAUAAGAGAGUUCAAGGACAUAAUUGUCCAAAACUUUGGCAAAGAUUUGUGGUUGAAAAUGGACACCAACAACCAUCCACUAAUCCACUACCACCAACAACCCACUACCAACAACAACAAUCCACUACCAAUUUUAAGCCAUUUCUUAACAAAUCUCCACCUUGGCUUGAAAUUUACCAAGCUGAACAUCAUAGUGAACUGGAUCACCUCUUCCAAACGCCUCUCUGGCGCUAAUCAAUCCCGAAUACCUAUCAAGUCCAAGCAAUGCUUGAACUUAUAUGCAGGGAUCACCUUAGUUAACAUAUCUGCAGGAUUCUUCUCGGUAGCAACCUUGCUGAUAACAAUGUCACCUUGCGUAACAUGUUCCCGAACAAAAUGAUAUCUGACAUCAAUGUGUUUGGUCCGUUCAUGAAACAUCUGAUUUUUAGUCAGAUGUAUGGCACUCUGGCUAUCGCAAAAUACAACAGUGAAAUCCUGUUGUAAACCCAAACUGCUUACUAGACCUUUCAUCCACAAUGCUUCUUUCACUGCUUCUGCUAACGCCAUAUAUUCCGCCUCAGUCGUAGAUAAGGCUACGGUAGACUGUAACACAGCUUUCCAACUAAUGGCUCCUCCAGAAUAAGUGAAAACAUAACCCGUCAGAGAUCUUCUUUUGUCCAGAUCUCCAGCAUAAUCAGAGUCCGCAUAGCCCGUGACACUGCUAGUGCAGUCACUCUGAUCAUAUACCAAGCAUAAAUCUGCAGAACCUCUCAAGUACCUGAGAAUCCAUUUCACGGCCUGCCAGUGUUCCUUGCCAGGACAACUCAUGUAUCUGCUGACCACACUAACUGCAUGUGAAAUGUCUGGACGAGUGCAAACCAUUGCAUACAUCACGCUUCCAACUGCACUCGAGUAUGGAAUGUGAGACAUUUGCUGCUUUUCUUCAUCAGAUUGUGGUGACAACUCUGCAGAGAGUUUGAAAUGUGGUGCCAACGGAGUACUCACAGUUUUCGCUUUAUCCAUGCCGAAGCGUUGAAGAACCUUUUCAAUGUAGUUCUUCUGCGACACACGAAGCUUGCCCGCCUUGCGAUCUCUGUGAAUAUCCAUGCCCAAAAUUUUCUUGGCAGCACCCAGAUCCUUCAUCUCGAACUCACCACUCAACUGCGACUUUAACUUGUUGAUUUCCGACAUGUUUUUGGAAGCAAUUAACAUGUCAUCAACAUACAGCAACAAAUAAAUGUGCGAACCAUCUGAGAGCUUCCGAUGAUAGACACAAGCAUCAUAGUCACAUCUUGUGUAACCAUGCUGAAUCAUGAAGCUAUCAAACCGCUUGUACCACUGCCUUGGGGAUUGUUUCAAUCCAUAUAAAGACUUCUUUAAUAGACAGACAUGGUCUUCUUUACCAGGAACUGUAAAACCCUCUGGUUGACGCAUGUAGAUUGUUUCCUCGAGCUCACCAUGCAAGAACGCCGUUUUUACGUCAAGCUGCUCAAGUUCUAGAUCAGACUUGGCCACCAUGGCAAGUAAUACACGAAUGGAAGAAUGCUUUACGACUGGGGAGAAAACUUCAUUGUAGUCAAUCCCCUCUUUCUGAGUGAAGCCUUUAGCAACCAAUCGUGCCUUGAAUCUAGUUGCUUCAACCCCUAGGAUGCCUUCCUUUUUCUUGAAGACCCAUUUGCAACCAACUAUCUUCUGGUUACUUGGCGGCUUAACCAACUCCCAAGUAUGGUUCUUGUGAAGAGAUUCUAUCUCCUCACUCAUAGCAAUUGCCCACUGUGCCGACUCAUCACACGUGACAGCCUCAUUAUAACUGGAAGGUUCUAUACCAAUGGACUCCGCCACACUGAGCGCGAAAGACACCAGAUUAGCGUAACGCGGAUUUGGUUUGAUUUGUCUCUUCGUUCUUCCAGUGGCAAUGCUAUAUGGUUUUUCUUGAGGUGACUCAUCUUCAUCGGAAUCUUGCACCUCAACUUGAUCAUCCUGGACUGAAGUACCUUCCGUAGGAAUUGGAGCGUCCACCUGACACUCCACCUGCUUCUCAACACCGUGAUCUCCCAUUCUAUCUGACUCCUCCUUUUCCCGGGAAUUUGUGGUGGAUCGAAGCAUGGAUGACUCAUCAAAAGUCACAUCUCUGCUGAUGAUGAACUUGGACGAAACCGGAUCAGGACACCACAACCUGUAUCCUUUCACCCCUUGGCCGUAUCCAAGAAAUAUGCAUUUCUUCGCCCUCGGUUUGAGUUUUCCCUCAUUUACAUGAGCAUACGCAGGGCAGCCAAACACUCUUAAACCAGAGUAAUCAGCAGGAGAACCAGACCAUACUUCCUCAGGAGUCUUCAGCUCAAUAGCUGUUGACGGAGAUCUGUUAACCAAAUAACAAGCAGUAUUAACAGCUUCAGCCCAAAAUUCUUCACCGAGCCCAGCAUUUGAUCGCAUGCAACGAGCUCGCUCCAAGAGAGUUCUAUUCAUGCGUUCUGCAACUCCAUUUUGUUGUGGUGUUCGACGAACAGUGCGGUGUCUCACUAUUCCUUCAUUUUUGCAGAACUCAUUGAAUUCACCUGAGCAAAACUCCAAGCCAUUAUCCGUCCGGAAUCGCUUGAUCUUCUUUCCUGUUUGAUUUUCGAUCAAAGCUUUAAAUUGCUUGAAGUUGAUGAGAACCUCAUACUUGCUCUUCAGAAAAUACACCCAAACCUUUCUCGAGUAAUCAUCGAUAAAGGUAAGCAGAUAUCUGUAACCACCUUUAGAAAUUGUCGGAGAAGGCCCCCAAAGGUCAGAAUGGAAGUAAUCCACUGUGCCUUUUGUCUUGUGAAUCCCAGUGCUGAACUUUACCCGAGUCUGCUUACCGAAGACGCAGUGCUCACAGAAAUUCAACUUUCCUGUACACUGCCCAGACAAUAAUCCUCGUUUGCUUAGCACCGAUAAGCCUCUCUCGCUCAUAUGCCCGAGCCGCAUAUGCCAUAACUUCGUGGUGUCAGAAUCUAGAUCAUCUGAUGAUGACACUCCCGCAACACCUGUAACCGAGGAACCAUCGAGGAAGUAAAGGCCUCGCUCCAAAUUACCACGUAUCACAGUCAAAGCACCCGAGAAUACCUUGAGAACUCCACCUUCAGCAGAGUACCGAAAGCCUUUCUUGUCCAACGUACUCAAAGAGAUCAAAUUUUUCUUCAUUUCUGGAAUGUGCCGAACAUCAGUUAGAGUUCUAACAAUACCGUCAAACAUCUUUAUACGAACUGUGCCAAUCCCCAUGACUUGACAUGCGUGGUCAUUUCCCAUUAGUACUGAACCAGAAUGCUUCUCGUAUGUUGAGAAUGCAUCUUUCGAAGUACUUAUAUGAAAUGUAGCUCCCGUAUCAAGAAUCCAUCUCCCACCAGCGUAAGAGUCGGAUACUGCAAGAACGAUCUCGGCAUCACUUGAAGAAUCUGCAUCAGCUACAUUCGCACGAUCAUUUUGUUGCUCCUGUGAUUCUGAUUUCUCCUUCCUUUUCGGACAAUCUACCUUCAUGUGCCCGUACUUCUUACAGUAGUAGCACUGUAUUCUCUUCUUGGACUGCGAUCUAGGAUGGCUUUUACUUGAACUUCCACCCUUUGCCUUGGAUCUUCCUCGAGCAACCAAGCCUUCGCCUUCAUUGUUUUCGACCACCUUACCAGUGAUUUUCUUCCUCAACUCACUGGAACUUAAGGCAUUUUUCACCUCCUCUAGAGUCAGGUCAUCACGACCGUACAUCAUUGUAUCAACAAAAUUCUCAUACGAGGGAGGCAAAGAACACAAAACAAUUAUUGCUUGGUCCUCAUCAUCGAUUUUGUUAUCGAUAUUAUUCAAAUCCAUGAUAAUGGAAUUGAAUUUAUCCAGGUGCUGGGAAACAGGUGUACCUUCCUCCAUCUUCAGGGCAUAGAGUCUUUGCUUGAGGUAGAGCCGGUUCGUCAAUGACUUCGUCAUGUACUUGCUUUCUAACCGGAGCCACAAACCGGACGCGGUUUUCUCAUCCGCUACUUCUCGUAGCACUUCAUCUCCUAGACAUAGCAGAAUAGCACUAUGUGCUCUUUCUAGCAUGUCAUCCUUUUGCUCUUCCGAAAGCGUGCUUGGUAAUUUAUCUUUACCAGACAAUGCUUUUAGCAAUCCUUGUUGAACCAGCACUGCCCGCAUCUUGAUGCGCCAUAAACUGAAACUAUUUUUCCCGGUAAAUUUCUCGACAUCAUACUUAGUCGAUGAAACACUUGUAGCCAUAAUUUGGAACCUUUGAAUGAAUGAUAAUAUUUUCUUCCUGAUGUGAAAGAUCAGACAAAGCUGCAGUCACAGGGCAAUUCAGAAAAUAUUAUCACUCCUUCAACUACGCUCUGAUACCAAUUUGUUGCGGAAAGGAUCGAUUCGAGAACUCCGAUAUGACUACAAGUAAAUUGACCGAAACGAAAAAUAAAGUGAACACAAGGAUUUACGUGGUUCGGCUUUAAUGCCUACGUCCACGGGCAGAGGCGAAAAGAAAUUUCACUAUAACAAGAUGAAGAUUACAAGUGUUUUACACUCAAGACACAACCCGAGAACCUCACAACUCUCAACCCCUAUAGAAAACCCGAAAGCUAAAAUCCUAGCUUUCAAAGAACAAGCUUUGCUCUCUCUUGGUUUGGGAUGAUUAAUAUGGCUAAUGAACCUCUCUAUUUAUAAGAGAGUUCAAGGACAUAAUUGUCCAAAACUUUGGCAAAGAUUUGUGGUUGAAAAUGGACACCAACAACCAUCCACUAAUCCACUACCACCAACAACCCACUACCAACAACAACAAUCCACUACCAAUUUUAAGCCAUUUCUUAACAAGUAUUAACAAUCUCCAUUUAAUUGAAAUCAAUGUUAUUAGUUGAUAAAUACACAUUUUCAAAAAAAAAUUAAAAAAAUUCAUAAUUUAUGUAAAGUAAAAUUUAUUAAAUAUCAAAAAAUAAUAAAUAUGUUGUAACUAAUUUUCCGUUAUAAUUAAAAAUUAGUUUGAGGAAUCAUUGAAAAAUAUGAGAUUUUUAAGUUCACCACCAAUUUUUGUUGGCUAGGUGUGAUCAAACACCUAUAAAAUCACUCUUUAAAAAGAAAAUUUUGAUUUAAAAAAAAAUUAAUUUUGGGUACGAUAGAAAUUCAGAAAAUAAAUAUUUAAGUUCAAGAGUUGAUUACGUGAAAAGAAGGUUUUAGCACCCAUGCCUAAAAUUGAUAGUUUGUUAAAUAUAUUCGUCAAUUAAAAUUUAUAUCUCGGUAUUUAAUUAAAAUCAAAAAUUUUGAUAAAUUAAAAAUAAAUAUAUGAAAGAUGUCCAGAUUGUUGUGAAAAAUUGGAAAAAAGAGGUUUGAAUUUACUUCAUUAUUUGGCUUUUAGAGACCGUUCCUACAAUUAAGUCAUUCUCUUUUCAUGACUGGUGGUACUAUGGCUGCAUAUGGAUCAAUAAGAAAUCUAAUGAAGUUGAAAGGUGACUUUGGAUUUACAGCAGCAAUAACUCUACCUGGUGGUUUGAAUAGUGAAAAAGGAUCAGAGCAGGGCAAUCCUUUUCUGAUUGAUGAGGCAGCCUUCAACAAAUGCAUUGGCCUUUAUUCUCUGUUUCUGCCCUCUCCAUCCAGUUUGGGAUUCUGGAUCUUCUUUUAUGUUUCUAAUCUCCUUGAUUGUGCAGUGGUUGUGAUGGUGAUUGCUUUUAGCACAAGUUGUUAUGUGGUUUUAAAACCUUCCCAUAGACUUGGUACCGAUUCAUGUUUCAUUUGCCCUGCCUUCUUUGUUUAUUAUUACAUACAACAAUACCUAGCUCUUGUGAAGAUGUCGUACUAAAAAGUACUCAUAUUGUGUGAGACAAUAAAACGAAGAGCUCAUGGAGGCCCUCAUGAUAGAACAAUUUUGCAUGCAGCAGUUAUGGCUGUAGAUGCCAGGCAAUUACAUAUGCAAAUAUAUUUAUUAACAACUUCAUUCCCCCCCAUCUCUGUAUUAAACCGAAAGUCCAUGUGAUUCCAACUGUUAAGCACCAUGGGAAGUGUUGAAAUAUAUAGGAAGUAAUAAGAAUUUUAUACAUAAUAAUAAAUUUACUAAUUUGACAUUUUUCGUAAUUAAAUUUAGCGUUUAAUUUUUUAAAAAGAGUCAAAUUUGAUCAUUUACUUUUAAAAACUAUUUAAUUAUCGUUUUUACACUAAAAUAUUAAAAUUUUAAAUAUAGUAGUUCGCGUGAAAGUUGGCAUGAACUUCAUGUUAACUUUUUCAACUUUUAAAUUUUUUAUAAUUUUUAAAUUAUUUCUUGACGUGCCGGAUAAAUAGUGUUAUCUCACCGUUUACGAGUUUUUCCAUUCCUAUGAUAAAAAGAGAAACGAGAUCAGAUUUUAUGGAACAAAUUCUCAGCAAGUGUCCGUCACUGCUACUCCAAACGAAUGCUAAAGGUCAAACUCCUUCGCACCUUGCAGCAAGGUAUGGGCAUUCUGCUAUUGUGAAACUUCUAAUAAGUCUUGCGCAAAAGCUAGAGAUGGAGAUUUAGAGAAGCUGGGAAUGGAUUGAGUAAAUGCAGCGAGGGAGAUGCUGAGGAUUAGGGAUCAGGAAUCCAACACCGCUUUACAUGAAGCAGCACGGUGUGGCACAGGGAUUUAAAUUGCGGUCGCGGUCGUAUUUUCGGUCGCGUCGCGUUUGUCGCGGUUGCAGACAUAACGGACGCUAUUGCGAUUACUGCGGGUAUCACGGUCGUGAAUUUUUUUAAAAUUCGUACAACUUAUUAUAAAAUAUAGGAAUUAUAAUUAUAAUUAUAAAAAGUCAUUUUUUAUGAUUUUUAGAGUUUUAAAUAUUUAGACUUUGAUUGCUUUUUGCUAUUUAUUUGGACUUCUUUUUUUUUAAUAACAUUAUAUUAGGCUUUUAUUAAUAAAACAAAAUUAUAAAAACUGCACACUUAUAAUUCUAAAAAGCCCAAAGCAGAUGGCCAAAAGUAAAAAAAUCUAGAUAUUUUUAAAGUAAAAAAAUCUAGAUAUAAUCCUAAAAAAAGGCACCGAUUCCUUGCCCAAUCAGCUGAAAUCUGCCCUCUCUUCUUCCCAUAAUCCAUCAUUUCAUUUUCAAUUUGACCAUUUCCUUUUUCAAAACUUUUCCUUCCGAACCGUUCCAUUUUCUUAUUGUUUUGAAGCUUUCUUCCUUCCGUUCUUCCUCUCCUGGUGCUUUCUAGUCUGGUUCACAUAGCCAAUCGUAUCUUCUUUGUUCUUCAGCGUACUCAGGCCCUCAGGGAGCUCCAUUUCCAGGCAUACCUCCUCUUUUUUGUUUUUUGUUCUUUUUCCUGUUGUCUUCUUUGUUCUUUGUUCUUUUUCCUUUUUUUGAUUGAACUGUGUUUCAGUGUUUCUGUUGAUUUUUGUUUAGAGGGGAUGAUUUUUUUUAAUUUGCUGUUAACAGAAAAUAACGGGAAUAGCGGCCCGUUAUUGCCGCAAUUGGCCGUUACCCGUUAAAUUGCGGCCGUGAUCCACCGCUAUCGGUGUGACUCCGCUUCUCACCGCUAUUUUCAGCAAUUGCGGUUUCGGACGGCGCCGCUACCGCUAUAUAACGGCCGCUAUUUCGGUAACGGACCGUUAUUUAAAUCCCUGGUACUGUGGCAUUGUCGAAGUGGUGAAAGCAUUGUUGGAGUUUGAAGACCCUGAUUUUCCGUCUUCUGCCAACAAAAAACAGGAGACUCCACUUUAUAUAGCAGCUAUGGCUGGAGAUGCAGGUAUGCUGUUGAUAUUAAUAAUUUUGAUAAAAUGUCUGCAAUUUGUUAAAAUGCAACCUGAAGCUUAGAAAACUUUCCAGCAUCAGAAUUAACAGGAAGAGCUUACAUCAUGAUUUCAUGGAUUAUGAACUAUACAUUUAAAUUACAAAUUGAUAGAAGUUGUUUUUGUUAGUACAAAUUUUCGAUGAGGAAAAUUUCGAACAUACGAACGAAACUUGAACAGCAAAUAAAGAAAUAAGACAAGGCUUCAAAGUGUGUAUCAAGUCGCUAUUUUUAAGGUUAUAUUCGCCUCCACCUAUGUUUAGUGUGCAAAAGAGUUUCGAGUAAAUUAAUCUCAAGGAUACAAUGAAGCCGAUGACUAUUUGUGUUUUGCACUGAUGAAAAUAAAUCGCUAAGCACUGAGCAAUAUAUAACAAGAAACUCAAUUUUAAAAAAAAAAAUUACAGUAAUACUUUAUAGAAUAAUCUAAUAAUAUUUGAAGAUGGAGGAAGGAAAGAAAGAAUUUUAGAAUUUGUUGAUAUAAUUUUCAAAUAAAAUCUCAUUCCUAUUUAUAAGAAUUUUCAUGUUUCUCCGUAUACUCUUCGUAGACUCUUUAAGAAAGUGAGAAUUUUAUCCAAUUAAUGUUUUUGUUUCUUGUUUUGUUUAAUGAAGACCAGAAGUUAGGAAGCUCGACAAGAGUUUAAGCGUCCGUUUUGUUUGUUGUUAUUUUCAUUAAUUCCUAAUCUAAUUUGAUUCUACAGUUUUAUAACGUUAUUAAUUAAUCAAAAUUGUUAAUACAAUUAAUUUUUUGAUUAAAAAAUUUCAUGAUUAUAUAUAAUUUGAAUGUUUUAAGGGUUUUAGAGAUGAAUACGUGACUCAUUAUUUCUUUUAGGUUUGCCUUACUUUUUUUUAUAUUAUAAGAAAAUGAUCAAAUUUUAAUUUUAGCCCUUACACAAUGUGAAAAUUUGGGAUUUAAUUUAUAUACAUUAUUUUUUACAUAAUUUGAUCAUUCUUCUUUUACAAUGUCAUUAGUUAGCCCUUACACAAUGUUGGCAUCAAUAUUUUUAGGAAUCCUAUUCCAAGAAAAAAAUAUUCAUGACGAGUUCGAAUGAAUGUUCUAAAGGAAAAAUCUAUAUAAACAUUUUCAAUGUUAUUUUUAUUUUUAUAUGACUACCAAGUAAUUUUUUUUAAUUUUCAAAAUAUCACACUAACAAAUUUAAUAGAAGAAUUUUAGUAGUAGUAAUGAUUGAACCUAAAAUUUUAAAUCUAAAAAACAGAGGGUCUAAAGUUCUAAAAAUAAAAGUAUGCUUAAAGUAUAUUGUCCUUUAAAUUGUACUGCAUAAUUUAAUACAAAUAAAUAAUGAACCCUUUGCGAAGCAUGAGAUUCAUACUAGUUUAUGAUUAGGUUAAUGGACAUUAAUUACCAAAUUUGCUAAAGUGUCUAUUUGAUGAAAUAAAGCAAUCACACGUCUAAAACAUAUAAGGUUGUGGAAUGCUUGUACUAUUAUAAAUAGAGGUGGUUUCUCCACUUUUAGAUUAUCCCGAAAUUUGUUGUUUUUUUUUGUAAUUUUCUAUUUUAUCUUUUGCAGUAUAAUAUAUUUGGUAAUAUUCAAGGACGUAGGCAUAAUUUGCUGAAUCUCAUCAAAAUUUUGGUGUUUUUAUUAUUUUUUUUUUCUCAAUAUUUUGUAGAGUAUAUUUGUAGUGAUAUAUUGGGCUUUAAGCAGGAUUAUAUGUGACCCUUUCAAUCUUUAUUGAGAAUUGAACAAGUAUUUUUUACGACAAUAAUUUACUCACUUGUAUCCGGUUCACACAACACUAUUAACUCUUUAUGAUUAUACUAACAAUUUAGUCUUAUUUUUCUCUUUUGAUAGUAAAAAAGUAGCAGCAAAAAGCUUCAAAACAAACCAAAUCAAAGACUAAACUAGUUUCCAUGGUAAGUAAGCAGGUCCAAAACACCAGGUGAUGGCUCUUCAAAAAAAUGCAGAGUAAUUCCCAAAUCAGGACCCAGCGGCGCCAUAAAGUCUGCAAUCUUAGUAGCUUCCCGUCUCUUAUGCAUAAAUUGGAAUCCAUCUGCCAAUAGCUUGGUCAUUAGUCGCCUCUUUAAAAUAUCCAUCGCCCCUCACAUUUUCCGAUUCAAUGAUAACCUUCCGAUAGCCUUGGCGGCGGGCCAACAAUUUAGUAUUUUAAUCAUCUUUAACAACUUUGUUUUGGCCCCAUUUGCUAAUUUUAAUUAUUUUUUAUUAUUAAAAUUAAAAUUAAAAAUUCAGAUUGACCCAUACUUACCUAACCUUUGAAUUAGAUUGAUAAACUACAUAUAGAUAAAUCCAUAUAUGACAAAUUUUUUAUAAUUAAAAUUUAGUAUACCGUCAUAAGUGUGUCAUAAUUUAGUGAUAUAUAAAUUUAAAAAUGAUAAUUUUGAUGUUUAUACUGUUAGAGAUUGUAUGACCCAAAUCUCGUCACUUUAAAUAAAAUACAAAGUCAAAAUAAGGAGAUCUAUGGGGACGAAGGAUUUUUCAAGCUUUAAAUAGAUGUAGUCGAAAUUCUUCUUGUUUUAUUCAUUUUUCAAUAUUAGUGAAUUUCUCCUGCCCCAUGAUUAUUUCCAAAAAGAUUUUCACAUAAAAUUUAUAUUUUUUUUUCUUUUCUUAUCGAUUUGCAAUUAUUCUACUAUCAUUAUUGACGUCGAUAAUGGAAUUUGACAACGAAAAGAGAUGAAGUGUAUUUCAUCUGCCCUUCCAACUUUGUCAAAUUCCCAUGGACGUUGCCAUCGUUUUAUGUUUGAUCUGCUCUGCUUUUUAUUAUUAUUAUUACUUACAACAAUACCUAGCUUUGUUGAAGAUGGUUUUGUAGUGAUAAUCAAGAAUUUUCUUAACUUCAUUUAUUUCCCCAAAUAUCUGUGAAAGGGAAUUAAAUCUCCAUAUGAAGCCAAAGUGGAUGUGGUUCCAAGUGUUGAGCAGCAUAGGAAGUAAUCAAAAUAUAUAUGUCGCACUGCAAGGAAUUCAAGGCUGCCUUGUCCACAACACAAAGGCUUAUAGCUGCUAAGCACCUGCUCUUAAAUUUGAUUAUGGCCUAAUAAACAACAUAGGGCAGCAUUGACUUCACCGCAAAGAGCUGUACACCGCAUUUUCUUCCAUUCUUCUUCUUUGCAGUUUCUUAAACCCAAAUUUCACCAUAAAAAACUCCUAAAAAUGAUGGAUUUGGUGCGUCUACUUUUCAACAAUUUUUAGUAUUUUAAUCAUCUUUAGCAACUUUGUUUUAGGGCCAUUUGCUUUUCUUUUCGUUACAAUUAAGUCAUCAUAUGAUAAUAACAUUUAGUGUAAGUUAUACAAAUAGUCCUUUAAUUAUUAGCACAUUAUUAGUUUGGUCACUCAUGUUUAAAAAAAGUCUAAUUUAGUCACUAACGUUAUGGACAAUUGAUAUUUUUGUCAUUCCUCAUUCAAUCAUUAAUAGAAUGCUGAUGCAACUUUUUUUUAUUGGCAUAUUAAUAAAUUUAGCCUUUCAAUCUCUAUAAAUUCCAGUAAUUUGAUUUACACAUUAUGUUAACUUAAUCUUCAUUCUUAAUUUUUUUUUUUAAAACUUAAAAACUAAAAAUAUAUAUUUAAUUUUUUUUUCUAUAAAAUACAUAUACAAAAUUAUAAAAUACAUAAAAAUAUAAAAAUAUUUAUAAAUAAAUGAAUACUAUUUUUUUCUUCAAAGAAAAUAUAGGGUUUAGUCUGAAUGAGUCAAUAUUAACUAACAUGACCAAAAUUUAGUGUGUAACAGUUUUCUGAGCUACCAAACACAGUCUUAGAAUAAAAAAAGAACAUAGAGCAGCAUUAACUUGACCACGAAGAGCUGUAGACCCCAUUUUCUUCCAUUCUAUUCUUUAAUUCUUCUCCUUCUUUGCAGUUUCCUUAAAACCAAAUCUCACCAUAAAAAACUCCUACUUUAUUGACCUCACUUCCAACCCAAUAUGCCACUUUUACUAAAGUGUUCAACUAUAUAAAGUUUUCAUUCGUAGGUGACUUGAAUGCAGGCAUAUGCAAGCAAGUAACUAACUGGAAAGGAAUUUGGUAAAUUUCUGAUUUGCAGUAUUUUUUUUCUUGAGCUUGGAAUGCUUCAAGCUAAUUAAUUAAAUUCUGUUUAGUGUUAUCCAGGAAGAAAUAGAUCCAGAAAAAAGGAACCUCGGAAGCCUGAACAGAACAUCACUCACAUGGAGGCUUCGCUAUAUAAUGCAGCAGCAGAAGGAAACAUUGAAGUAUUCAAUAAUAAACAGGGGCUUCAACUUGAGUCGCUAAAGACCCCAAACCAAGACAACGUGCUCCAUGUUAACUUGGCAACCGAGGAGACUGUCAAAUUCUCAAUAAUCAAAAUCUUCUCCGUAGGAUUUGUACCAGCCUAUCCGUUUUUGAAUUUAUUCGUUACUAUGAUAAAAAGAGAAAAAAAAUCAGAUUUUAUCGAACAAAUUCUCAGCAAGUGUCCGUCACUGCUAUUCCAAACGAAUGCUAAAGGUCAAACUCCUUUGCACGUCGCAGCAAGGUAUGGACAUUCUGCUAUUGUGAAACUUCUAAUCAAGUCCUGCGCAAAAGCUAUAGAUGGAGAUUUAGAGCUGGGAAUGGAUCAAGUAAGUGCAGUCAGGGAGAUGCUGAGGAUUACGGAUCAGGAAUCCAACACGGCUUUACAUGAAGCAGCAGGGUGUGGCAAUGUUGAAGUGGUGAAAGCAUUGUUGGAGUUUGAAGUCCCUGAUUUUCCGUAUUCUGCCAAUAAAAAACAGGAGACUCCACUUUAUAUUGCAGCUAAGAGAGGAGACGGCGGCGUGCUGAGUGUAAUAUUAGAUAAAUCAAAAUCAGCAGCUCAUGGCGGCCCCCACGGUAGAACAGCUUUGCAUGCAGCAGCUAUGGCUGGAGAUGCAGGUAUGUUGUUGAGUUAGUUCCAUUUUUUUUUUAAUUUGAAAUAAAUAAAGAACAGGUCUAUUGACAUUUUUUUUUUUUGCUUGGAUUUAGAGGCAAUAAGGAUAAUAUUAGAGAAGAAGGGGAAUUUGACAAAGGAAAGAGAUGAAGAUGGACACACCCCUCUUCAUUAUGCUGCACACUUGGGUUCUAGAUUAUCAGUUGUGGAAGAACUGUUAAAAAGGGAUGUGUCAGCUGCCUAUAUAGGUGAUAAAAAGAGGGGGAUGACACCCCUUCUUAUGGCAGCCAGGGAAGGUAAUGGUGGAACAAGGGCAAAGAUUCUCUCUUUAUGUCCAGAUUGUUGCGAAAAAGUGGACAAUAAAGGUUUGAAUUUACUUCAUUAUACGGCUUUUAAAGACUGUCUUCCCAUCAGGGAGUUCUGUUUUUAAGCGUGGUGGUGUUGAGAUUGUAUAUGGAUCAGUUAGAAAUCUAACGGAGUUGGAAGGUGCCUGUAAAAUCUAAUGGUUUUGCAUUUCCAUGGCUACUGUUUUAUUAAUAUUUAAGUUUUGAGUUAACAUAUUUAAUAAACCUAUAAUACAAUCGGUUAAUGUGGGUGGCAUGACAGAAGCAAAUCAAAGAUUUGUUGGAAGAAAUUGAGAAUGAUCAAGUGGCAUAGGAACCAGUUCGUCACUUUCACUUACCAAAUGUUUCUAUAAAAAGAUUGGAGGCUAUAAGAAAUACUCAUUUAAUAGUGGCAGCACUUAUAGCCACCAUCACCUUCGCAGCGGUAAUAACUGUUCCUGGUGGUUUGGAGAGUGAAAAGGGGUCAAAGCAAGGUAAUCCCUUUUUGAUUCAUGAGGCAGCCUUUAAAGCAUUUGUUGUAAAUUGGCCUUUAUUUUCUCUGUUUCUGCCUGUUGGGAUUUGGAGAAUGAUAGAUGAAGGUUAACAGAGCUUGAGCAACAAUGCUGUAUGUUUGCUGGUGAAAUAAACAGAAUCGGGCUUGGGAACAAAGAAAAUGAAAAACAAGAAAAGAGAGUUUUGGAUGAAAUUUUGAAAAUGAUUUCAUUAACAUUGAUUGAAGGCACAAAGCCAAUACAUAAACCAGACAUUUAGCCGGUCAAAUCAAAACAAAUUGUCACCUAACAUUACCUACUAUCACUAAGUAACAUUGGAACUUAUGAAAACAUUGCUUGCACACAUAGGUAUACUGAUUUAUCAAUCUAUCAGUACCUAAUUACAUCAAAACAAUAUCAAUUUAGUUCAAAUCUGACUAAAUUACAAAGCGAUAUUUAAGGUAACAAAACGAAAUGAAAUACAAUAGCAGUAAUGUGCUUCAGCAGCUGCAUGCAUACUUCAUGUGUUGUAAGUGCGGCUUGAUCUGCUUGUUCAUACUUUAUGUGCUGUAAAUGCGGUAUCCAGGCCAACUUCAACACUCCUCCUUGGCUUGCAUGCUGCAUACUCCCAUUUUAGCUCUCAAAUGCACGAACCUUGAACACUAAUGGGCUUUGUUAAGAUAUCAGCAAGUUGUUCUUUAGAACUGCAAUGAAUUAGCUUCACUUCUUGAGCUUGCUCCAUCUCUCUAACAAAGUGAAAUUUGAUCUUGAAGUGUUUCAUUCUUCCAUGGAAUACUGAAUUCUUUGCAAUUGCAACAGCAGAUUGGUUGUCACAAUUGAUCUCUGUCGCUUCCCUUGGUGUAGAUUCAAGUCAGCCAUGAUUUUUCUUAUCCAAAUGGCUUGAUUGAUAGCAAUAGCAGCUGCUACAUAUUCUGCUUCAGUAGUUGAUUGAGCAACAACAUUUUGCUUCUUCGAAUUCCAGCAAAAAAUGGCUUAUCCAAAAGUAAAAACAUACCUUGAUGUACUCUUCAUGUUAUCUAUCGAUCCAACCCAAUCACUAUCAGCAUAACCAACCACUUUCGUAUUUUUAGCUUUGCUAAAUAGCAUUCCAUAGCUCAAUGUACCUUUGAUGUACCUGAGAACUCUUUUGGUAGGUUGAAAGUGAUUUUCAUUGCAGCAAUGCAUGAAUCUAGAUAGCAGACUCACAAUAAACAUGAUGUCUGGUCUAGUGGCAGUAAGAUAUCGCAAACAACCUACCAAGCUCCUAUAGACAGAUUCACUAACCUGCUCAAAGUCACCUUGGCUCGAUAGUUUCUCUCUAAUGGCAACUUGUGUGUUUGAUGCCUUACAAUUUUGCAUGGAGAAUUUGUUCAGAAUCUUGGAGACAAAAGCCUUCUGACUUAGGAAGAUUCCAUGUUGUGUUUGAGUCGCUUCCAUACCAAGGAAGUAAGACAUUUGCCCCAAAUCUGACAUCUCGAACAUGUGUUCCAUCUUGGCUUUGAAAUCAGCUAGCAUUUCAUGAUCUCCUCCAGUUACUAGCAGGUUAUCAACGUAUAGGAACACUAUUAGUUGAGUUUCACUACCUUGCUUCUUCACAUACAAGGUAGGUUCACUGAUGCUUCUUUCAAAUCCAAGGCUAGCUAGGUAGCCAUCGAUCCUGCUAUACCAAACUCUUGGUGCUUGUUUCAAACAAUACAAGGCUUUCUUCAGUUUGUACACCUUGUCCUCUUCACCUGCCACUUUAAAACCUUCAGGUUGCUCAACAUAGAUUUUUUCAUCAAGAAACCCAUUGAGGAAUGCUAAUUUUACAUCAAGCUGAUGAAUUUUCCACUGCAUUUGUGCUGCUAAGGCAACUAGCAGCCUUAUGGUGUCAAGCCUAGCUACUGGUGCAAAGGUUUCAAAGUAGUCAAUGCCGUACUUUUGGCUGAACCUUUUUACAACCAGCCUUGCUUUUAGUUUGCUCAAGCUUCCUUCAGCAUUGUGCUUGGCUCGAAACACCCAUUUCACCCUAAUAACCUUUCUAUUUGCUGGUCUCUCAACUAGCAGCCAAGUCUGAUUAUUUUCAGUCAUUCUGAUUUCAUCAGCCAUUGCCUAUUUCCAGCCUUGUUGAGCUUCAACUUCUUCGAAGCAGCUUGGUUCAACUGCUGCCACUUGAGCUAUUUCAUAAAUCGCAGCUAAUGGUCUAGUGCCCCUGACUGGUUCAUUAUCAAUGUCCAUUUCAAGGCCAUUUUGAUCAGCUUUAGUCUGAUCUGUCAGUAAAUCUUCAAAGACUGCCUCUGGUUCAUUCUUCUCUCAAUUCCAACUUGAAUUCUCAUCAAAGACUACAUCUUUGCUCACAAGCACUUUGUUGCAUGAAGGAUCUAGGAUUCUGUAGCCUUUCUUCAUACUGCUAUAUCCCAUCAGGAUGCCAGGUUAGGAUGCAGUGAUUUUCUUAUGAUUGAACUCGCAUUGAGUUUCAUAGUUCACUUCUCUUUUAUUUCCAUCUUUACAGAUAAUCCACCAAGUUAGGAUGCAGACUCGGCAUACAGAGGACUCGACUCGGGUUUUAUUUAUUAAAAUAUUUUGGAUUUAUUAUUCAAAAUUUUUCGUUAUUCAGGAACUAUAAUAUCUUAUUUAAAUCAUGGCAUGAGACUUAGGUUUUUGUUUAAUUUAUCAUGUAUGACAUAUAAUAUAAUUUAAUAUAUUAUUUUUAAUUAAUUAAGCAUGAAAUAUGAUUUUAAUAAAAUUAAGUUGAAAAUCAUUUUUCCAUUGCUAAAUUAUAGUUUAGUAUUGAGUUGUAAAUAAAUCAGAAAAUUUAACUAAUUUUCAAUCUCAUGUGUUAUACUGAAAAUAAGCUAAGUUUUCCAUAUUUUAAAUUGGUCAUUUUUUAAACUUUGAUCGCUAUUGGGCUAUUUCAGUGGCCGAUAUAAUCUCUCAAAUUUAGAUCUAAUGUAUAGGCUGAGUUGAAGAGGUUACAACAAGAUGCAAGAUUAAUGUUGUUUUGUUUGAAGUAUAAAAUUAGUAAAACACAUAGCAAGGAUAACAUUGUUGGAGAUUAUGGUAUGCUAAAAUGUUGAAGUAGGGAAUUUGACAAAGGAAAGAGAUGACACCUCAACAGUUUAUGAUGCACUUCGAUAUGAGUCAUCACGAGAAAUAUCAGUGUGAAAAGGUGUGUGUAUUUCUAUGACCAAGAGCUAUGGUUUUAUUAACAUAUAUAUAUAUAUAUAAUAGACCUACAUUACAAUACAAUCGGCUAAUGUGGGUGGCAUGCCAUAAGCAAAUUGAAGAAUUGUUGAAAGAUAUUGCACUUGAAGAAGUAGCCAAGUUACCAUUUUUUCACAUUCCCUUAUUAACUGUCUCAGCAGAAAGCUUGGAGAAGACAGGAGAUAUUCAUUUAGUAGUGGCGGCAUUUAUAGCCACUGUGGCAUUCGUAGCAACCAUAACUGUUCCAAGUGAUUUCAAGGGUGAAAAAAUGUCAGAGCGGGGAACUCCUUUUCUAAUUUACGAGGCAGCCUUUAAAGCAUUUGUUAUGCAUUGGCCUUUAUUCUCUUUGUUUUUGCCCUCUCCAUCCACUUUGGAAUUUUGGAUCCUCUUUUAUCAAAAAUAAAUUAUUGAGAUAUUAAUAUAAUUUUAUAUUAAACCCAGUUCAUGUCUAAUGUCCUUGGUGACUGCUUUCCACAUAGGUGGUUAUGUGAUUUUAAAACCUUCUCAUAGACUUGCAUAUUGUUUCAUCUGCCCUGCCUUUUUUGUUCAAUUCUUCUCCUUCUUUGCCAAGUAUUUUCUUUACAGUUUCCUUAAACCCAAAUUUCACCGUAAAAAACUCCUCCUUUAUUGACCUGACCUCUAACCAGAGAUUUUCGUUUUGUUUAAAGUAAAAUUAUAAAGUUAAUAAAGCACAAAGCAAGAAUAGUACUUAGGGCAGCAUCGCCUUGACCACAAAGAGCUGUUCACCCCAUUUUCUUCCCUUCUUUUUCUUCAAUUCUUCUUCUUUGCCAAGUGUUUUCUUUACAGUUUCCUUAAACCCAAAUUUCACCAUAAAACCUCCUACUUUAUUGACCUGACCUCUAACCCUGUAUAUUACUAUUACUAAAGUGUUCAAGUAUGAAACUAUAUAUAUAUAGUUGUAGGUGACUUGAAUGGAGGAUAUGCAAGCAACAAACAAAUAGGUAUGGCAUUUGGUAAAUUUCUUAAUUUGCAGUUUUUUUUUUUCUUGAGCUUGGGAUGUUUCAAGAUAAUUAAUUAAAUUUUGUUUGGUGUUAUAUCCAGGUAGAAAUAGAUCAACAAAAAUGGGACCUCAGGAGCCUGAAGAGAACAUCAGUCACAUGGAUGCUUCGCUCUAUAAGGCAGCAGCAGAAGGCAACAUUGAAGUAUUCAAUAAUAAGCAGGGACUUCAACUUGAGUCGCUAAAGACCCCAAACCAUGACAACGUCCUCCAUGUUAACUUGGCAACCCAGGAGACUGCCGCCUGGCUUUUAAACAGAUUUCACUCAUGCGAUCCGGUUAUGAGUUUUUUCAUUACUAUGAUAAAAAGAGAAAAAAGAUCAGAUUUUAUCGAACAAAUUCUCAGCAAGUGUCCGUCACUGCUACUCCAAACGAAUGCUAAAGGUCAAACUCCUUUACACGUUGCAGCAAGGAAUGGACAUUCUGCUAUUGUGAAACUUCUAAUCAAGUUUUGCGCAAAAGCUAGAGAUGGAGAUUUAGAGAAGCUGGGAAUGGAUCAAGUAAAUGCAGUGAGGGAGAUGCUGAGGAUUACGGAUCAGGAAUCCAACAUGGCUUUACACAAAGCAGCACGUUGUGGCAAUGUUGAAGUGGCGAAAGCAUUGUUGGAGUUUGAAGACCCUGAAUUUCCGUAUUCUGCCAACAAAAAACAGGAGACUCCACUUUACAUAGCAGCUAGGAGGAGAGGAUCUGGGCGCUUGUUGACUCUAUUAUUAGAUAAAUUCAAAUCAACUGCUCAUGGCGGCCCUCACGGUAGAACAGCUUUGCAUGCAGCAGCUAUGGCUGGUGAUGCAGGUAUGUUGUUGAGUUAGUUCCAUUUUUUCUUUUUUUGAAAUAAAUAGAGAACAGGUCUAUUGAUUUUUUUUUUUUUUUGCUUGGAUUUAGAGGCAAUAAAGGUAAUAUUAAAUAAGAAGGGAAAUUUGACAAAGGAAAGAGAUGAAGAUGGACACACCCCUCUCCAUUAUGCUGCACACCUUGGUAAUAGAUUGUCAGUUGUGAAAGAACUGUUAAAAAGGGAUGUAACAGCUGCCUAUAUAGGUGAUAAAAUGAGGGGGAUGGCACCCCUUCUUAUGGCAGCGAGGCAAGGUCAUCUUUUAACAGUUUCAAAGAUUCUCUCUUUAUGUCCAGAUUGUUGUGAAAAAGUGGACAACAAAAGUUUGAAUGUACUUCAUUAUCUGGCUUUUAGAGGCUCUCUGUUGGAACAAUGGCAGUAGCAAAGAAAGCAAAAACGAAUGAAAGAAAACAAAAGAAAAAGAACUCAGCAAGAAAAUUUGUAACUGAAAAGUCAUCAUAGUUUCAUUCAAAUUUUGAAUAUAUGAAGAUUACAAAAGUAUUUGACAGUUACCUACUAAUUUAACUGCUCUUACUUAAUACUUACUAAAAAUAUAGCAACUUGUAUACAAAAGAAAGCUGGCAUACCAGCUAUUACAUCAGUCAAUCUUUCCUACUAACUUAGCUAACUCAUUACAAAGAUUUAGGCUAAGUUCCAUAGGAACAAAUAUUCAAAAAAUAAUUUUAUAACUGAACCAACUCCAUUUCUUUGCUACAAAACAGUAUAGUAGCUAAAAUUGUACAAUUUGCCGCUGUUGGUCUUUUGACCAAUUUGUUGCUGUUGGUUCUUUGUUGCAAUGCAGGCCACGGCUUCAACACUCCUCCUUGGUCUGUAUGCAACAAACACCAAUCCUUUCCUUCAAAGCAUUAAAUCGGUUGGCUCCCAAUGGUUUAGUUAAAAUGUCAGCUAGCUGAAUUUCUGAGCUGCAAUGAACUAAGCUAACCUCCCUAGAUUGCUCAGCUUCUCUAACAAAAUGGAAUUUAAUUUUGAAGUGUUUAGUCUUACCAUGGAAGACUGGAUUCUUGGCUAUGGCCACAGUUGAUUGAUUAUCCACUCUAAUCUCAGUAGGCUGAACUUGACUUUCAUUCAAAUCAUCCAAAAUCUUCCUAAGCCAAAUGGCUUGGUUCACAGCUGCUGCAGCUGAGAUAUACUCAGCCUCUGCUGUAGAUUGUGCAACAGUUUGUUGCUUCUUGGAACUCCAGCUGAAAACACUCGAGCCUAAGGUGAAAAAAUAACCUGAAGUGCUCCUCAUGUCAUCAACUGACCCUGCCCAAUCGCUAUCAGAAUAGCCUACGAGUUUCAGCUCCUUUGCCCUCCAAAACUUCACACCAGUAUCGAUGGUUCCUUUGACAUACCUUAACACUCUUUUUGCUGCCUUCAGAUGUGCCACAUUACUGCAGUGCAUAAACCUUGAAAGUAGACUAACAGCAUAGACAAUGUCUGGUCUAGUUGCUGUUAAAUAAAGCAAACAACCAAUUAAGCUUCUAUAUGCCUUCUCAUCUACUCGAUCAUGUUCACUGGCACUUGACAAUUUUUCUCCCAAUGCAACUGGUGUAGUGACUGAUUUGCAUUUCAACAUGAAAAAUUUUUCAAGCACCUUGGAAGUAAAUGUUUACUGACUUAUGAAAAUGCCAUCACUUCCUUGUUUUAUCUCCAUGCCAAGAAAGUAGGUCAUCAGACCAAGGUCAGUCAUCUCAAAGACAUGUUGCAUCUGUUUCUUGAAGUCUUCAAUAAGUUCAUCUUUGCAGCCAAUAACCAACAGAUCAUCAACAUACAAGGAAACAAUUAACAAGGUUUCCUCCUGAUCCUUCUUAACAUAGAGUGUAGGCUCACUGAUACUCUUUGUGAACCCGAGCAUUGCUAAGUAGCCAUCAAUCCUCUCAUACCAGGCCCUUGGAGCCUGUUUUAGACCAUACAAAGCCUUUUUCAGCUUGUAGACCUUCUGUUCUUCACCAGUGACCUUAAAACCCUCAGGUUGCUCAAUGAAUAUUUCUUCAUUAAGAAAUCCAUUUAGAAAGGCUGACUUAACAUCCAGAUGAUGCACCUUCCAAUGCUUUUGAGCUGCCAAAGCUAGCAGCAAUCUGAUAGUAUCCAACCUUGCAACAGGUGCAAAGGUUUCAGAAAAAUCAACCCCUUGCUGCUGACUAUAACCUUUAACAACCAGUCUGGCCUUAUGUCUAUUAAGAGAGCCAUCUGCAUUGUUCUUAAUUCUAUAGACCCACUUUACACCUAUAAUUUUUCUGUUUUCAGGUCUGUUUACAAGCUCCCAUGUAUCAUUUUUCUGAAUCAUUUUAAAUUCAGCUUCCAUAGCAUCCUGCCAGCAUUUUUCUUUUGCAGCUUCUUCAAAACAUGAAGGCUCUACUAUAGUUACUGUACAUCUCUCAUAGAUGUCAGUUAAUGUCCUGGUGCCUCGAACAGGUUGAUCAUCAUAGCCAUUUUCAAUUACUUCUUCAUUUUCAGCUUGCUGCAGAUCAACAUCAAUCUCUUCUCCAUCUGGAAAAUUUGCUUCAAUUCCAUCCCAUUUCCAGCUACUUGCUUCACUGAAUUUCACAUCUCUGCUCACUACAACCUUCUUGGUCAGUGGAUCAAAGACUCUGUAUCCUUUCUUCACAUUGCUGUAGCCAACAAACACCCCAGGCAUGGACCUCCUGUCCAACUUGGUUCUUCUCUCCUCAGGUACCAACACAUAACAUAGACAGCCAAAUACCUUCAAAUGAGAGACAGAUGGUUUCUGUGCAAACCAGGCUUCAAAGGGAGUUUUUCCUUUGACUGCAUUAGUUGGCAACCUAUUCAACAGGUAAAUAGCUGUAUUCACAGCUUCAGCCCAAAAAACAUUAGGCAUUUUAGCCUCAAAUAACAAACACCUAGCCAUAUCAAGGACUGUUCUGUUUUUCCUUUCACAAACACCAUUUUGCUGUGGUGUGUACACAGUAGUCAAUUGGUGUUGAAUUCCAGCAUCAUCACACAAUUUUUGAAACUUCUGAGAUACAUACUCAGAACCAUUGUCAGACCUCAAACAUUUUAAUUUGCAAUUUGCUUGGUUUUCGACCAAGGCUUUAAAUUUGCAGAAAGAGUCAUAAACAUCUGACUUAUGCUUCAAAAAAUUUACCCAACAGAACCUUGAAUAAUCAUCAAUGAAGAGUACAAAGUACCUGCUGCCAUUUAAGGAGGUAGUCUUCAUUGGUCCACAGAUGUCUGUAUGAAUAAGCUGAAGCUUCCCUUGUGCUCUCCAUGCCUUGUUGACUGGAAAGGGUAAUCUGGUCUGUUUGCCUAGCUAACAGACCUCACAUACAGCAUCCUUUGGCUCAAUUUUGGACAUAUCACUGACCAAAUCCAUUUUGUGCAGCAUGCUCAGUGAAUUGUAGUUCACAUGCCCCAUCCUCCUGUGCCACAAGUCUGUCUCAUCAGACUGAGAUGCGUAUGCCUUGGCUUGCAGUUGAUUCACAUCCACAAUGAAGGUUCUGUCUUGCAUAGCCACUGUAGUCAACACUUCACCAGCAGCAUUUUUGAUCAAACAGUUUUUGCCUUCAAAAAUCAGAGAGUAACCCUUCUCCAAUAGCUGGCCAACACUUAGCAAGUUUUGGUCAAUGUCAGGUACAUAGAGAACCUCUGAAAUGGUUUUAAUACCUGACUUAGUGCUUAUCAAAGCCUUGCCUUUCCCUUUUGCCUCUAGCAGCUCACCAUUGCCAAUUUUGACUUUGGACUUGAAGGUGGUGUCAAGCUCCUUAAAUAUACUCUUCUUAGAAGCCAUAUGGUGGGUACAUCCACUGUCAAUCAACCAUAUUUUACUAACUUUGCUCGAGCUUGCAAAGCAUGAUGCUGAAAAGACAUGCUCUUCUGGUGAUUCAACCUCUUUUGCAGCUUGAGCUUGGCUUUGAAAUUGUGGUUGUGGUUUUGGCUUGCUCUUACAGACCUUUUCAAUGUGGCCAAAUUGCUUGCAGGCUCUACAUUGAAUGUCUGGUCUGUACCAGCAGUAUUUCUCAAGAUGAGUAGUCUUCUUGCAAUGGACACAAGGUGGGAACUUCCUUUUGACAGGUUCUUUCUUCUUCUUCUCAGUCCAGGGCUUCUUGCCUUUGGCAUUUAAGUUUGCACUUGAGCUUUCUCUGCUUCUAGCCUGAAAAGCUCCUUCAUAGUGGUCCUCCUGCCUAUUUGCCAUUCUCUGCUCUUGAGCAUAGAGAGCAUUUAUAAGCUCUGUCAAAGGGAUUGUUGACAAGUCCCUUGAAUCUUCCAGAGAAGAAAUUUUUGCUUCAUACUUCUCUGGCAAGGUUGUUAUGACCUUCUCAACCACUCUUUGGUCACUGAAUUCUUCCCCAAGCAGCCUUAUGUUGUUGACAGUAGCCAUGAUUCUGUCAGCAUACUGCUUGAUGGUUUCUGAGUCCUUCAUUUUGAGAUUUUCAAAAUCUCUUCUCAUGUUGAUCAGCUGCUGUUGCCUGGUCUUGUCAGACCCCUGAAACUCCUCCUUGAGUUUGUCCCAGGCCUGCUUUGGAGUGUCACAAGCCAUUAUUCUUGUGAAAAUAACAUCAGAAACUCCACUUUGAAGGCACGACAUAGCCUUAUACUUCUUGGCACAGUCUUCAUUGUGCUGCCUAAUCUGGGCUAUAGUCGGGUUGGCUCUUAGUGGUGGUGGCUCAGUGUCAUUGAGAACAACAUUCCACAGGUCGUGUGCCUGCAGGUAUGUUCUCAUUUUCACUGCCCAGAUGUUGUAAUUUUCUCCAGCAAAGACAGGUGGAGGAGGUGGUGUAAAACUCAUUUUUCAGCAAGCAAAACAACCUCUUCUUCUUUUGUUUCAAACACAAUUUGCUUAGUGACAGUGUACAACCAAGGCCCUCAAAGACUGAAAGCUCUUGAUACCAUUUGUUGGAACAAUGGCAGUAGCAAAGAAAGCAAAAACGAAUGAAACAAAACAAAAGAAAAAGAACUCAGCAAGAAAAUUUGUAACUGAAAAGUCAUCAUAGUUUCAUUCAAAUUUUGAAUAUAUGAAGAUUACAAAAGUAUUUGACAGUUACCUACUAAUUUAACUGCUCUUACUUAAUACUUACUAAAAAUAUAGCAACUUGUAUACCAAAGAAAGCUGGCAUACCAGCUAUUACAUCAGUCAAUCUUUCCUACUAACUUAGCUAACUCAUUACAAAGAUUUAGGCUAAGUUCCAUAGGAACAAAUAUUCAAAAAAUAAUUUUAUAACUGAACCAACUCCAUUUCUUUGCUACAAAACAGUAUAGCAGCUAAAAUUGUACAAUUUUCUGCUGUUGGUCUUUUGACCAAUUUGUUGCUGUUGGUUCUUUGUUGCAAUGCAGGCCACGGCUUCAACACUCUCCCUCUCCAUUUGGGAAUUCUGUUUUCAAGAGUGGUCAUAUUGAGAUUGUAUAUGGAUCAGUCAAAACUCUAAUGGAGUUGGAAGGUGCCUUUGGAAUGACACCUCAAGAUGUUGAUAAUGCAGUUCGAUCUCAUAAACAUCAUCAUAAACAGGUAGUUGUGUGUACAUAUUACAUUUCUAUAGCUAUGUUUUUAUUAAUAUUUAAAAUUUUGAAUUAACAUAUUUAAUAAACCUACAAUACAAUGGGCUAACGUGGCGGCAUGGCAGAAGCAAAUCAAAGAAUUGUUGGAAGAAAUUGAGAAUGAUCAAGUGGCGGAGGAACCAGUUCAUCACUUUACCGUACGAAAUAAUUCUAUAGAAAGUUUGGAGAAGACAGGAAAUGCUCAUUUAGUAGCUGCAGCACUUAUAGCCACCGUCGCAUUUGCAGCAGCAAUAACUGUUCCUGGUGGUUUGGAGAGUGAAAAAGGGUCAAAUCGAGGCACUCCCAUUUUGAUUCAAGAGGCAGCCUUUAAAGCAUUUGUUGUAACAAAUGCAAUGGCCUUUAUUUUCUCUGUUUCUGCCCUCACCACCUACUUUGCGGUUCUGGAUCAUCUUUUUACACGAUUUAUUUUUUGGCGUGAAGCAAUAAUUUUAAAUCGAACUUGGUCUGUUUCUAUGCUCCUUAACUAUGCAACGCUUGCAAUGGUAAUUGCUUUCAGCACGGGUAGUUAUGUGGUCUUAAAACCUUCCCACGAACUUGCCAUUGUUUCAUAUCUCAUAUGCCCUGCCUUUUUACUUUGUAAGUGGACAGCUUUGUUUGUAAUUUUGAGUCAUUCAAUACAUAUUUAAAAUAUAAAUAUGAUAAUAUUACUUUAUGGAUUAUUACAAUGUUGUUUCGAUUAUUAUAAAUUCAAAAAUAUUUUAUUUCCUUUUAAUAGUUUUUCAAAUAUUAAAUAUAUAACGCAAAAUAUAUAUAUAUAUUUUGUUUCUCAUGAAAAAUAGAUAUCAAUCAUGCUUUUCAAGUUUUCAUUAUUGAAAACAAAAUUUUAUUUCUAGUUAUCAAACUUGAUUUUAAAUUUUCAAAAAAUAGAAAAUAAAAAUAUUUUCAGAAACCUAACAAAGCUUAACUUUUUUUUUUGUUAAUAUACCAUUUGGUAUUUGAGUUAGUUUUAUUGUUCAAUUUGAUAAUUAAUUUCGGCUUCAAUAUUUAAUUUGAUAUCUAAACCAAAUGGUUUCAUAAGGCCUAAUAAAUAUUUGACAGGUCUACUCUAAAAAAUAGACGUGGGUAUUCUAAUUGAGACAAAAAAAAAAAAAAGAAGAAGCUCAAGUAUUAAAUUGAACUUUUUUAAAGUUAAACUCGGAUACUUAACUAUGACAAAAAGAAACUCAAGUAUCAAAGUAAAAAAAUUAAGUACAAAAUUGAACAUUCAAACCAAAUUCAUAUACAAAAUUAUAAAAAAUAAUCUUUUAAUACUAAAUUAAAAUUUGAAGUGAAAUUCAAGUAUCAAAUAAUAUAUUAACUCUUCUUUUUCUCUUAGAUCCUCACCUUGAAAAAAGCUAAUUAAGGUUAUUUGUUUUACAUUUACAACUUAAAAUUUUCAUAUAAAUAGAUUCUGUAUUUAUAAAAAUUUAUUUUUAUUAAAGAUUAAAUAAGAUUUAAAUGGUGUGUUGUUCUAAAGUUCACAAAUUUUUAUUUAAAAUAAUUACAUAAAAGUAAUAAAAAUUCAAAAUUUCACACCAACAAUAUAAAGUUAAAAAAUCACACAUAAAAAAUAGCAUUGCUAAAGAUUCUGCUUUACUAAAUUGUUUAAGUAAGGAAUUAUACAUGCCAUGGUGCUUUCUUUGUACCAAUGAUCUCUUUGGAUGGGUGAUGUGUUUAUUUACGAUUAGUAUAAAAAUAACAAUGUAAUACCUCAAAUUCGGUCUAGACGUUAUGACCGAAUAGGACUACAAGAGUUCAUCCAUCCAAUCACACCAAUAUGUGGCGGUGUGCCACUCAUAAAUAUGUAGCUGAGCUUCCAUAUAGAAAUUUGCUCUAGUCGCCAUAUAUUUGCGGUAAAAACUGUCAUAUAACACUUCCUCUAUUUUAUCAUAACCCAACUCAAUGCAAAUGUAAAAUCACGUUAACAUUCAUACAUAUAAUAUAGAUCGUAUGGCAUGCAUGCAUAAAUAGAUAUUAUACAAAGCAUAACACAACACAUAACUUAUACAGAUCAUAACAGAUUGAGAUUAUGCUGCACACAGAGGUUGCAAUUUUGUCGUGGAAGAACUGUUAAAAAGGGAUGUAUCAGCUGCCUAUGUAAGUGACAAAAAGAGGGGGAUGACACCCCUUCUUAUGGCAGCCAAGCAAGGUUAUCUUUUAACAGUUUCAAAGAUUCUCUCUUUUAUGUCCAGAUUGUUGUGAAAAAGUCGACAACAAAGGUUUGAAUUUACUUCAUUAUCAGGCUUUUAGAGUGUCAUCUUUUCAAGCUUGGUGGUAUUGGGAUUGCAUAUGGAUCGGUCAGAAAUUUAAUGGAGUUGGAAGGUGCCUUUGGAAUGACACCUCAAGAAGUUUAUAAUGCACUUCAAUAUGAGAAACAUCAUCAUAAACAGGUUUAUAAUCAAUGAUUUUUUUAUAUCUCAUCCGCACUUCAUUUUGGUGGCCUCCUCCACAUGGAUGGUUAAAGUUUAAUGUGUGUGGGAUUGCUAAAGAAGAUAGAGCAGGUUGUCGAGGUGUCUUGAGAGAUAAGGAGGGUGUCGCAAGAGCAUUAUUUUCUGGUUCAGUUGCAGCAAAUGAUGCCGAUGUGGCUGAGAUUGGUGCGGUGAAGAUUGCUCUGUAAGUAUUUUUUAGCUAUGAACUGGAAGAUUAAUGAUUCUUUAUUUAUUGAACUUGGUUCAUUGGUGGUGUUUUCUUGGUGUGCUAACAAGGUAAUGAGACCAUGGUCUCUUCAAGCAAUUUUUGCAGGUAUUGAAAAUGACAUGUUAAAGGCCGGAAAUGUUGUAUUCUCAUUGGCGGAUAAGAAAGGUAACGAGAUGGCAUCUUCCUUGGCAAUUGCAGGUUUUAAUCGGGUGAAAAUGUUUAAAGCUUGGUGAUGAAUUUUUGUUUUGUUGCAUUCAUAGGUUUAUUAGAGUUGGAAUGCGUUUUACUUUUGAUUGCUGUAAUACUGAAAUUUUUGUUGUUGUUCUGUUCGUCUUUGACAACAGUACAGCUCGAAUGGAGCCAAAAAAAAAAAAAAAAAGGGAAUGUUACAUCUUUGUAUAAGCAUUACUUUAAUUUUCAGUUAUAAUUAAAAAUUAGUUUGACAAAUCAUUGAAAAAUAUGAGAAUUUUAAGUUUAAGAAAAACACAAAGUUUUAUUUAAAAGUGGGAAGUCGUCCUCAACUUUUCUAGUUAGCUGCGAUUAGACACAUUUAAAAUCAAAAUUCUUUUUUAAAAAGAUAAAAUUGAGUUUACAAUAUAAAUCCAAACAAAAAUGUUUAGGUUAAUUAGAGAAUUUGUUAUACGAAAGGAAGAUUUUAGCAUCCUCAUGACGCCAAAAAUUAAUUCCUUGUUAAAUAUGUGUUGUCUACAUUCGUAAAUUAAAACUCAUAUCUUGGUUUUUGAUUAUGAUCCAAUUUUUUGAUAAAUUAAAAAUAAAUAUUAAAUGAGUGAAUCAAUUUUUUAAUAGCAAAACAAAGAUAAUGAUCAAGAUGUAGCAUUUUCAAAAUUCAGGGGCCCUUUUUGAGAUUUUCCAUUUAUUUUUCAUCAUGUUUAAAAGAGAAAAGUUAUAAAUUUUGAAGUCAGUAGCCCAAUAUUUAUUAAGCCCAAAUCAAAUAUUAGCUCAAAGUUCAGAAGCAUUCGAAUUUUAAAAUUGUGAAAUUACAUUUAAUAGAAAGCAAUAACAUUUCAAAAGCUAAUAAAUAUUAACAAAAAUCGGAUCCGAUAUCAACAACAUAAAAUUUGAUAUUAUCAUGUAAGCCGCUAUUUUUAAAUAUUUAAUGUUUUAGUCAAUAUUUUUGUUAAAAAAAUCAAUUUGAUUGCUUUUGAAAGGUUUAUGGCUAAAUUCGAGUCUUUUUUUAAAAGAUUGAUGACCAAAUUUAGCUCAAGAAAAGAAUAAGGGCCAAAUUGAUAAAAAAAAUUUACAUAAAUACUACGAGCUAAUUUUAUCAUUAUGCCUAAUGAAAAUUAAGUUGUAUACUUUUAUGAUAGUAAAAAAAAAUGUAAUUUCAUAAUUUUAAUAGCUUAAAUCUUUAUAAUAUUUAAAAGAUUAAAUCAAAUAUUUAUAAUUUUUAGAAGGUCAAAAUAUAAUUUUAUCAUUAUUAAUUUAAAAUUUUGUAAAUUAUAGAUAGGUUAAAAAGAGAGACCUAUUGUCCCCUUGGCUCCACCCCUAAACCCAUACGUUUUCAUCCAACUUUGAAAGUCCUUUCAAGCUUUCCAAUCUAUUAUAUUUGAUGUCUCAACGAUCCUAACUCUCGACCAAAUAAUCUUUUUCACUAUUUUUAAACUAAUAUACUUAGGAUUGAGGUAGAAUAAGGACAUGGUGAACUCCAAAAGUAAAUUAAUUUUUAAAGGGAUUUAAGACUAAUUCAUUUUGUGUCAAGUCUACAGUAUUAUUAGUUCAUAUUAACACAUCUCUGUCUUCACUUGAAAGUUAAUCUUACUCCGGCACAAUCAAGACAAAUUAUGUCUCAUUAUUAGAUUUUAGACAACGUAUAAAUCUCUUUCUCUUCGUAAUUCUAUAGAUUACAAGUCAUGUAUUUAAAUUAUCGACUAAUGGAAAUUGUCUUUUGCAUACAAAACUAAAUUUGUGAUGCAACUCCGAAUUAAUUUAACAUAGGAAAAGAAGGGAGUGCGGCUUCCAUGCAGCAACGACCAAAGCCAAAGAGAAGGCGUGCUGCCUAAUUUCUUGCCCUUCUCAUCCACACAAUUUCUUGACUUUUCUUGUGUUUCUCAUCCACACAAUUAAUUUAUAUUUUAGUAACACAUUUUGAUUUUGUUUCCCUUGUAAAUAUUUAAAAAUAUAUAAAUCUAAGUAUUUACAUGUUUGAUAAAUAAAUUGUUUGUAUAAAAAAAGUGAAUUUUAAAUUAUGUCAUAAUAGUUACAAUAUUAAUGGUUUGCGAAAUUUAAUUAAAAUUAAAAUUCGUUUUUAUAAUUAAACAAAUUAAAAUUUAUGUUUCAUAUUGCAAAUUAAAUUAAAGUUAAUACAUGAUUUUGAUUUUUAUUUCUUUGCAUUUUCGUGAAAAAAGUAUUGACUUCACCAAAAAGAGCUGGAGAGCUCAUUUUCUUCCAUUCUUCUCCUUCUUUGCAGUUUCCUUAAACCCGAAUUUCACCAUAAAAAACUCCUAAAAAUGAUGGAUUAGGUGCAUCUACUUUUCAACAAUUGUUAGUAUUUUAACCAUCUUUAUUAACUUUGUUUUAGGGCCAUUUGCUUUCCUUUUCGUUUCAAUUAAGUCAUCAUAUGAUAAUAAUAUUUAAUGUAAGUUAUACAAAUAGCCAUUUAAUUAUUAGCACAUUAUUAUUUUGGUCACUCGUGUUUAAAAAAGUUUAAUUUAGUCACUAAUAUUAUGGACAAUUGAUAUUUUUGUCAUUCCUCGUUCAAUUAUUAAUAGAAUCUUGAUGCAACUUUUUUAUUGGCAUAUUAAUAAAUUUAGCUUUUCAAUCUCUAUAAAUUUUAUUAAUUUGAUCUUAAUUCUAAAAAAUAAAUUUAACCCUUAACUUUACACAUUAUGUUAAUUUAAUCUUGAUUCUUAAAAUUUUAAAAAAUAAAAAUAUAUAUUUAAAAGUUUUUUUUUUAUAAAAUACAUAUACAAAUUUAUAAAAUGCAUACAAAAAUAUAAAAAUAUUUAUAAAUAAAUGAAUACUAAUUUUUUUCUUCAAAGAAAUCCUUCAAAGAAAAUCUAGGGUUUAGUCUGAAUGAGUCAAUAUUAACUAACAUGACCAAAAUUUAGUCUGUAACAGUUUUCUGAGCUACCAAACACCGUCUUAGAAUAAAAAAGAGCAUAGGGCAGCAUUAACUUGACCACGAAGAGCUCUAGACCCCAUUUUCUUCCAUUAUUUUCUUUAAUUCUUCUCCUUCUUUGCAGUUUCCUUAAAACCAAAUUUCACCAUAAAAAACCUCCUACUUUAUUGACCUCACUUCUAACCCAAUAUAUCACUAUUAUUAUUACUAAAGUGUUCAACCAUAUAUGGUUGCCAGUAGUUGACUUGAAUGCAGGAUUUGCAAGCAAGUAACUAACUGGUAUGGCAUUCGGUAAAUUUCUGAUUUUGCAGUACUUUUUUCUUGAGCUUCGAAUGUUUCAAGCUAAUUAAUUCAAUUUUGUUUGGUGUUAUCCAGGAAGAAAUAGAUCAACAAAAAUGGGACCUGAAGAGCCUGAACAGAACAUCACUCACAUGGAUGCUUCGCUGUAUAAGGCAGCAGUAGAAGGCAACAUUGAAGAAUUCAAUAAUAAGCAGGGGCCUCAGCUUGAGUCGCUAAAGACCCCAAACCAUGACAACGUGCUCCAUCUUAACUUGGCAACCCAGGAGAAUGCUACCUUGCUUUUUAACAUAUUUCUCUCAAUAAUCAAAUUCUUCCCCGUACUAUAUGGAUGCUUCUCUCCGCCUAUGCGUGAUUUAAUUACUAUUAUAAGAGGAGAAAAAAGAUCAGAUUUUAUCGAACAAAUUCUCAGCAAGUGUCCGUCAAUGCUACUCCAAACGAAUGCUAAAGGCCAAACUCCUUUGCACGUUGCAGCAAGGUAUGGUCAUUCUGCUAUUGUGAAACUUCUAAUCAAGUCUUGUGCAAAAGCUAGAGAUGGAGAUUUAGAGAAGCUGGGAAUGGAUGAAGUAAAUGCAGUGAGGGGGAUGCUGAGGAUUAGGGAUCAGGAAUCCAACACGGCUUUACAUGAAGCAGCACGAUGUGGCAAUGUUGAAGUGGUAAAAGCAUUGUCGGAGUUUGAAGAACCUGAUUUUCCGUAUUCUGCCAAUAAAAAACAGGAGACUCCACUUUACAUAGCUGCUAGGAGAGGAGACGGAGGCAUGCUGAGUAUACUAUUAGAUAAAUCAAAAUCAACAGCUCAUGGCGGCCCCCACGGUAGAACAGCUUUGCAUGCAGCAGCUAUGGCUGGAGAUGCAGGUAUGUUGUUGAGUUGGUUCCAAUUUUUUUAAAAAAAAAUUUGAAAUAAAUAAAGAACAGGUCUAUUGGCAUUUUUUUUUGCUUGGAUUUAGAGGCAAUAAGGAUAAUAUUAGAGAAGAAGGGGAAUUUGACAAAAGAAAGAGAUGAAGAUGGACACACCCCUCUUCAUUAUGCUGCACACUUGGGUUCUAGAUUAUCAGUUGUGGAAGAACUGUUAAAAAGGGAUGUUUCAGCUGCCUACAUAGGUGAUAAAAAGAGGGGGAUGACACCCCUUGUUAUGGCAGCCAGGCAAGGUUAUGGUGGAACAUGUUCAAAGAUUCUCUCUUUAUGUCCAGAUUGUUGUGAAAAAGUGGACAAAAUAGGUUUGAAUUUACUUCAUUAUAUGGCUUUUAGAGACUCUGUCUUCCCACUAGGGAGUUCUAUUUUCAAGCGUGGUGGUGCUGAGAUUGUAUAUGGAUCAGUUAGAAAUCUAAUGGAGUUGGAAGGUGCCUUUGGAAUCACACCUCAGGAAGCUCAUAAUACACUUCGAUCUAAGAAACAACAUCAAAAACAGGUGUGUGUAUAUAUAUUGCAUUUCCAUGGCUAUGGUUUUAUUAAUAUUUAAGUUUUGAAUUAACAUAUUCAAUAAACCUACAAUACAACCGGUUAAUGUGGGUGGCAUGACAGAAGCAAAUCAAAGAAUUGUUGGAAGAAUUGGAGAACGAUCAAGUGGCAGAGGAACCCGUUCGUCACUUUCGCUUACCAAAUGUUUCUACAGAAAGAUUGGAGGCUAUAAGAAAUACUCAUUUAAUAGUGGCAGCACUUAUAGCCACCGUCACCUUCGCAGCGGCAAUAACUGUUCCUGGUGGUUUGGAGAGUGAAAAAGGGUCAAAGCAAGGCACUCCCUUUUUGAUUCAUGAGGCAGCCUUUAAAGUAUUUGUUGUAACAAACGCAUUGGCCUUUAUUUUCUCUGUUUCUGCCCUCUUCAUCUACUUUGGGGUUCUGGAUAUUCUAUUAUCAAGAUUUAAAUUUUGGCGUCAAACAGUUUUAUAUCGAACUCGGUCUGUUUCUGGGCUUCUUGGCUAUGCAACGCUCGCGAUGAUGAUUGCUUUCAGCACAGGCAGUUAUGUGGUCUUAAAACCUUCCCACGGACUUGCCAUUGUUUCAUAUCUCAUAUGCCCUGCCUUCUUUUUCGUUCUGCAUUUGACUAUUUUUGAUUACUAUAUUACUAAGAUAUUAUUUCAUCGUUGAUUACAAUAUUUUUCCAAUUCCUAAUGUCAAUGUUACCUCUUUGAAGAAAUAUUACUUUAAUAUUAAUAAUCUCCAUUUAAUUGUAAUUAAUAUAAAAUUAUUAGUUGCUAGACAUACAAUUUCAAAUAAAGUAAAAUUUAUUAAAUAUCAAAGAAUAAUAAAGAUGAUGUAAUUAACUCUCGGUUAUAAUUAAAAAUUAGUUGCAUUAUAAUAUGCAUGCCCUGUAAUUUUGAUAAUUUUGAUUCUUUUUCUAAUAAUUUAGUAAUUUAAUGAUGUUUAACAACUUUGUUUUCGCACGUUAUAUAAUUUUAUUUAAUAUUUUAUAAUUAAAUUAAAAUUUUAUGUAUUCAAAAUAACCUAAACUUACCUAACCUUUGAAUUAGAUUCAAUCUUAUAAUAUUUGUAAUUAAUAUAAAGUAGUAAACUAUUCUUAGUCAUGAAUUAAUUUCUUCCUCCAAUACUUGCAUGCAAAACCAAAGACAAUGAGAUUAAAAAAAAAAAAAAAUUUAAAGUUUUUGCGAUUUGGACUUUCAAUAUUGUAACUUUAGCAUUUCGACCAUAACUUAAACUACAAAUCUCUAUUUUGAGCCCAUAAUAUAGCAUCUAAUUAAAAUUAUUUCACAAAUCAAGCACCAAAACCUCAUGAACGCAUCUAAAAAUAGCCUGGAAGUUUGACACGAAAGUUGCUAAGAAAUCUUGAAAAAAUCUGCUUUAUAUAAAUAGAUAAUUUUUUGUAUUUUCUCUAUUAUAUUAUCUUUGCCUUAUAAACAUACAUUAUUAGGUUAAAACUUGAGGAGAGACCUAGACAUAGUCACCUUAGCUUUAUUUUGUUUUUGCGUUUUAUUUUCUUUAUGAGUUUUUAAAUUUUUUUUCUAGUUUAAGGUCAAUCAAAGUUUGAUUCAAUAAAUUUAUGAGACAUGAUUUGCACUUUAAUUCUUUUUUGUUCUUUGAUAUUCAUGCAUCUUCUGUUAUAAUUACAAUUGCUCAAGUUUAUUACUAUUGAGUCAUCAACUAGAACUAAUUUAUUAAACACAUUGAAGAUAUCAUUAUAUCGAUGAUCGAACUUACAAAAUCAAUUGUAGAUUUUACCUUUGGGUAAAACCUUUCAACAUUGAAUUUCCUAAAAUUUUUAAUUAUUACUUUCUUUGAUUCAGCUUUUAAUUUAAAUUUAGUUUUUUUAUUUUAUAAAACCCUUUUUUUUAUUUACCUUAGUGGUUCUUACUUAAGGAAUAUAAUUAUCACUAAUAUCUAUAUAUGUGGAUAUAAUUUUGCUUCUUGUUUUCUAUUAAUUUAUAUGUUCAAAUUGAUUUUAUUUUUAUAGGUCUCGAUAGUCUAACAACUCUCUUGGAUCUUCUUGUUGAGCAUUUUUGAACUUCUUAAACCUUUGGCUUCAUUUUGACCUGUAUUUAAAAACUUUGUUUAAGUUUCAAGAUAAAAAGGUUAUCUACCAUUGCAACUCUUCUAUAGUAGUGUUAUGAUUAGUGGACAUUACUUCUGUCACUUGUAAGGAAACACUCUUUUUUCCUCUACUUCAAUUUUCUUUUUAUUUAAUCUAGAUUGAUCUCAUAGGUUUGUAGAAAUCCAAUUGAUUCAUCAAUUCACAUAUUAUCAAUAUCUUUGGCUUCUCCAAUGAUUGUGACUUUGAUGUUGAAUUUCUUUAGAAAAGAUCAAAUCACACAAUUUGGCAUAGAACUUGUCAAUUGUUUCAUUAUCCUCCAUUUUUAGAGUUUUAAACCUUGUUAUGAGCAUUUGUAAUUUAGAUUGCUUCACAAUCUCUAUAACACCCCUAAACCUCGCCUGAACGUUAUGGCUGAAUCUAGAAUGUUACGAAGAAGGGUUUUGAAACCGAUCUUUACAUGAUAAAAAAAAACCUCGUAUGGUAUCUUACUAGAAAAGAGUCCUUAUUGUAUAAAACAUAUCCAUUUAACAUUGUCUUUACUAAAACCGUUGAUAGUUUGUUCUUUAAGAAAAACUUAAUUCGCGACAGAAAUCUUAAGUGUCAUUAUAUGUCGAAAACCAAGUUUGUGUUUUCCAAAACGUUUGUUUGCAUAAAACCAUUAUUUACGAAAAAUUGUUUGUUGUGCGUUGCAGAAAACAUAAUCAAACCAAAAACAACAACAAAAACCAAAAGAAAUCAAAAAGUCCGGAGAGUCCCAAAAUUACAAAACUCUCAAGAAAAACCAUAAAUUAAAAUAAAACCAAUAAUUAAAGGAUAGUUUCCAUACUAGUGGUCAUCGCUGAGCUUCCGUUGCACCGACCUGCCUAUGUCUGAAGAUUACCUGAAUAGAGUAGACAAACAAAUGUGAGUUUUCAAAAACUCAAUGUGUAACUUAACAGAGACAUGCAUACACAUAAACUCAGAUUUCUCAUGUAGCAAAUCAGAUACGGGCAUAAGUCAUUAACAGAAUCAUAUAAUAUCAUAAUCGGAUUAUUAGAAACAUACAGAUAUCCAAAGUCCUACCCCCAUCCUCUACACACUAUCUCUGACCAUCCCAACACACCAUAUGGGGUAUAAAACACCCACUCAUCCCUACACACCACAUAGUGUCUUUACAACACUUAUCAAGAAUAGUAUGCAGUCAAGCUGCCAGUAUAUCGGCGAAAUGUCACCUCACAGAACACUUCCUCCACAUAUACAAAUCCCACCCCAUACAUAGAUACAGAUAACAGAUAACAAAUAUAACAGAACUAACAUGUCCCGCAUGCUCAUAUACAAAUAUCAUACAUGUUAUUAUGAAAUAGUCAAAUCAUACAUAUCAACUUCUAAAUACUCAAAUUAGUCUAUCAAAGUAGCAGAUAUCAUACAUUAGGGUUUGUUAUUAUGUAAUGUAUUGAAAUAAUCAUAAUCUAAACUUAAAAUAAUAAAAUAAAUUUAAAUAGCAUCGGAUGCUUAAACUAAAAUCAGAAAGAAAUAUAAAAUUAAACAAAACAUUGACUUUGUUAUACAAUAGUUUAAGUAUCAUUAAAUAAUAUUUAUAAAUAUAAAAAAGUCAAAGUCUUUUUAAAAUACUAAUUAUUUAAUUAGUUAAUGAGUGUUGCAUUUGAUCUCAUGUUAUAUAUAUUAUAAUAUGCAUGUGCUACUUGCCUGGAAAGGUUAAAAUUAGUUGUAUAAUUAAUUAAUAAAUAUUUGAAACAUUAUUUUUCUUGAAAGAUGGACUGAUUUUUAAUAGCUUCAUUAAUUAAUUAAAAUCUAAUAAUGCAACUUUGUUUUAAGGCCAUUUGCUUUCCAUUUCCUUACAAUUAAGUCAUUCAAUAACAUUUUAGUAGCGUAUUUCUGUUUUGUUCAUUCAGAUUUAAAAAAUUAUAUGUUAAUCACUUAUCGGUUGUUGAUAUUUUGGUCACUUUUCCGUUAAAUCAUUAAUAGAAUGUUAAUGCAGUUUUGUUUUUAUUGGUAUAAUAAUAAAGUUAGCUCUUUAAUGUUUAUAGAUUCUAUUAAUUUAGACCUAAUUUUAAAAAAAAACAAAUUUAACCCUUAACUUUACAUAUUAUGCCAAUUGAUCUCAAUUCUUAAAAAUUUAAAAAAUAAAAAAGAUAUUUAAAAUUUGUUUCGAUAAAAAUACAUACAAAAUUAUAAAAGUUAUAAAAUACAUACAUAUAAAUAAAUGAGUAUUCAAUUCUCUCCUUUAAAGAAAAACACGAAAAAGAACUUAUAUAAUUUAUCAUUUGUUUUGUUGAAAAUGUGGUAAAUCUUAGGGAUUUUCAUUGUUGGAAGGGUGAAAAGAAAAUCUAGGGUUUAGUCUAAAUCACUCAAUAAUAACUAACAUCAUCAAAUUUUGGAUGGACAUAAUGCAUUGAAAUAAUCAAUAAUCAAAAUUGACAUCAUAAAUACAAUCAACUUCAUAAUUAAAAUAUAUCUAAAUUUAAAUAGAUAAAACUAAAAUCAGAAAUAAAUAUGAAAUUAAACAAAACACUUACGCUGUUAUAUUGUAGUUUAAGUAUCAUUAAAUAAUAUUUAUAAUUAUAAAUAAGUCAAAGUCUUUUUAAAAUACUAAUUAAUUAAUUAGUUAAUGAGUGUUCCAUGUGAUCUCAUCUUAUAUUAUAAUAUGAAUAUGGGAAUGUGCUCCUUGCCUUGAAAGGUUAAUAUUAAUUAAUAAAAAUGUGAAAAAAUUAAAACUCGCCAUGUGCCUCCAUAAUUAGAAUUUAAUAAUGCAACUUUGUUUUACGGAUUUGCUUUCCAUUUCCUUACAAUUAAGUCUUUCAAUUAUAUUUUAGCAGUGUUUUACUGUUUUGGUCCGUUUAUGAUCAAACUCACAGAAACAAAGUUAAAUUAGUUAGGGGGUUACAAUCUCCAUGCCUUCAUGGGCAAUCUCAAAGAUUUCAAGCUAUAUAUAUGUGUCACUUGUCUUGAUAAGCCACAAGGUGUCUUGGAAUAAGUAAGGCAUUUUGUAAUUUUUCUUAAUUUGUAAUCUUUUUUUCGUUUAUCUUUGAAUGUUCCACGGUAAUUGAAUAUUAAUUGGUGUUUUCAAGGAAGAAAGCUGUGCAAUAGAUCAACAAAUAUGGGACCAUCGUUAAACGACAUUGUUAUUUCCUCCGGUGAACCUGAGAAGCCUGCAGAGAACAUCACUUGCAUGGAUGCUUCAUUGUAUAAAGCUGCAGCAGUAGGCAAAAUUGAAGAAUUCAAUAAUUACCAGGGGCCUGAACUUGAGUCGCUGAAGACCCCAAACCAUGACAACGUGCUCCAUGUUAACUUGUCAACCCCUGAGCGUAUCUGGCAACGUACCAGAUUUGAUUUUGUCCUACAAAUUCUUGACAAGUGUCCAUCACUGCUACUCCAAACAAAUGCUAAAGGUCAAAUUCCACUGCAUGUUGCAGCAAGGUAUGGAUAUUCUACUAUUGUACGACAUCUAAUCAUGUUUUGUGCAAGGGUUAUUUAUAAAGAUUUAGAGAAGCUGGGAAUGGAUCAACUGAAUGCAGUGAGGGGGAUGAUCAGACAUACGGAUCAAGAAUCCAAUACGGCUUUACAUAUAGCAACACGGUAUGGCCAUGUUGAAGUGGUGCAAGCAUUGCUGGAGCAUGAAGACCCUGAUUUUCCAUAUUUUGCCAAUAUAAACCACGAAACUCCACUUUACUUAGCAGCUAGGAGAGGAAGUCGGCGCUUGCUGAGUAUAUUAUUAGAUAAAUCAAAAUCAACUGCUCAUGGUGGCCCCCACGGUAGAACAGCUUUGCAUGCAACAGCUAUGGUUAGAGAUCCAUGUAAGUUAAGUUCCAAUUUUUUUUUUUUUGUUUGAAAUAAACAGAGAAUAGAACCAUUGACUUUUUUUUUUGGGCUUGAAUUUAGGGGUUACAAGGAUAAUACUAGAGAAGAAAGGGAAUUUGACAAAGGAAACAGAUGAAAAUGGACACACCCCUCUUCACUAUGCUGCACACUUGGGUCACGAUGCUGUUGUGGAAGAGCUGUUAAAAUGGGAUAUAUCUGUUGCUUAUAUAGGUGAUAAAAAGUGGGGGAUGACACCCCUUCUUAUGGCAGCCAGGCAAGGUCUUUUUGGAACAGUAAGAAAGAUUCUGUCUUAUUGUCCAGAUUGUUGUGAAAGAGUGGACAAAAGAGGUUGGAAUUUACUUCAUUUUAUGGCGUUUAGAGACCUUUCUCGUGGAUUCCGCAUUUUAUUAAAGAAUGAUAAUGCUACCACGACUGAAUAUGGAUCAGUCAGAAAUCUAAGGGACUGGAAAGAUGCUAGUGGAAUCACACCUCAACAAGUUUUCAAUGCAUGUCAAUAUGAUAAGGAAGAGAAAAAGGUAUAUUUAUAUUUGUAUUUGUAUGCCUACGGCUAUGGUUUUAUUAAUAUUUGUGUUUUGAAUUAUGAUUAUAUAACAUAUAUAAUAUAAUGAUCUAUAAUAUAAUCGGCUAAUGUGGUAGGAACAAAUUGUGAAAUUGUUAAAAGAAAUUGUGAAUGAAGAAGUCGCGGAGAAACCAGUUUAUCCCAUCGGCUUGCCAAACAUAUCUGCAGAUAAAAACUUGGAGAAAGCAAGAGAUGCUCAUUUAGUAGUGGCAGCACUUAUAGUCACCGUCACAUUCGCAGCGGCAAUAACCGUUCCAGGUGGUUUGCAGAGUGAAAAAGGGUUAGAGCAAGGCACUCCCCUUUUGAUUCAUGAGGCAGUGUUUAAAGCAUUUGUUGUGACAAAUUCAUUGGCCUUUAUUUUCUCUGUUUCUGCCCUCACCACCCACUUUGGGGUUCUGGAUAAUCAAUUAUCAGGAUUUAAAUUUUUUCGUGAAACAGUUUUAUAUCGAACUCAGUCUGUUUCUGGGAUCCUUGGCUAUGCAACGUUGGCAAUGGUGGUUGCUUUCAGCACAGGUAGUUAUGUGGUCUUAAAACCUUCCCACGGACUUGCCAUUGUUUCGUAUCUCAUCUGCCCUGCCUUUUUACUCUGUAUUUGGGAAAUUUUGAAUCCUUUAAUGCAAAUGUAAAAUAUAAAUAUGAUAAUAUUACUUUAUCAUUGAUUACAAUGUUGUUCCAAUUCCUAAUAAAAAAUUAAUUUUUUUUUAAAAGAUAAUUUUGAGUCUACGAUAAAAAUUAAAAAAAAAUGUUGUUUACAUAGCAUCCUCGCGACGCUCAAAAUCGGCACCUUAUUAAAUAUGUUUUGUGUACCUUGUUAAAUUAAAAUUCAUAUCUAGGUACUUAAUUAUGAUCCAAAUUUUUGAUAAAUUAAAAGCAAAGAUAUUAAAUGAGUGAAUCGGUUAUUUAAUAGCAAAACAAAAGUAAGGAUCAAGAUGUAGCAUAUUCAAAAUUCAAGGGCCUUUCUUGAGGUUUUUCAUUUUAUAUUUUUUAUCAUUAUAAAAGAUAAAAAAGUUAUAAAUUUUGAAGUAAAUGGGCCCACAGUCCAACAUUUAUUACACAUAUGAACAGAUAAGAAAACAUUUGGGCCCAAAUCGAAUAUUAUCCCAAAGUUCAUAAACAUUUGACUUUAAAAAUUGUGAAAUUAAAUUCAAAACUAAUAAAUAUUAACAAAAAUUGGAUCCCAUAUCCACAAAUUAAAACUCCAAUUCUUGUUACUUACGGAUCCUGGACGAAAUUCGGUGUUUACAAAAGGUAUCAAGUGGCGGAGGAACUAGUUUGUCCCAUUUGCUUGCCAACUAUCUCUGCAAAAAGCUUGGAGAAGAAGGGAAAUGCUCAUUUAGUAGUGGCAGCACUUAUUGCCACCUUUGCAUUCGCAGCGGCAAUAACUGUUCUUGGUGGUUUGCAAAGUGACAAAAGGUCAAAGCAAGGCACUCCCCUUUUCAUUCAUGAGGCAGCCUUCAAAGCAUUUUAUUGUAACAAAUGCAUUGGCCUUUUUAUACUCCGUUUCUACCCUCACCAUCCACUUUGGGUUAUGGAUAAUAUAUUAUCAAGAUAUAAUUUUUGGCAUCGAACAGUUUCAAAUCGAACUCGAUUUGUUUCUGGGAUCCUUGGGCAUGCAAUGAUUGCAAUGGUGAUUGCUUUCAGCACAGGUAGUUAUGUGGUUUUAAAAUCUUCCCACGGACUUGUCAUCGUUUCAUAUCUGAUCGGCCCUGCCUUUUUCUUUGGUGUGUGGCUAAUUUUGCAUGCUUCCUUAUAUAUAUAAAAUAUAAAUGUGACAAUAUACUUUAUCAUCGAUUACAAUAUUCUUCCAAUUUCUAGUUCGAAUGUUACCUCUUUGAAUAAACAUUACUUCAAUUUUUUUUUUUGAGAUAUGUCUAUCUUAUUAAAAUUAUGAAAAAGGUCAAAAAAAAAUCACAAUUUGUGUAAAGUAAGAUUUACUAAAUAUCAAAGAAUAGUAAAGAUAUAUUGUAAUUAAUUUUCGGUUAUAAUUAAAAAUUAAUUUGACAAAUAAUUGAAAAAUAUGAGGAUUCUAGGUUUAAGAAAAACAUGAAAUGUUAUUUAAAAAUGAAAAGUGGCGAUUAAAUUUUUUGGCUAGGUGUGAUCAAACACAUUUAAAGUCAUCUUCUAAAAACAAAAUUUUGAAAAUUCUUUUUUAAAAAGAUAAUUUUGGGUCUACCAUAGAAAUUCAGAGAAAAUUAUUUAGGUUAGGGAAUUGGUUACGGAAGAUUUUGGGUCUAUCUUGUUAAAUAUAUGUUGUUUACAUUCGUAAAUUAAAAUUCAUAUCUCUGUAUUUAAUUGUAACACUCCAAAAUUGGGGCGAGGAGCAGUAAGGUUUGUUGGUUUGGGGUUAGUGGUUCGUAAGUCCUAAGUUAAUUUUUGUAUUUUAAAAAUAAAAUGAGUCUCUUGAUUUAGUGGUAAAAAAUUAGUUUACCUUUAGAUCUUGUGUUCAAAUUCUCGUGAGAGCUUUGAGGAAGUUAAUUUUUGGUUUUUAAAUUUUGUUAAAUUCUAUCACGUUUGGAUUCAAUUUUCAAUACUUCACUAAGUGAUGUAUGUAUUUGGACUAUAUGGACUUUUGUUAUGGUCCUUUUAUGAUAUUACUAAUAAUUUCUUGAUUGAGAAAAAAAAAUAUAUUACUUAUGACAUGUGGCUUCCCUUGUACCAUGUUAAAUAAUCUCUCGUGUUUGCAAGAUUUUCUAUUAUGUUCGUAUAUCAAGUGUUUAUGAAUGAAGUCAAAAAAUUUUUGUUGGGAGUCUGAAGUAAUAAUUUUAGAGGGGAAAUAAUUUUAAAUAAAUUUAAAAUUAAUUUAUCUCGUGUUUAGUUUAAUGUAUUCUUUAUCUAUAUCACUAUUUAAGAGUCAAUUCUAUUUUGAUAGCGAAGAUAAGUUAUUUUCCCUUAUUGGACAUUAGACUACAUGAUAUCCUUAUAUGAAUCACUUACUUAUCAUGUUUCCAUGAGUUAAUGGACUAUUCAUUUAAAUUACAACUAAUUGAAAUUAUCUUUUGCAUCCAAAACAAUAUUUGUGAUGCAACUUCCGAUAAAUUUAACGUAAGUAACUAAUGAGCUAAUAUUUACACAUACUAUUAGUUUACAUGUUGGUUUGAAUCCAUAAAAAUGUAAAUUUAUAUAAAUGUAAAAAAAAAUUCGACAGUUUUUCAAAUAUUAAAUCUCGUACAUUCGUUUGAAUCAUAAAAAAUAUACACUUUCUAUUUUAUUAUAGAAAAAAAAGUAUAUACCAUGUUUUUCAUGUUUUCAAAAUUUUAAUUUUAUUUAUCAAAUGUGUUUUUCAAUUUGAGAAAAAAAUAAAAAUUAGAAAAUGAAAUAUUUCUUUGAAAAUGAUAAUAGGAAAUAAAAAAAAAUAUUGUAAGGAACCGAAGGAAGCUUACCCUUUUUUUUUGGAUUAAUAUACCAUUUGGUAUUUAAAUUUGGUUCUAAUGUUCAAUUUAAUACUCAAACCAAAUGACUUCAUAUAGCUUAAUAAAUAUUUUACAUGUGUACUAUGGUAAAAAAAAACAUAAGUAUUUUAAUUGAGAUAAAAAAAAUGGGUAUUAAAAGAAACAUUGAAGCUAAAUUUAAGCAUUUAAUUAUGACAAAAGGAAAUUCAAGCAUUGAAUUGACAAUAUUUGGGUACCAAAUUAAACAUUGAAGCCAAACUUAUGUACCAAUUUGGAAAAAAAAAAUCUCGAGUACAUUAACGUUCUUCUGCUAUUAAAUCUUCUCAUUGAAUAAAGCAAAAGCUAUGAUUUGCAAAGAGAAUAAAUGGUGUGUAGGAAAAAUGUAGGGAAAGAAGAAUAAAGGGGAAAUUGUAGCUCCAUCUACUUGGACCAAAUUUUUUAUUAUAUUGAUUCCUUUUAAUGAAAAAUAAUUGUACUCAGGCGCAAAAGGUGGAAAAAAAAUUUUAGAGGGUCGAAAUUAAAUUUUAAUUUUUAUAAUAAUAAAAAUGUAAUUUUAACAUUUGAAUAGCCUAUAUAUUUAUAAUGUUUAAAAGAUUAAAUCAAAUUUUUAUCAUUUUAGGGGGGCCAAAGUGUAAUUUUAUCUUUACUAAUUUAAAUUUUUUUACUUGUACUACGAGUUGUAUUGCAUUUUGCCCCAUUUAAUUUAUAAAAAAAAAGUAAAUUAGUCAUUGUAUACUAGAUCAAAGAUCAAGUUGGUCCUUCUGAUAAACAUUAGCCCAUGUACAUUAGAAUGAGGGACACGUUGCAUGUCAUGUUUAACUAUCUAACUAUUCUGUUUGUUAUGCCCGUUUUAUUGAUAGAAAAGGAUGAAACUUUUAAUAGAAAUGAUCAGUUUACUUUUUUUAUCUAAUAAACAAUGACUAAUUUACUCAUUUUUUAAAAAGAAAAGGUAAGAUACAAUCUAAACCCUAAACCUUCAUAGUACUUUUACCUUAAUUAAAGCUCAUAGCAAGAAUAGCAUUGUUGAGGAUUAUGCUACGCGAAUGUGUUAAGGAAGAAAUUGAAAAAUGUAACGGUAGUUCUUUACGCAACACUAAAGUGUUCAAGUAAGGAAUUAUAUAUAGUUGUCACACUUGAAUGAAAGAUAUUAUAGGCAAGCAACAAAUAUGUAAGGCAUUUGGUAAAUUUCUGAAUUUGUAGUACCUUUUUUUUUUCCUUGAGCUUGGAAUGUUCCUAGCUAAUUAAUUACAUUUUGUUUGGUGUUAUCUAGGACGAAAGCUGUGCAAUAGAUCAACAAAAAUGGAACCAUCGACAAACAUCGCGCUUAUAUCCUCCGGUGAACCUGAGGAGCCUGAAGAGAACAUCACUUACAUGGAUGCUUUGUUGUACAAGGCAGCAGCAGAAGGCAUAAUUGAAGAAUUCAAUAAUCACCCAGAGCUUCAACUUGAGUCGCUAAAGACCCCAAACCAUGACAACCUGCUCCAUGUUAACUUGGCAACCCAGGAGAGUGCUGUUGACAUUGUGUACUCAUUAUUCAUAUUAUUCCCCGAAGGAUAUGUAUUAUUCCAUCAGUAUUUGAGUAUUUUCAUUAGUAUGAUAAAAAGAGAAAAGAGAUCAGAUUUUUUCGAGCAAAUUCUCAGCAAGUGUCCGUCACUGCUACUCCAAACGAAUGCUAAAGGUCAAACUCCUUUGCACGUUGCAGCAAGGUUUGGACAUUCUGCUAUUGUGAAACUACUAAUCAAGUCUUGUGCAAAAGCUAGAGAUGGAGAUUUAGAGAAGCUGGGAAUGGAUCAAGUAAAUGCAGUGAGGGAGAUGUUGAGGAUUACGGAUCAGGAAUCGAACACGGCUUUGCAUGAAGCAGCAGGGUGUGGCAAUGUUGAAGUGGUGAAAGCAUUGUUGGAGUUUGAAGACCCUGAUUUUCCGUAUUCUGCCAACAAAAAACAGGAGACUCCACUUUACAUAGCAGCUAGGAGGAGAGGAUCUGGGCGCUUGUUGACU